UUUAUUUUCAUAUCGACAUUUGGUUUCAAUUAGAUCACCGGAGGAAAUACGAUGGGAAGAACACAGAUCAUCUCAAAGAGCACCGUCUGUGCAGCAAUUCACAAGGAACCAAACCUUAGAAUCGAUUUAACUCCAUGGGAUCUUAAGCUCAUUCAAUUUGAUACCAUUCAGAAAGGACUUCUCUUCCGCAAACCUUCAGAGGAUAACACCGAUACCAGCAGCUUGAACUUGAUCCACCACCUCAAGACCUCCCUUUCACGUACGCUAGACUACUUUCCCCUCGCCUAGCCACCAUCGAGCAUCGUGAUCACAGCAACACAAUUUCUGUUUACAUAAAUUGCAACAAUGCCGGCGCAGAGUUUGUGCACGCCAUGGCCGAUGGAGUCUCUGUUGCAGAUAUCAUUUCACCUGUUUAUGUUCCUAAUGAAACUGUUUACUCUUUUUUCCCACUAAAUGGAGUAACAAACUGUCAGUGUAUCUCCGAGGCCAAGCCGUUGCUUGGGGUUCAAGUGACAGAGCUUGUGGAUGGAAUCUUCAUCGCUUGCACUAUCAAUCACUCCGUUGUUGACGGCACUUCCUUUUGGCAUUUCUUCAAUUCCUGGUCUGAAAUCUCACGGGGUUCUGAUUGUAUUUCAAAAGUUCCAGUUCUCGAACGUGGGUUUCUCUCUGAAUCAGAAUAUUUUCCCAUUCGCCUCCCUCUCUGGAGCAUUGAACCUUCCGGAACUCGCACUCCACCGCCUAAUUUGCAACAAAGGGUUUUCCACUUUACGAAGGAAAAAGUUGCAAAACUCAAAGCAAAAGCCAAUGCUGAGAUUGGUAGUACCAACAAAAUCUCCUCUCUCCAAGCAAUCCUUUCCCAUAUUUGGCGAUCUGUUACUCGUAAUCGAUCUCUUGAUCCUGAUGAAGAAGUUCAUUUCAUGUUAGGAAUGGGAGUUAGACAAAGAUUGCAACCACCACUGCCACCAGAAUAUUUUGGAAAUGCAGCUCAGGUACUGGGAGAGUUCGCAUCCAUGAAAGCGAGAGAUCAACUUGAGCAAGGGCUUGGAAAUGUGGCAUUGAAAAUGAACAAGUUCAUCGCUGCGUACACAGACGAAAAGAUAAAGAACUUCUUGGAGUCUUGGGGAAAAAACCCUGAGAUCCUAACAUGGGAUAGCCUGCCGACGAAGAAUAAUGCUUGCUUCGUAAGUAGCUCGCCGAGGUUCAAUUUCUACGGUAACGAUUUCGGGUGGGGAAGACCAAUUGCAGUAAGGAGUGGUCCAGCGAACAAGGCUGCUGAGGGGAAGAUCACCCUGUUUGCCGGAGUGGAAGAAGGGAGUGUCGACGUUGAAGCUUGCUUUUUGCCUGGGACACUGCAAGGUAUGGGAAAUGAUACAGAAUUCAUGCAAUUGGUAUCUUAAUUGUUAAAAAUCUUCCGUGUUCUGGGGCUUUGCUCAUUAACCAUUAUAUCAAUGAAAGCUUACUUUUAAAUACAUUUAGGAUUUCAAUUAAAAUAUAUCUAAUUUUGAUAUUUUUGAAAAAUAAAGCCAUGGUGAAAUAAUUGACAUAACAUCAAUAUUAUAUCAGUAGUUCAGUGAUUUUUUUUUUCUUUUUGGGUACUUGCACCUUGCUGAUAUAGACUUUGUAAAUUAUUUUGAAUGCUUAACAUAUUUCUUUUAAUGUGAUCAAUAAAAGUUUUAAAAGCAGUCUAACAAAUUAAUGAUAAAUAAAUUUGUUUCAUAUUAAAAAUAAUUCUCGAUGACUUGAUAAUCCUGUGAAGAAGUUCCUUUCGAACUAUCGAUAGGAGUUAGAAUAAGAUUGCAACCAUCACUGCCGCCUGAUGAAUAUUUCGGAAAUGCAAUUCUAUAAAGCGGGAGAUCAAAUUGAAUAUGCGGCACUGCGAAUGAGCAAUGUUAGUGAAACUGAUAAAAUGUGAAGAACAGAGGAAACGAGUACAUGCUGUAACUAGGGGUGGGCAUUUUACCCGACCCGACCCGACCCGAAAUUUAUCGGGUCGGGUCGGGAUCGAAACCUGAUCGGUUUGAAAUUUACAAACCCGAUCGGGUUGUGAUCGGUUCGGGUCAAACCCGACCCGAUCCGAAUACCCGAUCGGGUUCUUAAAAAAAAAAAAAAACGUACUGACCUGAAUUGACCUGAUUUCAACCGACCCGAACUGACCCGAAUUGACCCGAACUGACCCGAUUUCAACCGACCCAAAUUGACCCGAACUGACCCAAAUUGACCCGAAUUGACCCGAACUGACCCGAACUGACCCGAACUAACCCAAAUUGACCUGAACUCAAUCCUACCCAUUUUAAAUCCAACCCGAUCCAACCCGAACAUAGUUCGGGUCGGGUCAUUAAUUCGGGUUAUGUUCGGAUUGUUCCUUGUCUAACCCGAACAACCCGAAACCCGAUCGGGUUGACCCGAACCCGACCCGAACCCGAUUUUGCCCACCCCUAGCUGUAACUAUGUAUUUGACAGCAGCUGAAUAGCUCACUCAGCUGACGUGGCUUAGUUAGUUAUUUUGAUUUAAGCAUUCUUCACAUGUGUGUAACAAAUUGCCAACAAUUAGUAACAAGUUGCUUUCACUUGCUAUAUAUAUGUAUAAUCUGUACUCAUUCGAUUAAUGAGAAGUUUUUACAAGUUUCCAUUAUGAGUUUUUCAUUCAUUUUCCUUUUAACUUUCUCGCUUCCCAAACACAAAUACUUGAGUUUCUAUCAUGGUAUCAGAGCCAUCAAUGGUGUUGUAAAAAAUUUUAAUAUACUCGUAAGCGCACGAAUGUAGAAUAAAAUAAUGGUAAUAAGGUCAAACCCACAGGGAUUAUUAUAAAUUAAAAAGUCUAAUUUAAAUAAAUUAAUAUUAAUUCUAACAUAGUUGAACAAAUUGAGUUUCUAAUAAAAUUUAACCAAUUAAACUAAGAAAACAAUUAAAACAAAGGAGAAUUUAAUAAGACAAAAAUUACUAAGGUUUCAGAAUCCACCACUAAUCAACUAGUAAUUACCUAAUUAUUAAUUAAUCCCCAAUUUUAGAGUGACAACUCGAAAUCAAUUUAUAUCAUCUCAUGGAUAUAACAAUUAAGCCCAAAUAAAAUUAUUCUUGUGUUGGUUCUUUUUCUUCUUAAUAAUAUGAUAUCUAAGCAUCCCAUGUAAACAUAUUGAAUAACAAAGAGUCAAAGUUUUCCGAAGCACUCUGUGUAAACAAUUUAAUGAAAGACACAGAAUCAAAGAUAAUCAUGUAUAAACUUUAAAGACUCAAGCAUAAAUUUAAUCGGAUAUUAAUUGUAACAAUCAAUAAUACAUGACAGAAUUGAUGAAAAAAUUUUAAUGCCCUUUUUAUCCUUAAUCUUUAUUCCUUCCCAAUUUGAACUUCUUCAUGCCCUUUUUAUCCUUAAUCUUCAAUUAAUUUCCUAUUCAAUAAAAUAAUUCAAUUAAUUAAAAAUAACAAAUAAAAAUAACUAGUAAAUAUGUAAUUACGGGUAAAAUAUGUAUAUAAAUUAUGAUCAUCAAAUGGCAAGCAUGAUUCAAUCCAAUACAUCCUCCUCUCCUUCAAAUAAUUCCCUACCUCAUAUCAUUCCUGCACCUCCUCCCAUUGGUCAUCCUAUGAUGACCAGAUCCAAGAAUGGCAUAUUCAAGCCAAAGUCUUAUCUAUGUGCUCUUUUAGCCUAAUCAUUUGAACUUUCCUCUGUCUCUCAAGCUUUAUCUGAUCCAUUAUAGUUCAAAACCAUGCAAGAAGAAUUUCAAGCCUUACAAGCCAAUCACACAUGAGACUUGGUACUACCUACUGCUCCUGUUAAAGUGGUUGGUAACAAAUGAGUUUUUAGAAUAAAAUACAACCCUAAUGGGUCAAUACUAAAGUACAAAGCACGACUGGUUGCUAAAGACUUCCAUCAGAUACAUGGUCUUCAAUUUUACAAUUGUGGAGCUAUGCAGAUCAACUCUUUUACAUAUUCAGAUUGGGCUUGUGAUCGGGAUGAUAGAAAAUCAGUAGUUGGUUUUGCUGUUUAUCUAGGUGCCAAUCUGGUUUCAUGGUCAUCCACGAAACAAUUAGCUGUCUCAAGGUCCAGUACAAAAGCUGAGUACAGAGCUUUGGCUCAUGCUGCAUCAGAGGUCAUUUGGAUAUAGUUUUUACUUGCUGAGCUAAGAAUUCAACUAAGUACUACACCAAUUAUGUGGUGUGAUAACCAGGGAGCAAUUGCCUUAGCUUAUAAUUCAGUUUAUCAUGCUAAAACAAAGCAUGUUGAGCUGGACAUUCAUUUCAUCAAAGAUAGAGUGGGAUAAAAAGAAAUAGCUAUUUUUUUUGUGCAUAGUGAAGAUCAAACAACAAAUGUCUUAACUAAGGCUCUUACUUUCACUUAGUUCCAUUGCUUGCGCAGUAAAUAAAAUGUUUAUCCCAGAAACACCAGUUCCAGAGGGGAUAUAAGUAAAGAUGAUAAUUUGUGAAGAAUAAAAGAAUGGAGUAAUGUGAAAAGCAGAAACUCCAGCUUAAGAGGGGAUGUUAGUGAAACUGAUCCCUUGGAGUCCUGGAGACAAAACCUUGUGGUCUUAACAUGGGAAAGCUAGAAGACGAAAUCUUAUUGGUUUCCAAAUAGUUCGUCGAGGUUCAAUAGCAAUGAGAAGUGGUCUAGGGAAUAAAGCUUAUGGAAAUAUCACUUUGUUUACAGGAGUGGAAGAAGGUAAUAUCGACAUUGAAGCUUGCUUUUUACCGGAGACACAAUAGGGUAUGGGACAUGAUACAGAGUUCAUGCCAUCUACGUGUUAACGUCUUUGGUGAUCCUAAAAUAUUACUUUCUAAUAAUUCAUUUACACGUUAUCACGUGUAAAUGAAUGGUAUCAUAAUUAGUUAAAAGCACACAAAUGAUAAAAAGUGAAUUCAUUACUAUAACUAUGCUUUAUUUAGGCACCUCAUGCAAUAAAUUAUUUCAUCUCAAAACUCAAUUUAAUAAUUAAUCCCAUGAACAUCCAUUCGUUAGAGCAUGACAACAAAAUUUCUGUAUGGCAUCUGUGGCAGAGCAUAAUAGCUGUAGAGAAAUGGAAAUUGAAAGGAAGGAGCUGGUAGCUUAUAACUGUGAUUCAAGUUUUUGCUUUAGAAUCUUUCAGAAAAAAAAAGUUUUUGCUUUAGAAAUUUUUUGACUCGACCUAGUAAACUGGUCAAUACCUCACGAGCUCAUUAAACUAUCAAAUUUGGGGCCCAAUUUGAUGGGCCUAGUUGGUUGCAGUGUUGGGUCUAGUUAGUCUCAACAAAUACUGGUCGUAGCCUUGUAGGCAGUUCGCAUUAGAGAUUUAUGAUGAUUGUAAUGUGUGAAUGAGUAAUAGAAAGCUCUAUUUAUUGGCACAAGGAGUAACCUUUGUGCGGUUGUGCAGAUAAAAAGAGAAAACAUGUAGUGGGUAAUAUGAAAUUAACAGUAAUAUGUUGUUAUAAACACGAUUAGAAAACUCAUGAUUUAAGCCAUAAAAGCCUUCAACUCAACACCAAAGUAUUCAGGGAACUACACUCAUGGUUUGAAUAGAAAUGCACAACCAUGGUUCUAAUACCAAUGGCUAAAAUAAUUUUAAGCUUUACGGCAAUGAAUCCAUUCAACAUAUUUCAUAAGGGAGAAAAACUGCAUUUUAUCUUGGUUGGCCAUGAAAAAGACUUGCUGGUCAGCUUGUUUCUUGCCCGUUAAUUCAACCUUUUGUUCUUGGCUUCAAUCUCAACAGCAAAAUCAAGCUCCUCAUUCACUGCACACACACACAAUUAGGAGAAAGGAGAAAAAGAAAGACAGUGUAUAAUGAAACUGCAUUUUAAAGAAAUGUGUAGAAAACAAUCAAAACCUUUACAGAAUUCUUAGUAUUUUUGUCAACACAAUACUUCUUCUUUUAAAGACAUUUAUGCCAUAGUACAAAACCUUAGCCUACAAGAUUUGUACACACAAAAUGAAAAAAGAGCCAAGUAAUUCAUGAAUAAAAAACAUAGAGCAAAGAAGGGAUAAGUAACAUAAACACGCACACAAAAUUGGCACAGAUGAACAAAGAACGAGUUGCAAGCUCUUUAUUACCGAAAGAAACGAGCCCCAUAUCAUAUGAUCUCCCUACAAGCUUUACAACGAGCUAUCAUAUGCUUUCUAACUCUCAAAGAUUAACAAGUUACAGGCCUUAGAAAUUGCCCUCGUAAAUUCAUUUUAAAGCUAAAUUUUCUUACUAUUCAUGUGAUGAGCAUAUACUAUAUACAUAUUUUACCCUUAAUUAUAUAAUUACUAAUUAUUUUUAUUUGAUAUUUUUAAUUAAUUAAUUAUUUUGUUGAAUAAAAAAUUACGUGGAGAUUAUGAAUAAAAAAAGGGCAUAAAGGAGCUCAAUUUCGGAAGCAUUAAUUAAUUGAUUUUCGGAGCAAUUAGGCAUAUUUGCAUGUGAAGCCAAGCCAAGGAAACCAAAUUAAACAAAUUAAUUCAUCCAUGCACAUGAAGACAAAGAAGAUUAUGGCCAUCACGUGAGAAGCAAUCACCAUUAUUGUUAGCAUGUGCAUGUCAUUAAAAAAGGAAUUCUAAUGCAAUUCUAAGUGGUGAGCACGUGUGAGAGCAAAACAAAUUAAAAGGCCAAGCCUUUCGGCUUUAGAAUUGGAAUGGUUGGUGGCUCAUUUUGGAGAUUAUAAAAAGAAAUAUGAACUUUGGCUUUUAAGAGGCCAACCGCGAGAAGAGAAAAAAGAGAGCAACGUUAGGCAUUCGGCAGAGGAGAAAAUAGCGGCAGAAGCUCUUUAAUUCUUUUAUGGUUGGUUUUAUUUUAUUUGUUGCUCUCAAUUCAAGUAUGUCUAGCUAAUUUUCUUUUACUGAGGUUAAAGAUGAAACCUUAUUCAAUGAAAUAAUUAUCUUUUUAUUUAAUGAAUUCCUUACAUGCGUGUUUUAAUGUUUAUGUUUUUUUAUUUUACAUGAUUAGUUGGAUGUUAUUAAAUCUUUUCAUCAAUUCUGUCAAGCAUUAUUGAUUGUUAGGAUUAAUAUUCAAUUAAAUUUAUGCUUUGGUCUAUAAAGUUUUUAUAUUAUUAUCUUUGAUUCUAUAUCUUUCAUUAAAUUGUUUACAUAGAGUGCUUAGGUAAAUUUUGACAUUUUGUUAUUCAAUAUGUUUACAUAAAAUGCUUAGAUAUCAUACUAUUAAGCAGAAAAAGAACCUACAUUAGAUUUAAUUACUUGGGCUUAAUUGUUAUAUUCAUAAGAUGACAUAGAUUGAUUUCGAGUUGUCACUCUAAAAUUGGGGAUUAAUUAACAAUUAGAUAAUUACUAAUUGAAUAGUGGUGGAUUCUGAAACCUUGAUAAUUUUUGUCUUAUUAAAUUCUCUUUUAUUUUAAUUGCCUUAGUUUAAUUAGUUUAAUUUAUCAUUGCCUUAGUUUAAUUAGUUUAAUUUAUCUUAAAACUUAAUUUGCUCAACUAUUUUAUAAUUAAUAUUAAUUUUAGAUUUAAAUUAGACUUUUCAAUUUAUAACAAUCCAUGUAGGUUUGACCUCAUUACCACUAUUCUAUUUUUAAAUUCGUGUGCUUGCAAGUAUAUUAAAAUUUUUCACAAUAAGUUUUUGGCGUCGUUAUCAGGGAUUGUGCCAAAAAGUCAGUUUAAUCUAGAUUGAUUUGAUUUUUCCACUAGUUAUAAUUUAAGUUGUCUUUUAUUUUUAUUUUAUUUUAUUAAUAAAAAACACAAAAAAUAUUUAUUUGUCUUUAAAUUUAUUGUUUGGUUGUUUGAUUUGUUAUAUUUUAAAUUCCGUUUAUUUUUAUUAUUGUUGCUUUAUUUUCCUUUCUUUGUCUAGUUAGUUUAUGAGUGUUUGGGAACGCGAUUCAACAAAUCGUUUGGUAAGAAAAGAGUUUAAAAUUGAUAGUAGUCGAGUUAGUUCUUCAAAAGUGAUGGAUGACCCAAAGAGAAUAUUGUCAGUACUUCCACCAGUGCAAACAGAGAAAAUCCUUAGAGAAUAUUUUUCACCACUUGCAGCCAACCAACCAUCUUGUAUUAUGUUGCCACAGACUACAGCAACACACUUUGAAUUCAAGCCCUCUGUCAUUUAGCUUUUACCAUCUUUCCAUCAAAAUUUUAAUGAUCAGUCAAUUAGGUUUCGUAUGUUCCCUUUCUCAUUAAAAGACAAAGCGGAAGCUUGGUUGAAUUCACUUCCUGCUGGGUCUAUUACUACAUGGGAUGAAUUAAGUAAUAAGUUCUUUACCAAGUUUUUCCCUAUGUCUAAAACAAAUGUCAUUAGGAGAGAGAUAAAUGAUUUUUGUCAAAGAGAGGGUGAACAAUUUUAUGAGUGUUGUGAAAGAUUCAAUGAUUUACUCCUCAAGUGUCCCCAUCAUGGUUUUGAGAAAUGGAGACUUAUACAGUGCUUUUAUAAUGGUUUAACUAUAUCAAAUCAUCACAUGAUAGAGUCUAUGAAUGGUGGGAGAUUUUUUAAUUUACAUGAAGGGGCUGCAUGCGAUUUCUUUAUUUUACUUUUUGAGAAUUCUCAACAAUGAGAUUUUUCAAAUCAAAGAAAAAAAUGAUCUCAAGUUUCUAGGAAAGUCUAUAUGAAGUUAAUGAUGAUUUUGAUGUUAAGGUCAUUCUAGCUACACUUUCUAGGAAAAGUAGAUGCCUUAACUCUGAACCAAUCAAUGAAUCAUCACCCUAGUGUACCUAAUGAAGUUUGUACUCUUUGUUCUAACUUGUCUCAUACAGCACAUAAUUGUCCAUCAUUACCAGCCUAUCAAGAGGCUUAUUCUGAGCAGGUACAUGCCUUACAAUCAUAUGAGAAAACCCCCAAUAAUCCAUAUUCACCCACAUAUAAUCCUAAUUGGAGGAACCACCCUAAUUUUUCUUUGAAACAAAGUCAGCCUUUAUCAAACCAAGGAGGACAACAAUUCAACGUACCCAAUCAACAAUUUGUCCUUUCUAACCAAGUAUAUCCUCCUGCCCAACAGCCUAUGUCUCAAUUUGUUACACCUUAGCAAAGAAAAUGUUCUUUAGAUGAUACACUUUAAAGUUUCAUUCAGUUAACCCAACAAGCUUUUCAGUCAAACACUCAAGCUAUUCUAAAGCUUGAACAUCAAUUGGGUCAAUUAGCAACUGCUGUGGCUGAGAGAAAAAAAGGAAAAUUCCCAAGUCAACCAGUUCUUAAUCCUAAAUGAGUGCAUAAAGUUGGAUCAACUUCAAGCCAUCAGUAUAAAGAAGCAAAAUCUAUUAUGACCUUGAGAAAAUGAAAAAUAUUUGACAACAAGGUGGAGGUUCGAACAAGAAAGACAUCUGAACCUACUUCUGCAGAUCCAGUUCCAUCACAAGACUCAUCACUAAAUGAUCCAGAAGAAAGUAAUCCACCAGCUUACAUUCCUAAGGCUUAUUUUCCUUAAAGGUUAACAAAGGUAAAGAAAGAGACUUCAACAUGUGAGAUUAUGGAAAUCUUCAGGCAUGUAAGUAUAAGCAUCCCUUUACUCGAUGUUAUUAAGCAAGUUCCUCAUAUGCCAAGUUUUUGAAGGAUUUAUGAACUAAAAAAAGAAAUUUGCAUGUCACCAAAAAUGCAUUUUUAACUGAACAAACUAGCAAUUUACUUCAAUAUAAAAUGCCACCAAAAUUUAAGGAUCUAAGUUCCCCUACUAUCUCAUGUGUUAUAGGGAACCAAUUGUUUGAUAAAGCAUUAUUGGAUUUGGAUGCAAGUGUUAAUCUCUUGCCUUACUUUGUUUACAUGCAGCUUGGAUUACAUAAAUUAAAGUCAACUUCCAUUAUUUUGCAACAUGCAGAUAGGUUAAUGAAAAUACCUCAUGGUAUUAUAGAGGAUGUGUUGAUACAGAUUGAUAAAUUUUAUUAUUUUGUUGACUUUAUUGAUAUUGAUACUCAGCAUGUACAGGAUCCUAAGAAACACACCCCAGUUAUUUUAGGUCGUCCUUUCUUAGCUACAGUUGAUGCUCUUAUUAAUUGCAGGAAUGGAAACAUGCAAUUAUCUUUUGGUAACAUGACCAUGGAAUUAAAUAUUUUUAAUGUUCCUGAUAACUCUAGGAAAUGAGAGUUAUUACAUCAAUUCUAAACUUAAAUCAAGAUCACUUAGAGAACAAAUAAGGUGUUUUUAUUACAUUUUGGUUAUAUUUUGCAUAAACAUUCAUUUUAGUUAAGUUUUAAUAAGUUUUGUUUGAAUCAAAGUAAUUGGUGCUAAAAACAGGUGCAUAAUUGUAGCUUUUCAGAAAGUCUUAAUUCAUGAGAGGAUGGUGAGACAUUAGAUGAGCAAGAGGAGGAAAGAAGAUAGCCGCAAAAGAAGAAAAGCACAAUGGGGAAUAGUACAGUAUUGUAGCGGAUGUUAAAGCAACCAGUGCUAUAACAAUCUUGGAGCAAUGCUGGAGAAAAUUCAGGCGCGGGUCAGCUGCAGAAUCGCGAUUUGCAUGUUUCCUAAUUUAACUCAUGCACGCUUAUGGACUUUUAUUUUACUCUAGUUUGCAGUAUAAAAGAGAGGCGUGCACCACAUAGAGAGGCGACAAGAGGAAUUAUCAUAAAAAAUCAUUAGAGAGAAAAAGAGAAGAAGAUCAGAAUUGAAGAGUGUUGUUUCGGCAACAUUGAGGAAUCUGGUAGAAUUAUUCGAAUUUGUCUUUCACUGUGCUCAACUGAUAUUUAUCUUCCUCCUUUGAUUGUUUUAAUGUAUCCCGUGAACAACAUAUUUUUGUUUGUUUUUCUUAUUCAGAAUAUGAACUAGAUUUGCUUGUAGUUGAGUGACAAACAAUCCAAUGGGUUCUUGACUGUUCUUAUGUGUUGUUAUGUCAUUGCUGUAGUAUUAUACUCUAAUAGUUAUUAUUAAUAUAACUGUUAUUUCGGUUGACCACCCAUUUAAUAGUUCCAGUUAAGAUAGAGCAGUAAAAGUGCAUGUCUUAGCGGACAUUAUUAGAAUAUUACUUGAUCUUAAGUUAAGUUUCCUAGAUUAAGUUAUCUUGAAUCCCAUAAGGGCAAUGACAUAACAACACAUAAGUGCUCACCUUGUAGGGUGGAGAGAUAAAAAUGGAUCAUAAAGCCAUAUCAUGAGUAGAUUAGCAACUGGUCAUUGCUAGUGUAUUUAAGGGUAUGAGAGUUCCAAUAUGCGACAGCUGAGGAUGCAGAUUAAUUCCGCCCAGUGCUGCAGCACUUGCCGUAACAAUUGGAGUCCACUUGAUGAAAAACAGUCAGCCCAUAAGGAGAGUUUGAUCAUUCAACUACCAUGUUCUUACUUGAAUCUUAGACACAUUCAGUUUAGUUUAUUUCAUUGUGGUUUUGUUUAUUUUAUUCUCUCACAAUAAUUAAUUACGAUAGAACACAUUUUACGUUUGUUAACUUCGGAUUUGAAUUAGUUUGCACUAUUGUGAUUGCUACAAUAUUUUUGGUAACAUCAAUCCCUGUGGAGACGAUCUUGAAUACUCAUCACUUUAUUACUUGUUGUGUACACUUGCACAUUAACAAUAAUAGCAUUUGAUUAUAAAAUCAACCAAUAAGUUUUUGGCGCCGUUGCUGGGGGUUGAUUAUUUAUUUUUGAAGUGUGAAGUAAAUCUUGAUAGCACCAAAUUUGAUUUAAUUCAUUCUAUUUAUUGGCAGAUCAAUACUUGCAUGCGCAAAGACAGAUCUGUGAUAUUUCAGUUCGAUCCUGAGAUUGAAAUGACUGUUAGGAGAUUGCGAAGAGAACAAAGGAAGUCAAAAACUAUUUCAAGCAUGAAUAAUUUACAGGAUGAGGGAAAUUGAACCCUGACGGGCCCUUAUAACCAGUUAACAUUCAAGAAGAGCAGAAUGAACAUGCUAACGAGAGACAACCAGGCAAUAAUAAUAUUAUUUACAUGGCUAAUGACAGAGACAGAGCUAUUAGAGAUUAUGCUGUGUUAACUCCUCAAGUUGUACACCCUGAGAUAAUCAGACCUGAAGUAGAAGCUGUAAAUUUUGAGUUGAAGCCAGUGAUGUUUCAAAUGUUGCAAACAGUUGGUCAAUUAAAUAGAUUACCAAAUGAAGAUCCUCAUCUCCAUCUUAAGUUGUUCUUGGAAGUGAGUGAUGCUUUCAAGAUUGCUGGAGCAACACAAGACGCCUUAAAGCUGAGACUUUUUCCUUAUUUCUUAAGAGAUCGAGCAAGAGCAUGAUUCGUUACCAUCUGAUUCCAUCACUACAUGAAAUGAGUUGGCUGAUAAAUUCCUAAUGAAAUAUUUUCCACUGACAAAAAAUGCAAAGUUGCGGAAUGAGAUAACUUCUUUUCAUCAACUUGAAGAUGAAAGUUUGUACGAGGCUUUGGAAAGAUUCAAAGAACUGCUCAGAAGGUGUCCUCAUCAUGGCAUUCCUUGUUGCAUUCAAUUGGAAACUUUCUACAGUAGGUUGAAUCCAAGUACAAGGUUAAUGGUGGAUGCUUCAGCAGAUGGAGCCCUGUUAUCCAAAUCUUACACUGAAGCUUAUGAAAUUCUGGAGAGAAUUGCCAAUAAUAAUUAUCAGUGGCCAUCAACCAGGCAACCAGCAGUAAGAGGAUCAGUAGGGGUACAUAACAUAGAUGCAAUUACAACCUUAUCAGCACAAGUAACCUCAUUGACUAACAUGGUAAAGGCCAUGUUCUCUGCUCCAACAGUAGUGAAGCAAGUUGCAGAACUUUCUUGUGUAUACUGUGGUGAAGGACAUGACUUUGAUAAUUGUCAUGGAAAUCCAGCAUCAGUAACUAUGUGGGUAAUUUCAAUCGACAGCCUCAGAACAACCUAUAUUCAAAUACUUACAACCCUGGAUGGAAACAACACCCAAAUUUCUCAUGGAGCAGUCAGAAUCGAAAUGCUCCAGCAGUAAAUGGACAAAAUAUGAACAAUCAACCAUCUGGAUUUCAUCAGCAGAGUCAGGGGAAAAAACAUAGCAAUCAGGAUCCAAUCAUUUCACUGGAAGCAUUGAUUAAGGAGUACAUUACAAAGAAUGAAGCAAUUGUGCAGAGUCAAGCCGUAUCCUUGAGGAACCUGAAAAAUCAAAUGGGACAACUUGCCAUAGCAAUGAGUAGCAGGACUCAAGGAAGUUUCCCUAGCAACACAGAAGACCCUAGGAGAGAGGGUAAAGAACACUGCAAAGCAAUUAAUUUGAGAUCUGGAAAAAAUGUUAAUAUCCUAAUUGAUGUGAUUAACAAGGGUAAGAAAGUUAAUUCCUCACAAAAACCACCUCAAGAUGGAAGCAUGUUACAACAACCCAACCAUCAAAACACUAGUUACAUGGGCCAAGCUACAGCAACUGCAGAGGGAGUUCAAUCAGAACAUGUUGAAAAAGAAGUUGCAACACCAGUAGCCACGGCCUACACCAAGCCAAACAAACAGAGUUUGGUACCUCCUAAAGCUACCCAGCAGUUUAGACAUCCACCACCUUUCCCACAGAGAUUCCAGAAGCAAAAAUAAGACAAACAGUUCAGUAAAUUCCUGGAAGUGCUGAAGCAAUUACACAUAAAUAUACCUUUUGUGGAAGCCUUGGAGCAAAUGCCAAAUUAUGUGAAAUUUCUAAAAGACAUCUUGGCACGAAAGAGAAUGCUGGGAGAGUUUGAAACUGUUGCUUUAACACAGGAAAGCAGUCAUAUGCUCCAAAGUAAGAUUCCUACAAAAGUGAAAGAUCCAGGAAGUUUUACAAUAUCAUGCUCUAUAGGAACUAGGUAUACUGACAGAGCACUUUGUGAUUUGGGAGCUAGUAUUAAUUUAAUGCCAUUACCUGUAUUUAAGCAGCUGGGAGUAGGGGAAUACAGACCAACAACAGUCACUCUGCAAUUAGCUGACAGAUCUCAUGCAUACCCUGAAGGAAAAAUUGAGGAUGUACUGGUGAAGGUGGACAAAUUCAUCUUCCCAGUAGACUUCAUUGUACUAGACUUCGAAGCUGAUAAAGAGGUGCCCAUUAUACUUGGAAGACAUUUUCUAGCAAUUGGAAAGACUUUGAUAGAUGUGCAGAAAUGAGAGCUCACCAUGAGAGUAAAUGAUCAGCAAGUCACAUUUAAUGUACUAGAGGCUAUGAGAAGUCCUGAUGAAGUAGAAGAUUACAAUUUCCUAAGUGUUGUGGAUUUUGUUGUAACAGACAGAAUGGACAGAUGCUGCAGUAAUGAAAUCAACAAAGUCACCACCUUUGAGAAUGUAGAAGAGGAAGAUGUUGCAGAAAAUCAGAUAGAUUGGAUGAAAGAAAAGAAAUCUGAUAGGCACAACAGGUUUAUUGAGCAUCUGAAUCUUUCAGACAGGAAAGUAAAAAUAACUUUACCAUAUAUUGAAUCACCUCCUAGUCUUGAAUUAAAAUUGUUAUCUUCACAUUUGAAGUAUGUUUAUCUUAGUCAAAACAACACACUCCCUGUGAUCAUUUCUUUUACUUUGGAUACAGGUUGAGAACAGAGUUUAGUAGAUUUGUUGGGAAAAUACAGUAGAGCAAUUGAAUGAACCAUGGAAGACAUCAAGGGGAUAAGCCUAUCAAUAUGCAUGCAUAAAAUCCUGUUAGAAGAUUGCUACAGCAAUUCGGUGGAGCACCAGAGAAGGUUGAACCCUAUUAUGAAAGAAGUGGUGAAGAAGGAAACCAUCAAAUGGUUAGAUGCUGGACUCAUAUACCCAAUAUCAGACAAUUCGUGGGCGAGCCCAGUUCAAUAUGUUCCAAAGAAGGGAGAGAUAACUGUGAUAGCUAAUGGGAGGGAUAACUGUGAUAGCUGAUAAGAGAGAUGAACUUAUUUCUACAAGGACAGUGACUGGAUGGAGAGUAUGUAUGGAUUACAGGAAGCUUAAUAAAGCCACAAAGAAAGACCACUUCCCACUCUCAUUCAUAGAUCAGAUGUUGGACAGACUUGUUGGAAAACAAUACUAUUGUUUCCUAGAUGGGUAUUCAGGCUACAACCAGAUUGCUAUAGCUCCAGAAGAUAAGGAAAAGACUACAUUUACUUGUCCUUAUGGAACAUUUGCCUUCAGAAGAAUGCUCUUUGGGUUGUGCAAUGCUCCAGCAACUUUUCAGAGAUGCAUGAUGUCUAUUUUUUCUGAUAUGGUAGAACAAACUUUAUAAGUUUUCAUGGAUGACUUUUCAAUUUUUGGAGUGACAUACAAUGAUUGUUUACACAACUUGGAAGAAGUUCUUAAAAGAUGUGAGAUGACUAACUUAGUACUUAAUUGGGAAAAAUGUUAUUUCAUUGGGCAAGAAGAAAUAAUGUUGGGUCAUAAGGUGUCCAAGAAAGCCAUUGAGGUAGACAAAGCCAGGAUAAAGGUAAUAAAUAAACUGCCACCCGCCACUUCAAUAAAGGGUAUAAGGAGUUUUUUGGGCCAUACUGGAUUUUAUAGAAGAUUCAUUAAGGAUUUUUCUAAGGUAGCUAAACCAUUAUGCUCAUUGCUGGAACAUGACAAGCCCUUUCACUUUGACAAAGAUUGUCAUCAAGCAUUUGGAGAAUUAAAGAAAGCUCUGAUCACUGCUCCAGUAGUUAUAUCUUUAGACUGGAUGUUACCAUUUGAAUUGAUGUGUGAUGCUAGUGAUCAUUCUGUUGGAGCAGUAUUAGGGCAAAAAAAGGAUAAGGUUUUUCACUCCAUAUACUAUGCAAGUAAAACUCUUACUCAAACUCAAAUCAAUUACACCACUACAGAGAAAGAGUUGCUAGUAGUAGUAUUUGUUUUUGACAAAUUCAGGGCCUACUUGGUGGGUACUAAAGUGACUGUAUAUACAAACCAUGCAGCCAUCAAAUACUUAAUUUCAAAGAAUGAUGCCAAGCCAAGAUUAAUCAGAUGGAUCUUAUUGCUUCAAGAAUUUGAUCUGAAAAUUAAAGAUAGAAAAGGGACUGAGAAUCAAGUAGCAGACCACCUGUCACGGCUGGAAGCAAAUACAAGUACAUUGACAAGAAAUGACAUCACUGAAACUUUUCCUGAUGAACAGAUGUUGGUAGUACAUCAAGCACAGAUGCUGCAGUCAGGAUCUCCAUGGUAUACAUAUUUUGCUAACUACUUGGAAGUGGAUUGCUACCACCUGAGCUGAAGUUCCAAGAGAAAAAGAAAUUUCUUCAUGAUGUAAGAAGUUAUCAGUGGGAUGACCCACAUUUAUAUAAGCUGUGCUCAGAUCAAGUAAUACGAAGAUGUGCUGCAGAAGGAGAGAUUCCCCACAUACUGGAGUCAUGCCAUGCUGCAGCAUAUGGAGGACAUUUUGGUGGUCACAGAACAGCUGCUAAAGUUUUGCAAUCAGGUUAUUACUAGCCUACCAUUUUUAAAGAUGCUUAUGAAUUUGUUAAAUAUUGUGACAGGUGUCAAAGGACAGGGAACAUAACUAGAAGACAUGAAAUGCCAUUGACCAAUAUUCUAGAAGUGGAAGUUUUUUAUGUAUAGGGAAUAGAUUUUAUGGGACCUUUUCCACCAUCCUUUGGGAACUUGUAUAUCCUUGUUGCUGUGGAUUAUGUCUCCAAGUGGGUAGAGGCUGCAGUAUUACCUACCAAUGAUGCUAAAGCAGUGGUGGUUUUUCUUCAGAAAAAUAUUUUUUCCAGGUUUGGCACUCCUAGAGCAAUUAUUAGUGAUGAGAGUACUCAUUUUUACAACAAAGUCUUUGCUGCAGCUAUGGUAAAAUAUGGAGUCAGACACAAGGUAGCAACAACAUAUCACCCACAGUCCAAUGGUUAGGCUGAAGUGUCCAACAGAGAAAUUAAAAAGAUCUUAGAAAAAAUGGUGAACCCAACAAGGAAGGAUUGGUCUUUGCAAUUACAUGACUCUCUAUGGACCUACAGAACAACAAAAAAACUCCACUUGGCAUGUCUCCUUACCGAAUUGUUUAUGGGAAGGCUUGUCAUUUGCCACUAGAGCUAGAGCAUAACGCACAUUGGGCACUGAAGAAAUUAAAUUGGGACAUUCAUGCUGCAGCAGAGCAAAGAAAGCUUCAACUUUGUGAGCUUGAUGAAUUACGGCUAUUUUCAUAUGAAAAUGCUAGAAUCUAUAAAGAAAGGACAAACCACUGGCACGACAAGCAUAUUCAACACAGACAGUUCAGCCCUGGUCAACUAGUGCUGCUCCGCAAUACAAGACUAAGAUUAUUUUCAGGAAAGCUAAAAUCAUGAUGGUUUGGAAUUUUUAGGCUGUUAAAAUGUUAUCCUCAUGGAGCUGUUGAUCUUUUAGAUGAACAAACAGGUCACAAAUUUAAAGUUAAUGGACACAGGGUUAAGCAUUACAUACACCCAGCAACAGAUUGUUCAAAGGAGGUUUUACUCCUUAAAGAACCCAGCUAUUGAGCAGUGAAAGAAGGUCAGGCUGAAGGACCUUAAAUCAAGCGCUCCAUGAGAGGCAACCCAUUGUGGAGAUAGCCACUUCAAACCAAGUUUGAUCAUCUUUGGUUUUGUUGACGGUUCUCCCUUUCUUCCAUUUUAUUUAAUUUUGUUCUUUAAUUUAAGUUACUUAGUUUUAUCUUUUCACAUUAUUGCAUUUUUUUUAUAUUGCUAUCAUUUGAUCUCUUUAUUUUUAAUUAUAUUUUUAGAAUCGAUUUUAGUUUUUGUGGUAAGUAUGAGUGGCAUUAGAUUUUCAUUUUAACCAGUGGGGUUGUAUGGUGACAGAGUGCAGAGGCAAGCCACGUGUCAAAGAGCAUUGGAGGGACGUAUGUAAUCGUUGCUAGAGCAAGCUGCAACACCUAAUAUUACCAUUACAGUAAAUUAAAAAUUAGAGCCUCUCACUUACCGUUGGAGAUAAAUCAUGAUAGAUGGCGGCAUGGAUUUGGAUAGCAAUUGCGAAGAAAUCUCCGAAAUUAAUGCAUUAAUUUCCCUGGCCUAUGUUUUAGGGAUAUACAUAUUAAAUUCAAAAUAUUUUCUUCCCUUAUUUAUCUGUAGUUACCAGAUUUAUCUUCACUUAAAGUCCACUAUAAAAGGGAGUCACUGUGCGUAGUGAUCUACGGCACUAUUCCCCAUCUCCUUCGCAAAUACAACUCUCAUAAUUCUUAACCUCUUCUUCUCAUUUUACUCUCAGAUUGUUACUGCUAUAGCAAUGCCAAGGUAUAAGAAAAUAGCCAGCCGCCUCAAAGAUCCUUCACGCUUCCAGAGUUACCACGCCGAAGAAAAAUAUGAAGAAUUCGUAAGAUUCUGGAAGAAAAGUGGUUUCAAUUUCCAGAGCGACUCAUCGGAAUUGUGCAAACAAUACACAAUGCUGCAGUAAAGCGUGGAUGGUUGGACUUUUGCAACCACCCUCGAAAUCCUGUGCUACCAGUAGUAAAGGAAUUUUACGCCAAUUUGGUAAGCCCUGAUCAGCACAACAUUUGGGUAAGAAACACACUUGUUCCAUUAGACUCCCGCGUUAUAAAUGCUUUUUAUAAUUUACCUGCUGAAAUUAAUUGUGAGUAUGCCAAGUUGCUUGAUAAAUUGACCCCAAAGAAAUGGAACACCAUCUUCAUAACUCUUACAAUUGAAGGGGCAUCAUGGGCUAACGAGGAAGGGCGUGUAGUUAAUAGGAUAGAUUUGAAACUUAUUGUUAAGGUUGGGUGAAAUUUUUGAAAUCUAGGCUUAUGCCAACCACUCAUACUACUACGGUUUCACAAGAGAGGUUGGUCUUGUUAUAUGUCAUUGUUCGAGGGCUUCUCAUAGAUGUAGGUAGCAUCAUCGAAAAAGAAAUCAGGGAUUGUGCAGUUAAGAAUCAUAAAACUGAUGCUCUACUAUUUCCUUCGCUCAUCACCAGCAUUUGUGUAGUAUCCGGUGUUCGUCUUGACGUGAGAAAUGACCAUAUCAAGAAUGAUGGUGCCUUUACGACACGUACCAUUGAUAGAGUUGUUGGUGAGAGUACUGGAACAACAACUGAACCAACUACUGUAACAAGAGCAAGACGAGUUAUUGGUUUAGAAUAAACAAUUCAGGUGCUCAGCAAAGAUCAGCAGAGGGAAAAUGAUCGGUUUUGGAGCUAUUUACAGCACCUGAACAACCAACUACACUAAUUUGCUCUGUACAUGAAACACACUCACCGGAACUUCCUUGAUUCAUUGCUCCAGCAAUACAAUUUUGACACCAACACCACAGGUACUCCAGCAGCAGCCAGUGAAGAAGCCACUGCCACAGAUGAACUAGAAGAAGAAGCUGCAGCCGAACCACAAGCAGAGGUAGAAUCAGAAGAUGCUGAAACAUCUGAUCAACCUGAGGAAGAAGGUGACAAGUCUGCAACUGAUAGCUCACCCAUAGAGGCAGAGGACAACUCUGAGAAAGAACGUGAGGAACUUUCCAUUCCAACUCAUUCCAAAACCAGGAGGAAGAGGAAAACCCUGAAGAGGAACCUUCCAUUCCAGUCAUUGCGGGCAAGGACAAGGGCAAGGGCAAGGGCAAGGUAAAAAUAGCAACAUCUCCAGCCUCUGAAGAUGAAAUGGAGCAAAUCGAUGCAGAGCUAGCUGCUGCAGUAACCAGAGUUACGCCUACACCUGCAGAAGCCAAACAGCUACUUGAUAUCAUUGCUGCCAUCACAGCUGAAGGUCAGGCAGCUGAUGCCUCAACUCCAAUUCCUCCACAGAUGACUCCUAGCCAACCUGUUCGUACCAGUCCGUGAUAAUCCAGUAAAAGAAAAGGCAGUACGUAUAAAGGCACUGCUACAACAGCCUCGCCUCAACCAAAACGGACCAGGUCGGUGUCAACUACACAACCUACCCCAGCCGCAACUCCUCUCGCCAGCCCAGUGACGAAAAAGACAAAGACAUUGCCAGUCACUUCCCCACAAGUUUCACCAAAUGAUAAGCUGCGCAGUGCAUCCAAGAAACGCUGAUAUCAUCCCGUCAUUUGCAGCAGUCCCAACCACAUGGGAGUAUCCCUACCUUGCUAGUUAAUUUAUUGUUAAAAAAAAACUUUUCUUUCAGUUUUAUUGUUAAAGAAAAACUUUUAUUUCAGUAUGUUUUUCAAAUUUUGUGGUAUUUUCUAAUGUCUUCCAUGUCCUUGUCCACUUGUGUGCCUUUGUUAUGUAUGCUUGUGAGGACAUAGCAACUCUCAAGUUUAGGGGGGUUGUGUUUCCAAAUGUUUGUGUUUAUGUGUAUGCUUGUGUUGUGUGUUGUGUGAAGCUCUGUUAUCUAAUAUUUGUGUAUGGAUUUGAAAACCUAAUGAAGAUAUAUUGAGUGUUAUUCAAGAUUUAAGAGAAUGCCAAGUAGAGAUAGUUAUAGAUGGAGGUUGAAAUUAUGUCCUGACACUUAGACUUUGGUUGAAUUGUAUGAGAUUGCUAGAGCAAAGCCAAAAGAAUAGAAAAGAGCUUAAGUUUGGGGGGGAAAAUAAGUUGAUUGACUGUGAUAUCUAUGUAAUAAACUCUGUUUCAAUGGCUCAAGUUGCUGAAUAACCAGAUCUUAGUAUGUACCCCAUAUGCAGAAUUGUGUUCAAAGGUAGCAAGAGUUAUGAGCAAUGCUGUAGCAUUUAAAAAAAAAAAAGCCCUCUGUCUAAGGCAUUGAGUAGCCAGGUCUGUUCAUGAGCCCCAUGUUCAGCCUUGAAUAAAAAAUAUCUCUAGAUAAGACUAUAUUACAGAUAUUGCUACAGCAACUCUGAUCUGUGCAUGGUUUGAGUAAUUGGGUGUCAUCAUUACAAUUGAUUGACAUUCACAUGAAAAAUAAAUGUUGCAGUGAGGAAGUUGAAUACUCUCCAGUUUCUCAAUCUUAAAAUCAUCACAGUUCGAGUAUGUGAAAUUUAUGCUGCCCCAUAUAUGAUGAAGUUUUAUCACUGCUGAAAUUCAUGCAGUCUCUUAGUGAUGUUAUAGCAUCUCUAGAAUACAAUCAAAAUAGCACACACACACAAUGGACAGAAAGAAGCUUAAGUCUAGAACUGGUUUACUAUAGUCACGUUGCAUGAUUGGGAUUGUGAUCUGAAGGUGGAAGAAUCCUUGCAAAUUUGAUAAAAGAACUAAAGUUAUUUUGCAUGAUUGUUUGUGUGAAGUAUUAGUAUGUUGUCAUUACUUGAGGACAAGUAAUGGUUUAAGUUUAGGGGUGUGAUAACUCUAGGAAAUGAGAGUUAUUACAUCAAUUAUAGACUUAAAUCAAGAUUACUUAGAGAACAAAUAAGGUGUUUUUAUUACAUUUUGGUUAUAUUUUGCAUAAACAUUCAUUUUAGUUAAGUUUUAAUAAGUUUUGUUUGAAUCAAAGUAAUUGUUGCUAAAAACAGGUGCAUAAUUGUAGGUUUUUAGAAAGUCUUAAUUCAUGAGAGGAUGGUGAGACAGUGGAUGAGCAAGAGGAGGAAAGAAGAUAGCUGCAGAAGAAGUAAAGCACAAUCGGGAAUAGUGCAGUGUUGUAGCGGAUGUUAGAGCAACCAGUGCUAUAGCAAUCUGGGAGCAAUGCGGGAGAAAAUUUAGGCGCGGGUCAGCUGCAGAAUCGUGAUUUGCAUGUUUCCUAAUUUAACUCAUGCACGCCUAUGGACUUUUGUUUUAUCCUAGUUUGCAGUAUAAAAGAGAGGCGUUCACGACAUAGAGAGGCGGCAAGAGGAAUUAUCAUAAAAAUCAUUAAAGAGAAAAAGAGAAGAAGAUCAAAAUUGAAGAGUGCUGUUUCGGCAACAUUGAGGAAUCUGGCAGAAUUAUUCGAAUUUGUCUUUCACUGUGCUCAACUGAUAUUUAUCUUCUUCCUUUGAUUGUUUUAAUGUAUCCCGUGAACAACAUAUUUAUGUUUUUUUUUCUUAUUCAAAAUAUGAACUAUAUUUGCUUGUAGUUGAGUGACAAACAAUCCAAUGGGUUCUUCACUGUUCUUAUGUGUUUGAUUUUUCUACAAAUUUUUUUUCCAAGUCCAUUGAUUUUCUGCCUCUCUUACUAAUCAUGUUAGGCUUGGAAAUAUCCACUUUGGUAUUAUUAUUUUAUAAAUUUUAAUUAUUUUAAUUAUUUAUUAAUUAUAUUAAUUAUUAUUAUUAUUAUUGUUAUUAGUUUUAUUAUUUUAAUUAUUAUUAUUGAUUAAGACUAGAAAGUGUACAUUUGAUCAAAGUUAAAAUUAUCAUUUUCCACUUACAUUGUUGAUAAGACUAACAAUGGCAUCAAAUUUACAAAUCCCUAACACAUUUUAUGAAUUUUCUAUUUUUAUUGGUUUUAAAGUAUGAUUUUUGUGCUUUGUAGAUAAAUCCCUAAAUUCAUGAUGUUUGGAUCAAAAAAGUGAACGUGAAAUUUAGAUUCUGGAGACUCAAAAUCCUUUAGAAGAAUUGCUACCCUUUUGAUCCAACAUUAAUUAUAAACGGUUGAGAUCAUGCUAUGUGUCUAAGCUAAAGUGCACCUUAUUGUACUAGAUUUAACAGUUAUCAAUUUGAUAGAUCAACUAUCUUGACAAAUGAGCCUAUGGAAGAUCUCAUUUUGACCUCAUUUAUAGCCAUUGAUUAUAUUGAAUUCGACUAUUCAUAAUGGUUGCAAUUUUAAACCCUUGGAUUAUAUUAGAAAAAGUUUCCUCAUAAUCGAUUCCCUCUUUCUGAGUAAACCCUUUGGCUACUAAUCUUGCUUUAAAUGUUUCCACCCUUCCAUCUACUCCUCUUUUUCUCUUGUAGAUCCACUUGCACCCUAUAGGUUUUACCUCAUUUGGUGCCUCUACAAGUUCCCAGACUUUAUUGGAAUACAUAGAUUCUAUUUCUUGAUUCAUGGUCUUUUUCCAAAAUUCAACAUCUCUAUCUAUUAGAGCUUCGUUGUAACUAGUGGGAUCUUGUACAUGUUCAUCUGAGAUAGCCGUAUAGGUUUCUCCUAAAAGCAUGUAUCUUGCAGGUAACUUAGUUACCUUCCCACUACGACGAGGUUCUAAAAGUGAUGGUUGUUCAGGGUUAAUCCUGUGUUGAUCAUCUGGUUGUUGCUGUUCUUCCUGUUCUGUAACAGGCGUUGAAAGCUAAGCAUCAACCUGAUCACCUGACAGUUCUUCGAGUAUUACCUUACUCUUAGGUUUGAAGUUAUUCAUAUAGUCUUCCUCGAGGGAAGUGAAAUGUGUGCUCACGAUCACUUUCCUAUCUUGAGGACUAUAAAAUAAACCUCCCAUUGUUCCUUUGGGAUACCCCACAAACAUACAAACCUCAGAACGUGAAUCCAUUUUGUCUGCCUUUGGUUUCAGCACAUGUGCUGGUGAUCCCCAAAUAUGGACAUGUCGUAAACUUGGUUUGCGACCUGACCAUAAUUCUAUUGGGGUUUUAGGCACUGACUUAGAUGGAACUAAGUUCAAAAGGUAAACUACAGUUUCCAGUGCUAGUCCCCAAAAAGAGAUUGGUAAUGACGAAUAACUAAGCAUAGAUCUCACCAUAUCCAAAAGAGUUCUAUUUCUUCUUUCAGCUACCUCAUUUUGUUGUGGUGUUCCCGGGGCAGUCAACUGAGAUAUAAUCCCAUUUUCAACUAGAUACUCUUUGAAAUCUCCUGAGAGAAAUUCACCACCUCGAUCAGAUCGAAGUUUCUUUAUGUUCUUAUCUAAUUGCUUUUCUGUCUCAGCCCUAUACUCUUUGAAUUUCUCAAGAGCUUCAGACUUAUGACGCAUCAGAUAAACAUAACCGUAUCUUGAGUAAUCAUCAGUGAAAGUGAUGAAAUACUCAUAACCUCCUCGAGCUUGUACAUUGAUUGGUCCACAUACAUCUGUAUGUACCAAUUCAAGUGGUACUGUUGCACGUACUCCUUUAGCCGAGAAUGACCUUUUGGUCAUUUUCCCUUCUAAACAGGAUUCACAGAGUGGCAAUGAUUCAUUUUCUAAUGGACCCAAGAGCCCAUCUUUGAUCAUUCUCUGUAUUCUAUUUUGGUUUAUAUGACCCAAGCGUAAAUGCCAGAGGUAACAUUGGUUGGAAGAAAUAUUUUUUUUCUUAGAUAAAUGUGUAUGCUCAUCAUUAUUUAUCACUGUGUCAUGCAUAUAAUGGAUCAUUGGACUUAAAUGAUAUAAAUUAUCUUCCAAUGUACUAGAACAAAUAAGUCUCUUAUUAUGAAAAAUAGAAACAGAGGAUCCAAAAUUUACAGUGUACCAUUGCUUUGACAAACAAGCUAAUGAAAUUAAAUUCCUCUUAAUGUCUGGAACAUAAAGACAAUUAUUCAAAACUAAAGUCUCAUUAUUAAAAGAUAAUAAAACAGAUCUAGUCUUCACUGCUGACACGAACUGUCCUGUCCCUAACUGCAGCUUGACGCUUUCUUCACUUAUUUUCCUGGUUUCCUGAAACCAAUAAAGUGAAUUACAAAUAUGAUUAGUUGCUCCUGAAUCCAACACCCAAGUGUCAAUAGGAUUCUGAACUAAACAGGCCUCAAUUACAAAAAGAUUUCCCAUACCUGAUUUCACAAUCUUAGGGCAAUCCUUUUUCCAGUGACCUUUCUGUCCACACUUAAAGCAUUUGCCUUUCGGCUUGCCAUCUUGCUUGGUAGACGGUUUCUUUUUCCCAGCUUUCUUCUUACCUUUGCCUUUCGGCUUAGGCCCAGAAGAUGAACUUUUUUCAGUAAUAUUUAUGCUUCCCAGAGAUUUCUCAGCACGAUAGAUCUCUUCAGCAGAAUGGAGUUCGUUAAUCAAUUCAGUUAAGGUCAUGUUUCUUUUGUUCAUGUUAUAAUUGACCUUAAACUCCUUGAAUGUUUCUGGUAGAGAUUCUAGCACCAUGUCAAUCUUUGAGUUAUCAUCGAUUUGUGCUCCUUGAAUCUCAGCCUCAUUCAAAUAGUCCAUCAUUUUGAGGACAUGAUCAUGAACUCUUAUGCCCUUCCCCAUUUUACUGUUCAUAAUUCCUUUCAGCGCUGCUUGUCUUGCUGAGCGAGUACUCUGCCCGAACAUCUGUUGGAGACUAUCCAUUAUUUCAGUGGCAGUCUCCAAGUUCUGAUGUUUGCUCUGCAGAAUAUUAGAAAUCGAGGCUAAAAUGUAGCACUUUGCCAUUUCAUUGGCCUUUUGCCAUUUCUCAUAAAGCCUCCUCUAAUUUCUAUGAGCAUCAUCCGCUGGAACUGGAGGGCAUGGCUGGGUUAAGACAUAUUUAUAAUUUUCAGCAGUCAGGACAAUGAAUAGAUUUCUUUUCCAAUCUAUAUAGUUCUCCCCAGUGAGUUUGUUUUGACUCAGAAUAAUAGUAAGUGGGCUCAGGGAAGACAUUUUCUGAAAAAUAAAACAUCCAUGCAUAAAUAAUUUGAAAUAAUAUUCACAAUAAAUGACAAAAAAGCAUAAAACCAUAAAUGCAUUUUAAUUUAUUGUAACGAUAAUCUAGUUCCGCUUUGACAAGCUAUCCGGUGGGGAAGUCAUGUCUAUACUUACUAGACCCAAUUACCCAUUGGAUUAUUUACUUUCAUGUAGAGACAUGAUAAAUAAUUAUCGUUAUCUUUUUGGGCCUAAAUUUGUUAACAGAGCUUCGUUGGGAAGGUUAAUAACAAAUUUUAGUUGAGUGUAUAACCAUUAUUUCAAUCUAUGUAUUUUUCAUAUCAAUAGUCACCGUUGGGGUGAACAAUCGAUUGAAAAAUAUUUCAAUUUUAUCUUUGAAGAAGUUCAUCAAAUAAAAUAUCUAAUAUAUAUACCCUCCGAAGGGAGCAUCACCGUAUCAUGAAGUCGAGGUAUAUAUAUAAUUUUAUUAUUGAAGUAACAAUGGAGCCCGUGGAAAAAUUAUCUUGAAUUUUCCCUCUCCCACUCAAUAUUUUAAAAUUGGCUUUUCCUUUUUAAAACAUACAUAUUGUUAAUUGCAUGCUUCCUAUAAUAUUAUCUAGAUGAUAUCAAAUAUUAUUAAGCAUACAGAAAUUUCAAACAAUAUUAUGAAAUUCAUUAUUAAUGAAUGACAUGUAUCAUUAUGCAUAGAGUGGCACUACCUAUUCUAUAUGACAUUGUUAUCAUGGCAUGUAAUCAUCCAAAACAUAACAUAUAGAAAAAUAAUUAAAUAAUCUUAAUUCAUAGCUUUCCUAAUAAUGAAAAAUACAUUAACCCUAAGCCUAAUCUUCAUUGGGCUUCUUGUCAAUGUCCAUCUUUCAUAAUCUUGUCUUUGUUAAUUGGCUAGGGGAAAUUGGAUUUUUAAAUUUAUAAUUGGUCCAAUUUUAAUUUUUGGAAGGAAUAAAUAAAUAAUUAAAAUUUUUUACUAAAAUAAAUUUUUUGGACCAAAAAUAAAUUUAUUGUGUUCAAUUUUAUCCAUGCAUUUUAAUCCAUUAAGGCCAAAUAUCAAUUGGGCCUAAAACUAGGAUUCUUUAAGCCCAAAACUGUUUUUGGACUUACAUGCAAAAAAUUAAAACUUAUCAGCCCAAAGAGAAAAUCUAUAGAACUAUAGGGAUCGUAAUGAUAAAAAUCAUUAAAACCCUAAAUCCAUAUUUUUCUCUCCCCAGCCGCCAUCACCACAAAGGGCAGCCACUGUUCACAAUUUCCAGCCAUCUCUGACGUCGAGUUUGCUGCCGCCAUCGCACCGGAAACGUACCAAACACCUCCCUCGCGCUGCACGGAAAGCUCCUGCUCGCGCUGCCUGCUGCGUGUGCUGGCUGUUGCACGCGAGCGUGCGCUAGCUGCUGCACGCACAACGUGCAUUGCUGGCUGCGCGAGCAGCACGCGCUGGCUGCUGGCUUGCAGCGCGCGCUUGCUGGCAGCAUGUGCUGCUGGCCGCGCGCUGCUUGCUGUUGGUUGCCGCUGUCAAAAUUUUCGGCCUCCGUCGCUUUGAUCUUGAAAAUCCGAGAUUAAUUUACAAAUUUCCUAGGCCAAUUUUUGGCUUACAAAAAUUCUAUAACAGUAAAAUAAAUCAAGAGGGAAACAUGAUGAUAAAAAACUACCCCUCUUAUGUUCAGGAUAAGCUCAGAUCAGCAUCGGAUCCAUUUCCCAAUUUUUCUUCCCCAAAUUCUGUUUCUGUACACUGUAAGUAUUUUUCAUCCUCAUUUUCUUGUAUCCAUUUUGCGUUAUGUCACCAUUUAUUUUCAUCUCAACAUUUGGUUUAAAUUAGAUCACCGGAGGAAAUACGAUGGGAAGAACACAGUGUUAGAGAAAAAUCAGGUUUUUAAAUUUUUUAUAAAACCUUUUAAGGACCGCUCUCAUAUAAUGUAUAAGAAUUUGUAAUCUAGAAAUCGUACCUUGAAAAUCCGAUUUGCCUUUUUUUCCGUUGAAGUGAUUUAGGCUCCUAGAUCACGAUCCGCCACCACCACUCCUGUUAGAUCACGAACUGUCACCAAUGAUCUUCCAGGUUAUGACUCAGGUUCGAUCUGCACUUGACGUGUGGGCGCCUUUAUCACUACCAAAGCAACUAGCACGAGAAAUUUUUUCUCUCAACAAUAGAGAGAAAAAUCUUUUUCUCUGAUCUGUAUAAAGUAGCUUCUCUUCUUUCUUUAGAGAAAAAUAAGCCUUUUAUAUCACCCUUUAGUGAAAAUCCUAGGCUCCAAAUAAUGGCCAAAAUAAAACUCACGUUACUUUUCAUUUAAUAGGGGACCCACCAUGUAAAAUAACAUAAGGCCCUUUACACAUAAGCUUAUUAAAUGGAGCCUCCCACUAAAUGAUAUAUUUAGGCUUUUGACCCAAAUAGCUAGUUAUCUUGCUUAUUAGUCCAGUAAUGGUGCAGUCAAUUAAAUGAGCUAACCCGGGGAUCAUUUGGGAACAUACAAUAGUGGCUAUAACAAUUAGGCCUGUAAUUAAACUAGCCUAAUUAUUUAAUUCCAAAUCUACUCCACUAAAAGAUUGGAACUAACUUCCAUAAUUGUAUGCUCGAAUAAUAAUUCGUCCCAAGCCACAUUGAUUUCUUUACUGCACAAUCCUUUGUACCACAUCGUUAAUUAAAUUGAUAUCUCAACUGUCCAAUCAAUUUAAUAACAUCUUAUUCCUUGAUCCUUACUGGUUUUCUCUAAUGAUCAUUUUCAACAUACUAAAUAUGUUGACACACUCUGGCCAGAGAAUUCUAUGAUCAAGUGCCGAAAACCCAUCAAGAGAUGUGUUGUACAAAUUCUAUAUUGUUAAUCCAUAACUCCAAUACUCAUAAUUGCUCCCACCAAGAUACCGAGUAAUCUUGACCACAAGGAUGUGUCUUGCCCAUUGGUAACUCAAAUGGAAUAACAAUUACAAUCAUGAAAUCAUAAUUAACUCAAGAUUAAGAUUACAGUAAAAUCAAUGCCUAUGAGAUUUAAUAAGUCUGACAGUUAUUACAAAGUUAAUUAAAUCUCAUAUGUGAUCCUGUUCAAUGUAGUCGUACUAUAUCAACAAAUUCAUACAUGAUUAAGACAAAUCAUUCAAUGAAUUUAUUACAGUCUAUACCUAAAUAAAGUGCCCAACUUUAUUUAUCAACUGCGAACUAAAUUUAUUUAAUCAUAAGAUAACUUGUAUUUAUGUCUUCUGUGAAUCCACAUGGUGAUCACAUAAAUACAUAUAAUAUGAUUAAAUGGACUUUAAUACAAAUAUUAAUGCAAUUAAGAUAUUUGAAUAAAAUACCUCAUCUAUUUUAUUAAUCAAAAAAAUUAUUUAUUACAAUUAAAAAAACAUAUAUGCUUUUAAAGAGCAUAUUUUCCCAACACACAGAUCAUCUCAAAGAGCACCGUCUGUGCAGCAAUUCACAAGGAACCAAACCUUAGAAUCGAUUUAACUCUAUGGGAUCUUAAGCUCAUUCAAUUUGAUACCAUUGAGAAAGGACUUCUCUUCCGCAAACCUUCAGAGGAUAACACCGAUACCAGCAGCUUGAACUUGAUCCACCACCUCAAGACCUCCCUUUCACGUACGCUAGACUACUUUCCCCCACUUGCCGGUCGCCUAGCCACCAUCGAGCAUCGUGAUGACAGCAACACAAUUUCUGUUUACAUAAAUUGCAACAAUGCCGGCGCAGAGUUUGUGCACGCCAUGGCCGAUGGAGUCUCUGUUGCAGAUAUCAUUACACCUGUUUAUGUUCCUAAUGAAACUGUUUACUCUUUUUUCCCACUAAAUGGAGUAACAAACUGUCAGUGUAUCUCCGAGGCCAAGCCGUUGCUUGGGGUUCAAGUGACAGAGCUUGUGGACGGAAUCUUCAUCGCUUGCACUAUCAAUCACUCCGUUGUUGACGGCACUUCCUUUUGGCAUUUCUUCAAUUCCUGGUCUGAAAUCUCACGGGGUUCUGAUUGUAUUUCAAAACUUCCAGUUCUCGAACGUGGAUUUCUCUCUGAUUCUGAAUAUUUUCCCAGUCGCCUCCCUCUCUGGAGCAUUGAACCUUCCGGAACUCACACUCCACCGCCUAAUUUGCGACAAAGGGUUUUCCACUUUACAAAGGAAAACAUUGCAAAACUCAAAGCAAAAGCCAAUGCUGAGAUUGGUAGUACCAACAAAAUCUCCUCUCUCCAAGCAAUCCUUUCCCAUAUUUGGCGAUCUUUUACUCGUAAUCGAUCUCUUGAUCCUGAUGAAGAAGUUCAUUUCAUGUUAGGAAUGGGAGUUAGACAAAGAUUGCAACCACCACUGCCACCAGAAUAUUUUGGAAAUGCAGCUCAGGUACUGGGAGAGUUCGCAUCCAUGAAAGCGAGAGAUCAACUUGAGCAAGGGCUUGGAAAUGUGGCAUUGAAAAUGAACAAGUUCAUCGCUGCGUACACAGACGAAAAGAUAAAGAACUUCUUGGAGUCUUGGGGAAAAAACCCUGAGAUCCUAACAUGGGAUAGCCUGCCGACGAAGAAUAAUGCUUGCUUCGUAAGUAGCUCGCCGAGGUUCAAUUUCUACGGUAACGAUUUCGGGUGGGGAAGACCAAUUGCAGUAAGGAGUGGUCCAGCGAACAAGGCUGCUGAGGGGAAGAUCACCCUGUUUGCCGGAGUGGAAGAAGGGAGUGUCGACGUUGAAGCUUGCUUUUUGCCUGAGACACUGCAAGGUAUGGGAAAUGAUACAGAAUUCAUGCAAUUGGUAUCUUAAUUGUUAAAAAUCUUCCGUGUUCUGGGGCUUUGCUCAUUAACCAUUAUAUCAAUGAAAGCUUACUUUUAAAUACAUUUUUUAUGAAUUAAUGUAGAUCAAAUUUAGUAUGACAUGUUUAUGUUUCUGAUCAAAUGAUGUAUUUUCAUUGGUCAUGUGAGAAGUAAAAGAGAUCCAACCGCAAGUUGCUUCUACCAAACAUUGACUUUCAUAUUAUUGGCGUGCCUUGGCAAAAGCCCAAUUAGGAUUUCAAUUAAAAUAUAUCUAAUUUUGAUAUUUUUGAAAAAUAAAGCCAUGGUGAAAUAAUUGACAUAACAUCAAUAUUAUAUCAGUAGUUCAGUGAUUUUUUUUUUCUUUUUGGGUACUUGCACCUUGCUGAUAUAGACUUUGUAAAUUAUUCUGAAUGCUUAACAUAUUUCUUUUAAUGUGAUCAAUAAAAGUUUUAAAAGCAGUCUAACAGAUUAAUGAUAAAUAAAUUUGUUUCAUAUUAAAAAUAAUUCUCGAUGACUUGAUAAUCCUGUGAAGAAGUUCCUUUCGAACUAUCGAUAGGAGUUAGAAUAAGAUUGCAACCAUCACUGCCGCCUGAUGAAUAUUUCGGAAAUGCAAUUCUAUAAAGCGGGAGAUCAAAUUGAAUAUGCGGCACUGCGAAUGAGCAAUGUUAGUGAAACUGAUAAAAUGUGAAGAACAGAGGAAACGAGUACAUGCUGUAACUAUGUAUUUGACAGCAGCUGAAUAGCUCACUCAGCUGACGUGGCUUAGUUAGUUAUUUUGAUUUAAGCAUUCUUCACAUGUGUGUAACAAAUUGCCAACAAUUAGUAACAAGUUGCUUUCACUUGCUAUAUAUAUGUAUAAUCUGUACUCAUUCGAUUAAUGAGAAGUUUUUACAAGUUUCCAUUAUGAGUUUUUCAUUCAUUUUCCUUUUAACUUUCUCGCUUCCCAAACACAAAUACUUGAGUUUCUAUCAUGGUAUCAGAGCCAUCAAUGGUGUUGUAAAAAAUUUUAAUAUACUCGUAAGCGCACGAAUGUAGAAUAAAAUAAUGGUAAUAAGGUCAAACCCACAGGGAUUAUUAUAAAUUAAAAAGUCUAAUUUAAAUAAAUUAAUAUUAAUUCUAACCUAGUUGAACAAAUUGAGUUUCUAAUAAAAUUUAACCAAUUAAACUAAGAAAACAAUUAAAACAAAGGAGAAUUUAAUAAGACAAAAAUUACUAAGGUUUCAGAAUCCACCACUAAUCAACUAGUAAUUACCUAAUUAUUAAUUAAUCCCCAAUUUUAGAGUGACAACUCGAAAUCAAUUUAUAUCAUCUCAUGGAUAUAACAAUUAAGCCCAAAUAAAAUUAUUCUUGUGUUGGUUCUUUUUCUUCUUAAUAAUAUGAUAUCUAAGCAUCCCAUGUAAACAUAUUGAAUAACAAAGAGUCAAAGUUUUCCGAAGCACUCUGUGUAAACAAUUUAAUGAAAGACACAGAAUCAAAGAUAAUCAUGUAUAAACUUUAAAGACUCAAGCAUAAAUUUAAUCGGAUAUUAAUUGUAACAAUCAAUAAUACAUGACAAAAUUGAUGAAAAUUUUUUAAUAACAUUCAACUAAUCAUGUGAAACACGAACCAUAAAUAUUAAAGAACAUAUGUAGAGAAUUAAUUAAAUAAAAAGAUAAUUAUUUCAUUAAAUAGGGUUUCAUCUUUAACCUCAGUAUAAAAAAAUUAGUUAGACAUACUAAAAUAGAGAAUAACAAAUAAAAUAAAAUCAACCAUGGAGAAGCCGAACUGUUGUUGCUGCUGCCGCUCCUCUUCAAAGUCAAAUACUCCCUCUUUUUCUCUCCUUUGGCGGCUGCCUUCUCAAAAGCCAAAGUUGGCUUUUUAUAAUGCUUAGCCACCCACUGACUUAACAAAGCCCACUCACCAAGCCCUUUUUAAAUUGUUUCCUUAUUAAGGGUUGAAAACUAGCCACACGUUUAACUUAAAAGUAAAAGGCCAAUUAAUAGUUUCUUCUUUUAAUGCCCUGCACAUGCAUUCCAAAUUGCCAAAUCUUUGCUUUCCAAAUGCAUGCCCACCGUUCAUUAUUUGAUGAGAUUGACUUCCAAUUUUGGUCUUCUUGACUUCCAUUAAUUCUUGACUGUAUUUUUGUCUUCUAAUUUAAUCUUUAUUCCUUCCCAAUUUGAACUUCUUCAUGCCCUUUUUAUCCUUAAUCUUCAAUUAAUUUCCUAUUCAAUAAAAUAAUUCAAUUAAUUAAAAAUAACAAAUAAAAAUAACUAGUAAAUAUGUAAUUACGGGUAAAGUAUGUAUAUAAAUUAUGAUCAUCAAAUGGCAAGCAUGAUUCAAUCCAAUACAUCCUCCUCUCCUUCAAAUAAUUUCCUACCUCAUAUCCUUCGUGCACCUCCUCCCAUUGGUCAUCCUAUGAUGACCAGAUCCAAGAAUGGCAUAUUCAAGCCAAAGUCUUAUCUAUGUGCUCUUUUAGCCUAAUCAUUUGAACUUUCCUCUGUCUCUCAAGCUUUAUCUGAUCCAUUAUAGUUCAAAGCCAUGCAAGAAGAAUUUCAAGCCUUACAAGCCAAUCACACAUGAGACUUGGUACUACCUACUGCUCCUGUUAAAGUGGUUGGUAACAAAUGGGUUUUUAGAAUAAAAUACAACCCUAAUGGGUCAAUACUAAAGUACAAAGCACGGCUGGUUGCUAAAGACUUCCAUCAGAUACAUGGUAUUGACUACACUGAAACCUUUAGUCUAGUAGUAAAAGCCUCUACUGUCAGCAUUACUGUUAUGAAUAAUUGGGUUCUUCGGCAAAUAAAUGUCAAUAAUGCUUUUCUAAAUGGUAUUCUUGAUGAGGAAGUGUAUAUGACACAUCUCGAAGGAUUUAUUGAUCCUCAUAAACCUUAGCGCAUAUGCAAAUUGAGGAAAGCUAUCUAUGGUUCGAAACAAGCUCCAAGAGCUUGGUUUGCCAGACUUAAAACAACAAUGCUUUCUCAGUGGCAUUUUUAGAGCUCCAAGUCAGACAAUUCACUCUUCUAUAAGAGAGAAAAUGGUCAUUUACUUUUGGUUUUGGUAUAUGUGGAUAAUAUUAUUGUUAUUGGUUCUAGCUCAGCGAAAGUUCAACAAGUAAUUCAAGAUAUGUAGAAGACUUUUGCCUUGAAGGAUCUAGGAGAACUCAACUAUUUUUUAGGCAUUGAAGUCUCAAAACUUUAAAAUGGCAUUCAUUUAUCCCAGGCUACGUACAUUGCUGAUAUUUUGGCAAAAGAUGACUUAGUUAAUUGUAGUCUAGUGCCAACACCUAUGUCUACAGGUCAGCAACUCACCAAAGACUCAGGUUCUGAAAUUUCAAAUAUUUCUCAGUAUAGAAGCAUUAUUAAGGCCCUACAAUAUGUUACUCUCACUAGACCAGAGAUAGCCUUUACUGUCAAUAAGCUUAGCCAGUUUCUAUCUAAUCCUAGAACUACACAUUGGGAGGCUUGCAAAAGGUUGUUAAGAUAUCUAAAAGGCACAAUUCAUUUUGGUCUUCAAUUUUACAAUUGUGGAGCUAUGCAAAUCAACUCUUUUACAUAUUCAGACUGGGCUUAUGAUCGGGAUGAUAGAAAAUCAGUAGUUGGUUUUGCUAUUUAUCUAGGUGCCAAUCUGGUUUUAUGGUCAUCCACGAAACAAUUAGCUGUCUCAAGGUCCAGUACAAAAGCUGAGUACAGAGCUUUGGCUCAUGCUGCAUCAGAGGUCAUUUGGAUAUAGUUUUUACUUGCUGAGCUAAGAAUUCAGCUAAGUACUACACCAAUUAUGUGGUGUGAUAACCAGGGAGCAAUUGCCUUAGCUUAUAAUUCAGUUUAUCAUGCUAAAACAAAGCAUGUUGAGCUGGACAUUCAUUUCAUCAAAGAUAGAGUGGGAUCAAAAGAAAUAGCUAUUUGUUUUGUGCAUAGUGAAGAUCAAACAACAAAUGUCUUAACUAAGGCUCUUACUUUCACUUAGUUCCAUUACUUGCGCAGUAAAUAAAAUGUUUAUCCCAGAAACACCAGUUCCAGAGGGGAUAUAAGUAAAGAUGAUAAUUUGUGAAGAAUAAAAUAAGGGAGUAAUGUGAAAAGCAGAAACUCCAGCUUAAGAGGGGAUGUUAGUGAAACUGAUCCCUUGGAGUCCUGGAGACAAAACCUUGUGGUCUUAACAUGGGAAAGCUAGAAGACGAAAUCUUAUUGGUUUCCAAAUAGUUCGUCGAGGUUCAAUAGCAAUGAGAAGUGGUCUAGGGAAUAAAGCUUAUGGAAAUAUCACUUAGUUUACAGGAGUGGAAGAAGGUAAUAUCGACAUUUAAGCUUGCUUUUUACCGGAGACACAACAGGGUAUGGGACAUGAUACAGAAUUCAUGCCAUCUACGUGUUAACGUCUUUGGUGAUCCUAAAAUAUUACUUUCUAAUCAUUCAUUUACACGUUAUCACGUGCAAAUGAAUGGUAUCAUAAUUAGUUAAAAGCACACAAAUGAUAAAAAGUGAAUUCAUUACUAUAACUAUGCUUUAUUUAGGCACCUCAUGCAAUAAAUUAUUUCAUCUCAAAACUCAAUUUAAUAAUUAAUCCCAUGAACAUCCAUUCGUUAGAGCAUGACAACAAAAUUUAUGUAUGGCAUCUGUGGUAGAGCAUAAUAGUUGUAGAGAAAUGGAAAUUGAAAGGAAGGAGCUGGCAGCUUAUAACUGUGAUUCAAGUUUUUGCUUUAGAAUCUUUCAGAAAAAAAAAAAGUUUUUGCUUUAGAAAAUUUUUGACUCAACCUAGUAAACUGGUCAAUAAACUAUCAAAUUUGGGGCCCAAUUUGAUGGGCCUAGUUGGUUGCAGUGUUGGGUCUAGUUAGUCUCAACAAAUACUGGUCGUAGCCUCGUAGGCAGUUCGCAUUAGAGAUUUAUGAUGAUUGUAAUGUGUGAAUGAGUAAUAGAAAGCUCUAUUUAUUGGCACAAGGAGUAACCUUUGUGCGGUUGUGCAGAUAAAAAGAGAAAACAUGUAGUGGGUUAUAUGAAAUUAAAAGUAAUAUGUUGUUAUAAACACGAUUAGAAAACUCCUGAUUUAAGCCAUAAAAGCCUUCAACUCAACACCAAAGUAUUCAGGGAACUACACUCAUGGUUUGAAUAGAAAUGCACAACCAUGGUUCUAAUACCAAUGGCUAAAAUAAUUUUAAGCUUUACGGCAAUGAAUCCAUUCAACAUAUUUCAUAAGGGAGAAAAACUGCAUUUUAUCUUGGUUGGCCAUGAAAAAGACUUGCUGGUAAGCUUGUUUCUUGCCCGUUAAUUCAACCUUUUGUUCUUGGCUUCAAUCUCAACAGCAAAAUCAAGCUCCUCAUUCACUGCACACACACACAAUUAGGAGAAAGGAGAAAAAGAAAGAUAGUGUAUAAUGGAACUGCAUUUUAAAGAAAUGUGUAGAAAACAAUCAAAACCUCUACAGAAUUCUUAGUAUUUUUGUCAACACAAUACUUCUUCUUUUAAAGACAUUAAUGCCAUAGUACAAAACCUUAGCCUACAAGAUUUGUACACACAAAAUGAAAAAAGAGCCAAGUAAUUCAUGAAUAAAAAACAUAGAGCAAAGAAGGGAUAAGUAACAUAAACACGCACAUGAAAUUGGCACAGAUGAACAAAGAACGAGUUGCAAGCUCUUUAUUACCGAAAGAAACGAGCCCCAUAUCAUAUGAUCUCCCUACAAGCUUUACAACGAGCUAUCAUAUGCUUUCCAACUCUCAAAGAUUAACAAGUUAUAGGCCUUAGAAAUUGCCCUCGUAAAUUCAUUUUAAAGCUAAAUUUUCUUGCUAUUCAUGGGAUGAGCAUAUACUAUAUACAUAUUUUACCCUUAAUUAUAUAAUUGCUAAUUAUUUUUAUUUGAUAUUUUUAAUUAAUUAAUUAUUUUGUUGAAUAAAAAAUUACGUGGAGAUUAUGAAUAAAAAAAGGGCAUAAAGGAGCUCAAUUUCGGAAGCAUUAAUUAAUUGAUUUUCGGAGCAAUUAAGUAUAUUUGCAUGUGAAGUCAAGCAAAGGAAACCAAAUUCAACAAAUUGAUUCAUCCAUGCACAUGAAGACAAAGAAGAUUAUGGCCAUCACGUGAGAAGCAAUCACCAUUAUUGUUAGCAUGUGCAUGGCAUUAAAAAAGGAAUUCUAAUGCAAUUCUAAGUGGUGAGUACGUGUGAGAGCAAAACAAAUUAAAAGGCCAAGCCUUUCGGCUUUAGAAUUGGAAUGGUUGGUGGCUCAUUUUGGAGAUUAUAAAAAGAAAUAUGAACUUUGGCUUUUAAGAGGCCAACCGCGAGAAGAGAAAAAAGAGAGCAACGUUAGGCAUUCGGUAGAGGAGAAAAUAGCGGCAGAAGCUCUUUAAUUCUUUUAUGGUUGGUUUUAUUUUAUUUGUUGCUCUCAAUUCAAGUAUGUCAAGCUAAUUUUCUUUUACUGAGGUUAAAGAUGAAACCUUAUUCAAUGAAAUAAUUAUCUUUUUAUUUAAUGAAUUCCCUACAUGCGUGUUUUAAUGUUUAUGUUUUUUUAUUUUACAUGAUUAAUUGGAUGUUAUUAAAUCUUUUCAUCAAUUCUGUCAAGCAUUAUUGAUUGUUAGGAUUAAUAUUCAAUUAAAUUUAUGCUUUGGUCUAUAAAGUUUUUAUAUUAUUAUCUUUGAUUCUAUAUCUUUCAUUAAAUUGUUUACAUAGAGUGCUUAGGAAAAUUUUGACCAUUUGUUAUUCAAUAUGUUUACAUAAGAUGCUUGGAUAUCAUACUAUUAAGCAGAAAAAGAACCUACAUUAGAUUUAAUUACUUGGGCUUAAUUGUUAUAUUCAUAAGAUGACAUAAAUUGAUUUCGAGUUGUCACUCUAAAAUUGGGGAUUAAUUAACAAUUAGAUAAUUACUAAUUGAAUAGUGGUGAAUUCUGAAACCUUGAUAAUUUUUGUCUUAUUAAAUUCUCUUUUAUUUUAAUUGCCUUAGUUUAAUUAGUUUAAUUUAUCUUAAAACUUAAUUUGCUCAACUAUUUUAGAAUUAAUAUUAAUUUUAGAUUUAAAUUAGACUUUUCAAUUUAUAACAAUCCCUGUAGGUUUGACCUCAUUACCACUAUUCUAUUUUUAAAUUCGUGUGCUUGCAAGUAUAUUAAAAUUUUUCACAAUAAGUUUUUGGCGUCGUUAUUGGGGAUUGUGCCAGAAAGUCAGUUUAAUCUAGAUUGAUUUGAUUUUUCCAGUAGUUAUAAUUUAAGUUGUCUUUUAUUUUUAUUUUAUUUUUUUAAUAAAAAACACAAAAAAUAUUUAUUUGUCUUUAAAUUUAUUGUUUGGUUGUUUGAUUUGUUUUAUUUUAAAUUCCGUUUAUUUUUAUUAUUGUUGCUUUAUUUUCCUUUCUUUGUCUAGUUAGUUUAUGAGUGUUUGGGAACGCGAUUCAACAAAUCGUUUGGUAAGAAAAGAGUUUAAAAUUGAUAGUAGUCGAGUUAGUUCUUCAAAAGUGAUGGAUGACCCAAAUAGAAUAUUGUCAGUACUUCCACCAGUACAAGCAGAGAAAAUCCUUAGAGAAUCUUUUUCACCACUUGCAGCCAACCAACCAUCUUGUAUUGUGUUGCCACAGACUACAUCAACACACUUUGAACUCAAGCCCUCUGUCAUUUAGCUUUUACCAUCUUUCCAUGGGUUAGAGAGAGAGGACCCAUAUUUGCACAUUAAGUACUUUUUUGACAUGUGCUCUACAUUUUAUUUUCAAAAUUUUAAUGAUCAGUCAAUUAGGUUUCGUAUGUUCCCUUUCUCAUUAAAAGACAAAGCGGAAGCUUGGUUGAAUUCACUUCCUGCUAGGUCUAUUACUACUUGGGAUGAAUUAAGUAAUAAGUUUUUUACCAAGUUUUUCCCUAUGUCUAAAACAAAUGUCAUUAGGAGAGAGAUAAAUGAUUUUUGUCAAAGAGAGGGUGAACAAUUUUAUGAGUGUUGCGAAAGAUUCAAUGAUUUACUCCUCAAGUGUCCCCACCAUGGUUUUGAGAAAUGGAGACUUAUAUAGUGCUUUUAUAAUGGUUUAACUAUAUCAAAUCAUCACAUGAUAGAGUCUAUGAAUGGUGGGAGAUUUUUUAAUUUACAUGAAGGGGCUGCAUGAGAUUUCUUUAUUUUACUUUUUGAGAAUUCUCAACAAUGAGAUUUUUCAAAUCAAAGAAAAAAAUGAUCUCAAGUUUCUAGGAAAGUCUAUAUGAAGUUAAUGAAGAUUUUGAUGUUAAGGUCAUUCUAGCUACACUUUCUAGGAAAAGUAGACGCCUUAACUCUGAACCAAUCAAUGAAUCAUCACCCUAGUGUACCUAAUGAGGUUUGUACUCUUUGUUCUAACUUGUCUCAUACAGCACAUAAUUGUCCAUCAUUGCCAGCCUAUCAAGAGGCUUAUUAUGAGCAAGUACAGGCCUUACAAUCAUAUGAAAAAAACCUUCAAUAGUCCAUAUUCAUCCACAUAUAAUCCUAAUUGGAGGAACCACCCUAAUUUUUCUUGGAAACAAAGUCAGCCUUUAUCAAACCAAGGAGGACAACAAUUCAACGUACCCAAUCAACAAUUUGUCCUUACUAACCAAGUAUAUCCUCCUGCCCAACAGCCUAUGUCUCAAUUUGUUACACCUUAGCAAAGAAAACCUUUUUCAGAUGAUACACUUCAAAGUUUCAUUCAGUCAACCCAACAAGCUUUUCAGUCAAACACUCAAGCUAUUCUAAAGCUUGAACAUCAAUUGGGUCAAUUAGCAACUGCUGUGGCUGAGAGAAAAAAAGGAAAAUUCCCAAGUCAGCCAGUUCUUAAUCCUAAAUGAGUGCAUAAAGUUGGAUCAACUUCAAGCCAUCAGUAUAAAGAAGCAAAAUCUAUUAUGACCUUGAGAAAAUGAAAAAUAUUUGACAACAAGGUGGAGGUUCGAACAAGAAAGACAUCUGAACCUACUUAUGCAGAUCCAGUUCCAUCACAAGACUCAUCACUAAAUGAUCCAGAAGAAAGUAAUCCACCAGCUUACAUUCCUAAGGCUUAUUUUCCUUAAAGGUUAACAAAGGUAAAGAAAGAGACUUCAACAUGUGAGAUUAUGGAAAUCUUCAGGCAUGUAAGUAUAAGCAUCCCUUUACUCGAUGCUAUUAAGCAAGUUCCUCAUAUGCCAAGUUUUUGAAGGAUUUAUGAACUAAAAAAAGAAAUUUGCAUGUCACCAAAAAUGCAUUUUUAACUGAACAAACUAGCAAUUUACUUCAAUAUAAAAUGCCACCAAAAUUUAAGGAUCCAGGUUCCCCUACUAUCUCAUGUGUUAUAGGGAACCAAUUGUUUGAUAAAGUAUUAUUGGAUUUGGAUGCAAGUGUUAAUCUCUUGCCUUACUUUGUUUACAUGCAGCUUGGAUUACAUAAAUUAAAGUCAACUUCCAUUAUUUUGCAACAUGCAGAUAGGUUAAUGAAAAUACCUCAUGGUAUUAUAGAGGAUGUGUUGAUACAGAUUGAUAAAUUUUAUUAUUUUGUUGACUUUAUUGAUAUUGAUACUCAGCAUGUACAGGAUCCUAAGAAACACACCCCAGUUAUUUUAGGUCGUCCUUUCUUAGCUAUAGUUGAUGCUCUUAUUAAUUGCAGGAAUGGAAACAUGCAAUUAUCUUUUGGUAACAUGACCAUGGAAUUAAAUAUUUUUAAUGUUCCUGAUAACUCUAGGAAAUGAGAGUUAUUACAUCAAUUCUAAACUUAAAUCAAGAUCACUUAGAGAACAAAUAAGGUGUUUUUAUUACAUUUUGGUUAUAUUUUGCAUAAACAUUCAUUUUAGUUAAGUUUUAAUAAGUUUUGUUUGAAUCAAAGUAAUUGGUGCUAAAAACAGGUGCAUAAUUGUAGGUUUUUAGAAAGUCUUAAUUCAUGAGAGGAUGGUGAGACAGUGGAUGAGCAAGAUGAGGAAAGAAGAUAGCUGCAGAAGAAGUAAAGCACAAUCGGGAAUAGUACAGUGUUGUAGCGGAUGUUAAAGCAACCAGUGCUAUAGCAAUCUGGGAGCAAUGCUGGAGAAAAUUUAGGCGUGGGUCAGCUGCAGAAUCGCGAUUUGCAUGUUUCCUAAUUUAACUCAUGCACGCUUAUGAACUUUUAUUUUACUCUAGUUUGCAGAAUAAAAGAGAGGCGUGCACCACAUAGAGAGGCGGCAAGAGGAAUUAUCAUAAAAAUCAUUAAAGAGAAAAAGAGAAGAAGAUCAGAAUUGAAGAGUGCUGUUUCGGCAACAUUGAGGAAUCUGGCAGAAUUAUUCGAAUUUGUCUUUCACUGUACUCAACUAAUAUUUAUCUUCUUCCUUUGAUUGUUUUAAUGUAUCCCGUGAACAACAUAUUUUUUUUUUUUUUUCUUAUUCAAAAUAUGAACUAUAUUUUCUUGUAGUUGAGUGACAAACAAUCCAAUGGGUUCUUGACUGUUCUUAUGUGUUUGAUUUUUUUACAAAUUUGUUUUCCAAGUCCAUUGAUUUUCUGCCUCUCUUACCAAUCAUGUUAGGCUUGGAAAUAUCCACUUUGGUAUUAUUAUUUUAUAAAUUUUAAUUAUUUUAAUUAUUUAUUAAUUAUUAGUAUUAUUAUUGUUAUUAGUUUUAUUAUUUUAAUUAUUAUUAUUGAUUAAGACUAGAAAGUGUACAUUUGAUAAAAGUUAAAAUUAUCAUUUUCCACUUACAUUGUUGAUAAGACUAACAAUGGCAUCAAAUUUACAAAUCCCUAACACAUUUUAUGAAUUUUCUAUUUUUAUUGGUUUUAAAGUAUGAUUUUUGUGCUUUGUAGAUAAAUCCCUAAAUUCAUGAUGUUUGGAUCGAAAAAGUGAACGUGAAAUUUAGAUUCUGGAGACUCAAAAUCCUUUAGAAGAAUUGCUACCCUUUUGAUCCAACAUUAAUUAUAAACGGUUGAGAUCAUGCUAUGUGUCUAAGCUAAAGUGCACCUUAUUGUACUAGAUUUAACACUUAUCAAUUUGAUAGAUCAACUAUCUUGACAAAUGAGCCUAUGGAAGAUCCCAUUUUGACCUCAUUUAUAGCCAUUGAUUAUAUUGAAUCCGACUAUUCAUAAUGGUUGCAAUUUUAAACCCUUGGAUUAUAUUAGUAAAGCUCAUUUAAAGGUUGUGGUUGCAAGCUCAUCGAAAAUAUUAUGUAAAUGUCCAACUUUAUCAACUCAAAAUUUGCUUAUAUAAAGGCAAGAGCUCUCACAAAUUUGUGUAGAGAAUUUAGAGAGAAGUUGGUAGAGAAUUGGUAGUGGAUUUUACAGGUGAGUUUUGUAGAGAAAUUUAAUGUAAAUCUAAAGUGAAUUUUACAGAAAAGCGUGAGUUUGGUGUAAAUCUAGAGUGAAUUUUAAGAAAAAGUGUGAGUUUGUUGUAAAUCUAGAGUUAAUUUUAGACCCUCAACAUUUUUUUAAUUUAAACUAUUCCUUAUUAAUUUUCUUUUUUACAAUUAUUUUUAUUUUAUAAUUAGCUAUUAUAUUUUUAAAUUCCUUAUGGGUUGACUCGAGAUUCACAAGUUAUAGUACAUCUAGACACUCUUAUAUUUGGGAGUAAUCAACUAUUUUUGAGUCAUGUUAAUUAUCAUUAUUUAUUAUUAUUGUCUUUAUUGUUAUUUUUUUAUUGUUAUUAUUAUUGUAAUAGAAACAAUUAAUACUUAGGAUAACAAUUAAAAAAAGAUAUUUUAGUAACUUAAAAUAAUUAAUUUUGAUUUUAAGAUAAAGUAAACAUAUUAAUAGUAAUAUAAUUCUGACUCAUAUAAUUUAAGUAAAUAAUUUAUUUUAAUAUAUAUUUUUCAUUUUAAUUUCAACUUAUUCCUAUUAGUAGUUAGACUUUCACCUUUGGAAGGCUCCAGGACUUGCUUAUUAGACCUUUGAUUUUUCCUCAAUUUGUUAUUCAAGUCCAUUGACUUUCUACCUCUAUUACCAGUCAUGUUGGGCUUGGAAAUCUCCACUUCUAGUAAUAAUGAGCAUGAACGUGGGCCAGAUUAUUUAAAUGGAUUCUCUAUUGGAGGUAGAUUAUUAGUUGUAAUAUUAGGAUCAUCAUUCGUCAGCCCCCUUCGCCGCAGAGAAAUUUUCUUAUCUUUAAAUUCCUGGCCCCCCUGUCUGUUGUGAAGGUUGAGUUGUGUUGGCGUUACCUCGGAUGUGAAGAACUGGCCAGAAUACUUCCAUGAGGGGCCAUGUCCACUUCUUCUACAGUGCCUAAAUGACUGCCCAAGAAGUGCCCCACCACUCUUUUGUCAAACAUACAAUCGGCAAAUUGUGAACCUAGUAACCAAAGUGACGCAUGAGAGAAAUCCAAUCAAGUUUGGAUAUGUCCCCCUUUUACCGUUGGCUGGACUAGACAAAUUUGGACCAUUCCUGUUAGGCUGAACUUUUUGAGUACAUUUUGAAAGUAACAACCAUAGUGACAUAAAUAAUGGACAUAAUACCAAUAGCACCAACAGUCCAAUGAUCCUUCUUUUUUAUUUAUUUAUUUUUUUUUUUUUGUUGGCUACAUUAUAGUUAUUCACUUAUUUUAUUUAUACUUAUUACAUAAAUUCAAACUCAUUUUGGGUACUAUAGUCAAUGGGCAUAAUUGUGAAAAGAAAUUUUGGGUGACUACUUGUGAAGGGGUGGAAUUUUCCUCCUAACACCCAUUUUCUUAAGAAACCGAUUAUUAAAAUUUAAAAACUUAAUUUUUACUCUACACAUCCUCUAUAUUUCCAAAAAGCUGACCUUAAUUAAAGAUAUACUUUUUUUUUAUUUUUUUCUACAAAUUUGUUUCUACAUCUGCAGCCACUUCUUACCUCUUCUGUUAGCGUUCUCGCUUUGUCUUCAUCUCAAAAAAGUACUGAAGUUGUUCUCUUAUCAAUCUCCACAAGAGCAUGCAUAUUAAUAAGGAGAAAUGAGACUUAAAUAAAUAAACAUGACAUAAUUAAAAUAUUUAAGAUUAUUAAAAUAAUAAUAUUCUGCUAUAAAAAUAUCUCUUUUCAACUUCCAGCCUGCUAUAAUACUUCUUGAAAUUUUUUUGGGUCGCAAACUCGCUUGUCCCUGUUUUAUAUUUGAUUUGCUCAAGGUUCAUAGAUGAGAAAGAAACUAUGGUAUCAGAAGCACCAAUUUCUAUUAUGUUGACACUUCUUGAGUUCGUAUCAUGUUGUUAGUUAGCUGCACUUGGGACUGCAAAGCUAUUCACGUUUUGGAUAAUUAUUUUAUGUUUCAGUUAAUAAAUUAAGUUUGUCCUAAUCUUUAGGAAGUUGUUAGUUUGUUCAACAUGUAUCAGCUUAUGGCUUGAUUCUCGGUCACUUAGUUUCUCAAUUUUUAUUAUUUAUUGUAAGCUUAAUGCAUAAAAGAAAUAAGAAUUUCCAGUAUUGCAUUCCCGCAUAUCUUUCUUUGUUCUUCCUCAAAACUCUUUAAACCUCUGUUUUUAUCUUUCCAAAUUAACACAUGUGCAUUCGCUUUGUUUGUUAUUAUUUGCGAAAUACUCUUUUAAAUUUGAAAAAGGAGAAUUUUUAAAUGAACGACCCAGAAGAAAAUGAAUUAGGGUUUAAUGUUGGGAUGACUUCUCUUAGGUGAGUGUAAAGAGAAUUAUUUCUUUACUAUAAAUUAUCUUAUUUUGUCUCCAGCAUUAAUUUCCUUUAAGGAUAAUUUAAGAAUAUAAUUUUUAUCAAAACAACAGGUGUAAAGAGUAUUUUUAUGAGUUCAAAUAUCUUGGAAAGGGUGAGAAUAACUAAUUUCCUUAUACUCUCUUUUUAAUUAAAAUUUUUAAUGUUAAUUUGGAUAAAAUUAUCUAAUUAUCUAUCUUCUAUCUUUCACACACGUUUCUUUUGUUUUGAGGGUGGAUCUACGACCACGCUCACAUUGUAGUAAAGGAGACUAUAUAUAAGUGUGUGUGGGUGGGUGUGUGUGUACACGCUUAAUAAUAGGACAUUAGGAGUCUUACCUUUAUGAAUACUUACUCUAAGCAAAAUAGUUAUAUAAAAAUGUAGAAAAUAAAAAUGCAAUUCAAAUACAAGCUAUAUAUUCUUCUUAAAAAAAUAAAUUAAAAGUUUAAAUAUAUUAAAAUCUCAAAUACUUAAAUAGAAUGAUUAAAUAAAUUAAGCAACUAAAAAUUGAUAUCUUUUCAAUUUUUCAAAAAGUAUUUUUAGUUAAAAAUAAAAAAUAAAUUAAGCCUAUUGGACACUCAAUAGCACACAACUUUGAGCUUGCUUCAAUUUAUAGAAAACAGCUUCCCUUUAGCACAGCAAUUUCUUCAUUAAAUUUCUCAAACAACAUGAGCUAUGUCUAAUAGAGCUUCAUUGUUUAAAAGACAAUAGAAUUUUAAAAUUAAUGAUAAGAUACUAAUAACUGAUAAAAUUUGAUAACUUAAUAAUAAAAUUCAACUUUAUUGCCUUAAUUAGGACAAUAACUUGAUCAAAAUUGACUUUAAAAUUAAGGUGAAAUUGGCUUGGCCGUAAAGUGAGCACUGAUAUUUGUCUUUUGUUAGUAGUUGAUCGGUGGAAAUUGGAAUAAAAGAAGAAAAUGGAACUUGAAAUUUUGACUUAAGUAUCCAUUUAAUAUUUGUAUUUUUUAAAAAUACCUUAAAACAACCUUAUAGUUAAAUAUGUUAGCCUAAAGGGUUACACAUAAUGUAAUUUUGAUGAUAACAAAAAUGUGUCUUAAGCGAUUUAAUAAAUAUUGUAUUUAACAUUUUCACAAGUUUUUGAAGGAUAAUAUUUAUGCAAGUGAAUCAAGUGAAAUCAAGUUCAAGACACUAAACGGAUAACGGCGAAAUAAAGAAUAAAGUUUAGAGCUCAACGGAUAAAUUAUUGCGACAAAUUCUUGUAAAGCCGAUAUGAUUUAAUUGAUACAUGAUUUAGAAUUUGAGAAGCUCAAGAGUUUAUUUAAAUAAUUACUUUUCAUAAACUAAAAUGUUUUAUAUUUAUAAGAUAAAAUAUUUUGUGAAUUUGAGUAAUUUGGACUAAAAUAAAAAGUUUUACAAUCUUUGAAUUUAAUAAGUAUUAUUUUAAAUUCUGAAAUUGAACCUAUUUGACAACAUUUGAAAUAUUUUGCAUCAUAUUAUAAUUUAUGAAAGAUUAUGGACCCGAAUGUAAUUCAAACAUUUGAAUUCGGAAAGAGAGUGCGGCUAACCCCCUGAGGGCUGGCGGCUAGCCGUCUGAGGAAAAUCUCAUAUUCUCAACUUUUGGAUAAAAUUGUAAGGAUUUGAGAACUUUGACAUUUAUGAAUAUUUUGUUAAACUUUGAAAAGGAUGUCUUUGAAACAUAUUAUUAUAUAUUGGGCCAUAACAUAGUUUCAAAAAGUUUUGGGAAUGAUAAAUAUUAUUUAAAAAUUCUAAAAUUGGAUCUUUUUGUAAAAUUUUAUGACAUUUGGGCUAUAGUACAAUUACAAAGAGUUUUAGACAAAAAUAUAAUUUUAUGAACAGUGUUAAGUGGCUAACUGCUUGGGCGCGGAAAUUUACCUAUAACGGCUAGUUUUCGAGCUUUAACUAUAAAAACUCAACUCCAACUUCAUUUUAAAUAUUAAUGUAAGGAUAAACAAGAUCACAUAACACAUAUUGAGCUUCCAUUUCGCAAAUCAUCAUUUAUUGAAUCAUUAUUGUGCUAUUAUUUACAUAUCCACUCUUAAAGAGAGUUUUUGUUGUAAUUUUCAUUUCUCAUCAAAUUGUGAGUGUACAAGUGUGAGAAACACUUGGGGUGAAGAGAUUUGGGAGAUAAUAUCUUGAUUGUAAAGGUUAUUGACACAUUGGAAGUCAAUUGUAAGAACUUGAGGCCUUGAGAGGCUUGGAUAGUGAAAUCUUUAGCUUGGUUGGCUUGGAGGUGUGGACGUAGGCGGAGAUUGCCGAACCACGUAAAAAUUAUUGUGUUUGAUUUCUAUUCCCUUACUAUUUUAUUAUUGUGCUUUACUAAAUUUAUUGUUUUUGUAUUUGAUUAAGGCAAUAGAUUAAAUUGUUUAGCAUAAGUUUUAAAAUCCCAAUUCACCCCCCCUCUUGGAUUGCAUAACUUGCAUUUCAAAAUAUAUUACAUUCUUUCUUUUACUUUUUUUACAAAAAUACCUUUCUAAUAAUAUUCUUGACAUUAAUUUAUUUAUUAAUAAGAAAUUAAUUAACAAAUUAACCAAUACUUAUUUACUAAACCAAUAAAUAUUGAUGUAAAAGAAUUAUUAUUAUUUAUUUAUGCAACAAGUUUACUAAUAAUUAUUUAUAAAUAAAAUUAAUAUCAAUCAACUUAAAUCAAUUUUUAUACAAAAAUACCCUUGCAAUAAAAUUCUUGGGAAUACCAAUAAAAAGAAAAAAAUUUUAUCAAAUUGACUUAGAAAUAACAUAAAAAUUUACACAAACUUUUAUAUUAUUAUAAUUUUUUUUUUUUACUUUUAGGAUUAACUUAGGAAAUUAUUUUUCUAUAAAAUAAUUAUUAGUAAGAUUGCUAUAAGGAUGUUUGACCCACUCAAAUCAACCCCCACUCUUUAAUUAACAAAAAAAUAUUACCAAAAUUACCUUUUAAAAAUAAAUAUAGUUUUUUAUUUUAAUUUUUGGUCUCUCUCAAAAUUCAUCAUAUUGAAUUCUUGAUCUUCUAAUAUAAAACGGCAAAGCCAUUAGUAAGAAUUAAAUCUGCAAUAAAAAUAUAAUGAUUUGUAUGGGGUUCAUAUCCGGAAAAACAAAAUAAAUUUAUAUCAUGGGGUUAUCAUUGUUUCUCUAAAUUCAUUUUACAGCUAAAUUUUCUUACUAUUCAUGCAAGCAAACUUUUCAAUUGCAUAUCAGACUGCGAUGGUGGUGAGGAAAAAAAAAUAAACAAUUUUUUUUUUACAUUUUAAGGAUAAUUUUAAAAAUAAAAUGAUUAAUUGAAUACCGGAAAAUAAUGAGAUCAAUUAAAGGAUCAAAUAUCAUUUCAAAGCUAUGGUAAUGUGCGCUGACAAAACCUCUCAACUGCCACCGGCGGCUGACCGAUCUACCAAGAAAGCAAAGUUUAAGGCUCAAGGGGCAGAUGGGGAUAACCCAUCUCCUUUGUCUUUCCGCGACAUGCUAAUGGACAUGCACGAACAAUCUGAUAGUGGGAAGUUUGGCCGGAAGGAUGACUGGGAGUUGGAGGAGGAUGAUGUGACGUACAGGGAGGAGGAACCUAUGCCAUUCAUAGCAUUCUCAAGCAGAGUUCAUGAACGGUUAGUGGAACCCUGGGAAAACUCAGUGGUGGUCAAAAUAUUAGGGCGCAACUUGGGGUAUCGUGUUCUCAGUUCUCGGUUGAACAGGAUCUGGAGUUCUACCACAAGGUUUGAAAUAAUUGAUUUAGCUAAUGAUUAUUUCCUGAUCCGUUUCUACAACAAAAAGGAUGUGGAGUAUGCCCUUACUGAGGGACCAUGGACGGUGAUGGGGCAUUAUUUAUCAGUGCAGAAAUGGUCUCCAGACUUCGAUGUAGUUAAUAAUAAAAUCAACCGCAUCAUGGCUUGGAUCCGUCUGUCUCAAAUGAAUAUUCAAUUUUAUCAUAAGAGUAUUAUCCGGCGACUAGGGCACAUUAUUGGUCCAGUCAUCAAAAUUGACAAUAACACAAUUACGGCACAGAGAGGCAAAUUUGCUCGUCUUGCGGUUGAAUUAGAUCUUCAGAAGCCUCUAGUUUCUCAGUUUAAUCUUGAAGGAAGGAUUCAAAAAGUGGAAUAUGAAAAUUUGCCGACGAUUUGUUUCGGUUGUGGUAAAUUUGGCCACUUCAAGGAUGCAUGUCCUGAUAGUGCUGACAUUAACAUCAUGGCCAAGGACAAUCCAGCCCCUCCUACGGAGGCUGAGGGGCAAGCCGUUGUGGUGGCUGCAGCAACUGACUACCGAGAGCCUAAAUUUGGAUCGUGGAUAGUGGUGGCCCGCCAGCCGCGCCCUCGUAAAGUCUUCGCCAAGGAUAAUCCUAAAGUUCAAGAUAAGGAUCGGUACAUGCCAAAAACUAGCCAGUCUCUGUUUGGUGUUUUGGAAGACCUUGAUAUUGAGGAUGAGAUCUCUCAAGAUCAUGAUACAGACCCCGGUUCUCAACGGGAACCUAUGAUGCAUGUAUCGGAGAGCAUCCAAUUCCUAGCCCCAAAACCUCGGAGCAUGAAAACGAAAAACCCUAGUCAACUCACUCGGAAAUACCCCCCUCGUCAAGUUUCCAUCACCAUUCCUCCAAGUCAACACGUAACUGAAAAUUUUGACCCCAAUACUCAAAUUCCCACUGAUUAUUCCCACCAAAAUAACCAACCCCCAGCCAUGCAUGGCAUGCAUGCUCCACCCAAAUUUUCCACGUCCACUCAUUCUGCUCCAUCUAAUGCCGCCUCCACUUCCAUGCAUGGUAUGCAUGCUUAUCAUAAUCAUGGCCAACACAAUCCAGGUCCAUUUCCAGUAUCCAUCACCCUUAACCCGCUACACCAUAGUGCCGUAUCUUUCUCCAAGACUUUUUCCCCAAAGGCAACUAAUCAUCCCCCCUCUCAACCUGUUGGUGACCCCUCUCUUGUUGGUGAACCACCGGACAAGGGCAAUCUGAAUGACCCUUACAUUAUGGAAGCCAUUGUUGAGCCUGAAGACUCCCCAGUUGCAAGCAGGAGUGGCUCUCCUUUGUCUACUACUGAUAUCUUAUUUGUUGCUGAUUCUGGCAUGGAAAUUGAGGCUGCGGCUUUGGAGUCCUCCCAGUAACUCCACUUGUUUCCCUUUCCAAUAAAUUUUAUGUUUAUUAGAACCAUGUUUUGGAAUUCUCAAGGUGCAGCGUCACCGUCUUUUUGUCGUUCCUUUUCGGUUUUAGUUCAGAAUUACAAGCCUUCCCUGGUUGUGUUGAUGGAGCCCCGUAUUAGUGGUUAUAAGGCUGAUCAUUUUAUUAAAAUAAGUGGCUUUGACAAAUCAUUCCGGGUGGAAGCAGAGGGUUUUUCUGGUGGCAUUUGGGUCCUAUGGAAAGAUAUUUUUUAGGUUGAGAUUGUUGCCAGCCAUUCUCAGUUUGUUCAUCUUCGAAUUUCCAACAACAAUAAUGUUCUCUCUUGGUUGACAGCUAUUUAUGCAAGCCCUAACCCCAGUCUUAGAAAAUAUCUUUGGAGUGAGCUAGAUAAUUUAGCUCAAACAGUUUAUGGUCCCUGGAUUUUGGGUGGGGACUUUAACACUAUUUUGUACGAUUCGGAAAAGAAAGGUGGGUCCCCUACAGGCACAGGAGCUUGCACUCUCUUCCAGUCUUGGUUCAACCUUCACAACAUGCAUGAUCUUCAAUCUCAUGGGCCACGUUUUACUUGGUCACGUGGAAGCCUAUUAAAACACCUUGAUCGCGUUAUUUGCAACAGUGAGUGGGCUCGUACCUUUUCCAAUUCUUUUGUGCUCCAUCUGCCGAAACUGAACUCUGAUCAUAGGCCUAUCCUGGUGCGAAGUACUGAUUUGUCUUCGAGAGUUUCGAUCUCUCGUCCUUUUCGGUUUCAAGCGGCUUGGCUUACUAAUGAAGGUUUCAAAGAAUUUGUGUCUGAAUCUUGGGAUCAGAACCUUCAUUACUUAGAUGGUGCUAAUAAAUUUCGUCAUAAGGUUACUGAAUGGAACAAGCAGUGUUUUGGGAAUAUUUUUUGGCGGAAAAAAUGUUUAUUAGCUCGUUUGGGAGGGAUUUAGCGGGCUUUAGAAAGAUAUUACUCUAAAGGGUUAUUAAAUCUUGAGAAACAACUAAACGCGGAUCUGGAAGAGGUGCUCACCCAAGAGGAAAUUAUUUGGCAUCAGAAAUCUCGGAGGGACUGGCUGCUUCUCGGUGAUCGUAAUACAUGUUACUAUCAUCACAAAACUCUUUCUAGAAGAAAACAAAAUAAUAUAGCGGCCAUCCAAAACAAUGCAGGGCUUUGGCUUUAUGAGGAAGAGGAAAUUAAAUCUCAUGUAAUUCAGUUCUACUCAACGUUAUUCUCUUGUGAUUCUCCUGACCUUCAGCACUACCCCCAUCCAAAUUGUUUUCCGCUUAUUAAGGAUGACUUGCUCCAUACCUUAAAUAAGUGCGUGGAGGAUGCUGAAAUUAAACAAACUAUCUUCAGCAUGCACCCUCUGAAAGCCCCGGGUCCUGAUGGUCUCCAUGCCAUUUUUUAUCAGACGCAGUGGAACACUGUGGGCUCUCCUUUAUGUCGUUUGGUGAAAGCUGUUUUCCAUGAAAAAUAUAUUCCUUUGGGGCUCAAUUCCACGCUGAUUGCUCUCAUUCCCAAGACAGAAAGCCCCUCCUCGUUGAAAAUGUACCGUCCUAUCUCCCUUUGCAAUGUUGGCUAUAAGACUAUCACCAAGCUGUUGGCUAAUCGCCUUCAAUCUAUUUUACCCUCUCUGAUUGGCCCCCAUCAAACUAGCUUCGUCCCUGGUCGUCAUAUCACGGAGAACAUCGUGAUUGCUCAAGAGGUUGUUCACUCUAUGCGCAAGAAGACGGGCUCUACUGGUUUUAUGGCUAUUAAAGUUGAUUUAGAAAAGGCUUAUGAUCGUCUCAGUUGGGAGUUUAUCAGUGAUACUCUGCGUGAAGCUCGCAUUCCUUCCGAUCUUAUUCAUGUUAUUAUGGCAUGCAUCACUUCGGUUACUAUGAGGGUUUUGUGGAAUGGGGAGGCUACGGAUGAAUUUUCUCCUUCCCAAGGAAUUCGUCAAGGCUGUCCAUUGUCCCCUUACCUAUUUGUCCUUUGCAUCGAACGGCUCAGUCACGGGAUUCGCAAUGCUAUUAGUGCCGGGAAGUGGCGUCCGAUCGGGUUAUCUCGCCAUGGAACACGUUUAUCUCAUCUUUUUUUUGCGGAUGAUCUUCUUUUGUUUGCAGAGGCUACAGUUGAGCAAGCUAGAGUUAUUUCAACAGUGUUAGCAGAAUUUUGUGCUUGUUCUAAUGCCAAAGUUAAUACAAGUAAAACUCUGCUUUAUUUUUCAAAGAACAUAGGUGCCAGAGAUGUCUCUGCAAUUUCGGGUCUUCUUGGCUUCUCAGUUACUUCUGACCUCGGCAAAUACCUUGGGGUCCCUCUUCACCAUUCAAGGGUUUCUACCAAUAUGUAUAAAGGGAUCAUCGAUAAGGUGGAGAAGCGGCUGUCGGCUUGGAAUGCCUCUCAUUUGUCCUUGGCUGGCCGCAUCACUCUAGCUCAGUCAGUUCUCCAGGCAAUUCCCAUCUAUGUUAUGCAGACUGUUUCCCUUCCUCGUGGGGUUUGUGAGAAAAUCGAUAGAGCGUGCAGGAGGUUUAUUUGGAGCGGUUCGUCUCCUCAACAGAAGCUCAACAUGGUUAGUUGGAAGAUUGUGUGCAAGCCUAAAGCUUCUGGCGGUCUUGGUUUCAAGUCUUUGGCAAUGAUGAAUCGGGCUUUACACAUGAAGCUAGCUUGGGGCAUAAUCUCCUCUUCGAAUAAUUUUUGGGUCCAGGUCCUUACUUCGAAGUACAAAGUGGAUCCUUACAACUUGCCUCCCGUCCUUCCAACACGCUAUGGUUCUCACUUGUGGAAGUCUCUUGGGCAGGUUUGGAGUGAGGCUCUUGCAAGCAGGCGCUGGAGUUUGGGUGAUGGUCAAUCUGCUCGUUUUUGGUGGGAUCUUUGGGUCACUGAUACGGUCCCUUUAAUCGCAUGCGCAACAAAUACUAUACAUGUGGGCAUUUUGGAUUGUAAGGUGGAAGAUCUUGUUGAUGUAAAUGGGGCUUGGUGUUGGCCUCGUUUUGAUCGAUAUCUUCCCAACCAUAUUGUUCUACAAAUAGCUGCUCUUCACCCCCCUUCCCACGUGAAAGGCAUGGACACUAUCUUUUGGGCUCAUUCAAAACACGGAGCUUUUUCUACAAGCUCGGCGUAUUUGGCUCUCUCUGAGUACGAUCCAAAGUCUGAAGAUAGAGAUUGGCAGUUAGUAUGGAAGUGGAAAGGCCCUCAAAGCGUGAGAAUCUUCUUGUGGCAAGCGUUUCACGUUGGUUUGAAAACUAAGGCUGAGUUGGCUCGGCGGCACUUACCCAUCUCGCCUUGUUGUGAUCGUUGUAGGGCUGUGUGUGAAGAUAUUACGCGUGCUCUACGUGAUUGUUGGUUGGUUAAGCAGUUUUGGCUCAACAUUAUUCCGACAAGCAAACGUCACAGUUUCUUUAAUUCUCGGCUUCAUCUUUGGCUAUGCUCGAAUCUGGUUGUUAAUCGUAAGGUAGGGAAUGUUUCAAACUGGGCUGUUUUUUUUGGAGUGGCGAUAUGGCGGAUCUGGUAUUGGUGUAAUCAGUUUCUCUUUAACAAAUUGAUGUUAGACCCUUUGGCUUUGUUGGUGGAUGUCCAUACAAGAGCUGAGAAGAUUCACAAGCUUCAUAACCACCUGUUGCUCACUAGGAAUAUUAGGACUCACAUGUGGAUUUCUUGGCAUCCUCCUGAGUGGCCCUGGUGUACUCUGAAUACGGAUGGUGCUCACAAGUCUCACGGAAAUUCUACUGCAGGUGGUUUAAUUCGAGAUCACUUAGGACGUUGGCUAAUAGGCUUUGGGAUGAUGAUUGGUUCUUGCUCUAUUACUGUCGCGGAGCUCUGGGGCUUAUAUCAAGGGUUUCAGCUUGCAUGGAAUUCUGGUAUCCGUAGAUUGAAAGUUGAAACGGAUAGCCUUUGCGUUACUCAAUUGGUGGCUAGACCUUCGGUGGUGACCAAUGAAUAUGCUCCCUUGGUCCAGGCUAUAAAAGAUUAUCUCAAAUUGGAUUGGCAUGUUUCCAUUUCUCACAUCUACAGAGAAGCAAAUUUUGCUGCAGAUUAUAUGGCGAACCUCGCUUUUUCUAUUCCGCUAGGCUUUACUGUGUACCCUUCCCCCCCUUUGGGCGUUAGGGCUCUGUUAUUGCAUGACUCUUACGGGGUUUCUCACCCCCGUUCUGUUGUUCUCUAGCUCUUCUUAGAGCCCCAAUUAAUCAAAAAAAAAAAAAAUCAUUUCAACAAAAGUAUUAUUAUUAUUAUUAUUAUUAUUAUCAUCAUUAUUUAUUUUUUAAACUGGUUCAAAUGUGCUCUAUUUCAUUAUAUUCUUAGAACUUGAGUUAAACUUGAAAUUGUCACUCUCUUUGCACAAUUUAAGAGAGUAGGUUCGCAUCUCAAGGAAUUCUAUAUUUCAUAUUUGUCACGAGUAACAAACAAAAAAAAAAAAGAAGAAAAUCUAGAAAUUGUAAAUGGAAAAUAUGAGAAAUUUGAAAUUACCUGCAAAAUGAUUUUAUCCAGUCAAGAUGAGACGGUGAUCAUUCAAGAUAACGAAUAGAUUCCUUUCAAGAUUACAACUGGACAUGAGCUGACAGCAUUUUUUUUUUCUCUCUUUUUGAGCUUUUGAGAAGAACAGGAGAGCACGUUUUUUUUUUUUUUCAUUUUUUUCUUUUUUUUUGAUGCUAGGAGAGCACGUUAAUUAAACAAACAAACACCAAUCGACAAAAUUAUAAACGACAAGAACAAUUAUUUCAUUCAAGUUUAUGUGGUGAUAAUUCAAUAUAACAUUGGGGCACGAUGAGGAUGGUCAACAGACAAAUUACCAUCACAAUAAACGUGUCAAAUAAUUGCAGGUGCGCCCCGAAGAGAGGAAGAAUCUCCAAAUUAUCGGAUAAUGAUAGCAGAAUGGUAUUGCUUCAGAAGUAAUCUUGUAUUAAUUCUGAAUUUGUCCUGAGUACUGAAUUAAUAAUCAAUAAUUAUUUUACGUGGCCCUCAAAUAAUUGCUGUCUAUUUAUCUAAUGUUCAGGAUAAGCUCAGAUCAGCACCGGAUCCGUUUUCCAAUUUUUCUUCCCCAAAUUCUGUUUCUGUACACUGUAAGUAUUUUUCAUCCUCAUUUUCUUGUAUCCAUUUUGCGUGGCCCUCAAAUAAUUGCUGUCUAUUUAUCUAAUGUUCAGGAUAAGCUCAGAUCAGCACCGGAUCCGUUUUCCAAUUUUUCUUCCCCAAAUUCUGUUUCUGUACACUGUAAGUAUUUUUCAUCCUCAUUUUCUUGUAUCCAUUUUGCGUUAUGUCACCAUUUAUUUUCAUCUCGACAUUUGGUUUCAAUUAGAUCACCGGAGGAAAUACGAUGGGAAGAACACAGAUCAUCUCAAAGAGCACCGUCUGUGCAGCAAUUCACAAGGAACCAAACCUUAGAAUCGAUUUAACUCUAUGGGAUCUUAAGCUCAUUCAAUUUGAUACCAUUCAGAAAGGACUUCUCUUCCGCAAACCUUCAGAGGAUAACACCGAUACCAGCAGCUUGAACUUGAUCCACCACCUCAAGACCUCCCUUUCACGUACGCUAGACUACUUUCCCCCACUUGCCGGUCGCCUAGCCACCAUCGAGCAUCGUGAUGACAGCAACACAAUUUCUGUUUACAUAAAUUGCAACAAUGCCGGCGCAGAGUUUGUGCACGCCAUGGCCGAUGGAGUCUCUGUUGCAGAUAUCAUUACACCUGUUUAUGUUCCUAAUGAAACUGUUUACUCUUUUUUCCCACUAAAUGGAGUAACAAACUGUCAGUGUAUCUCCGAGGCCAAGCCGUUGCUUGGGGUUCAAGUGACAGAGCUUGUGGAUGGAAUCUUCAUCGCUUGCACUAUCAAUCACUCCGUUGUUGACGGCACUUCCUUUUGGCAUUUCUUCAAUUCCUGGUCUGAAAUCUCACGGGGUUCUGAUUGUAUUUCAAAAGUUCCAGUUCUCGAACGUGGGUUUCUCUCUGAAUCAGAAUAUUUUCCCAUUCGCCUCCCUCUCUGGAGCAUUGAACCUUCCGGAACUCGCACUCCACCGCCUAAUUUGCAACAAAGGUUUUCCACUUUACGAAGGAAAACGUUGCAAAACUCAAAGCAAAAGCCAAUGCUGAGAUUGGUAGUACCAACAAAAUCUCCUCUCUCCAAGCAAUCCUUUCCCAUAUUUGGCGAUCUGUUACUCGUAAUCGAUCUCUUGAUCCUGAUGAAGAAGUUCAUUUCAUGUUAGGAAUGGGAGUUAGACAAAGAUUGCAACCACCACUGCCACCAGAAUAUUUUGGAAAUGCAGCUCAGGUACUGGGAGAGUUCGCAUCCAUGAAAGCUUAACAUAUAGACUUUGUAAAUUAUUUUGAAUGCUUAACAUAUUUCUUUUAAUGUGAUCAAUAAAAGUUUUAAAAGCAGUCUAACAGAUUAAUGAUAAAUAAAUUUGUUUCAUAUUAAAAAUAAUUCUCGAUGACUUGAUAAUCCUGUGAAGAAGUUCCUUUCGAACUAUCGAUAGGAGUUAGAAUAAGAUUGCAACCAUCACUGCCGCCUGAUGAAUAUUUCGGAAAUGCAAUUCUAUAAAGCGGGAGAUCAAAUUGAAUAUGCGGCACUGCGAAUGAGCAAUGUUAGUGAAACUGAUAAAAUGUGAAGAACAGAGGAAACGAGUACAUGCUGUCACUAUGUAUUUGACAGCAGCUGAAUAGCUCACUCAGCUGACGUCGCUUAGUUAGUUAUUUUGAUUUAAGCAUUCUUCACAUGUGUGUAACAAAUUGCCAACAAUUAGUAACAAAUUGCCAACAAUUAGUAACAAGUUGCUUCACUUGCUAUAUAUAUGUAUAAUCUGUACUCAUUCGAUUAAUGAGAAGUUUUUACAAGUUUCCAUUAUGAGUUUUUCAUUCAUUUUCCUUUUAACUUUCUCGCUUCCCAAACACAAAUACUUGAGUUUCUAUCAUGGUAUCAGAGCCAUCAAUGGUGUUGUAAAAAAUUUUAAUAUACUCGUAAGCGCACAAAUGUAGAAUAAAAUAAUGGUAAUAAUGUCAAACCCACAGGGAUUAUUAUAAAUUAAAAAGUCUAAUUUAAAUAAAUUAAUAUUAAUUCUAACCUAGUUGAACAAAUUGAGUUUCUAAUAAAAUUACACCAAUUAAACUAAGAAAACAAUUAAAACAAAGGAGAAUUUAAUAAGACAAAAAUUACUAAUGUUUCAGAAUCCACCACUAAUCAACUAGUAAUUACCUAAUUAUUAAUUAAUCCCCAAUUUUAGAGUGACAACUCGAAAUCAAUUUAUAUCAUCUCAUGGAUAUAACAAUUAAGCCCAAAUAAAAUUAAUCUUGUGUUGGUUCUUUUUCUUCUUAAUAAUAUGAUAUCUAAGCAUCCCAUGUAAACAUAUUGAAUAACAAAGAGUCAAAGUUUUCCGAAGCACUCUGUGUAAACAAUUUAAUGAAAGACACAGAAUCAAAGAUAAUCAUGUAUAAAUUUUAAAGACUCAAGCAUAAAUUUAAUCGGAUAUUAAGUGUAACAAUCAAUAAUACAUGACAGAAUUGAUGAAAAGAUUUUAAUAACAUUCAACUAAUCAUGUGAAACACGAACCAUAAAUAUUAAAGAACAUAUGUAGAGAAUUAAUUAAAUAAAAAGAUAAUUAUUUCAUUAAAUAGAGUUUCAUCUUUAACCUCAGUAUAAAAAAAUUAGUUAGACACACUUAAAUAGAGAAUAACAAAUAAAAUAAAAUCAGCCAUGGAGAAGCCGAACUGUUGUUGCUGCUGCCACUCCUCUUCAAAGCCAAAUACUCCCUCUUUUUCUCUCGUUUGGCGGCUGCCCUCUCAAAAACCAAAGUUGGCUUUUUAUAAUGCUUAGCCACCCACUGACUUAACAAAGCCCACUCACCAAGCCCUUUUUAAAUUGUUUCCUUAUUAAGGGUUGAAAACUAGCCACACGUUUAACUUAAAAGUAAAAGGCCAAUUAAUAGUUUCUUCUUUUAAUGCCCUGCACAUGCAUUCCAAAUUGCCAAAUCUUUGCUUUCCAAAUGCAUGCCCACCAGUCAUUAUUUGAUGAGAUUGACUUCCAAUUUUGGUCUUCUUGACUUCCAUUAAUUCUUGACUGUAUUUUUGUCUUCUAAUUUAAUCUUUAUUCCUUCCCAAUUUGAACUUCUUCAUGCCUUUUUUAUCCUUAAUCUUCAAUUAAUUUCCUAUUGAAUAAAAUAAUUCAAUUAAUUAAAAGUAAAAAAUAAAAAUAACUAGUAAAUAUGUAAUUACGGGUAAAAUAUGUAUAUAAAUUAUGAUCAUCAAAUGGCAAGCAUGAUUCAAUCCAAUACAUCCUCCUCUCCUUCAAAUAAUUCCCUACCUCAUAUCCUUCCUGCACCUCCUCCCAUUGGUCAUCCUAUGACGACCAGAUCCAAGAAUGGCAUAUUCAAGCCAAAGUCUUAUCUAUGUGCUCUUUUAGCCUAAUCAUUUGAACUUUCCUCUGUCUCUCAAGCUUUAUCUGAUCCAUUAUAAUUCAAAGCCAUGCAAGAAGAAUUUCAAGCCUUACAAGCCAAUCACACAUGAGACUUGGUACUACCUACUGCUCAUGUUAAAGUGGUUGGUAACAAAUGUGUUUUUAGAAUAAAAUACAACCUGAUGGGUCAAUACUAAAGUACAAAGCACGACUGGUUGCUAAAGACUUCCAUCAGAUACAUGGUAUUGACUACACUGAAACCUUUAGUCUAGUAGUAAAAGCCUCUACUGUCAGUAUUACUGUUAUGAAUAAUUGGGUUCUUCGGCAAAUAAAUGUCAAUAAUGCUUUUCUAAAUGGUAUUCUUGAUGGGGAAGUGUAUAUGACACAUCUCGAAGGAUUUAUUGAUCCUCAUAAACCUUAGCGCAUAUGCAAAUUGAGGAAAGCUAUCUAUGGUUCGAAACAAGCUCCAAGAGCUUGGUUUGCCAGACUUAAAACAACAAUGCUUUCUUAGUGGCAUUUUUAGAGCUCUAAGUCAGACAAUUCACUCUUCUAUAAGAGAGAAAAUUGUCAUUUACUUUUGGUUUUGGUAUAUGUGGAUAAUAUUAUUGUUAUUGGUUCUAGCUCAGCGAAAGUUCAACAAGUAAUUCAAGAUAUGUAGAAGACUUUUGCCUUGAAGGAUCUAGGAGAACUCAACUAUUUUUUAGGCAUUGAAGUCUCAAAACUUCAAAAUGUCAUUCAUUUAUCCCAGGCUACGUACAUUGCUGAUAUUUUGGCAAAAGAUGACUUAGUUAAUUGUAGUCUAGUGCCAACACCUAUGUCUACAGGUCAGCAACUCACCAAAGACUCAGGUUCUGAAAUUUCAAAUAUUUCUCAGUAUAGAAGCAUUAUUAAGGCCCUAUAAUAUGUUACUCUCACUAGACCAGAGAUAGCCUUUACUGUCAAUAAGCUUAGCCAGUUUCUAUCUAAUCCUAGAACUACACAUUGGGAGGCUUGCAAAAGGUUGUUAAGAUAUCUAAAAGGCACAAUUCAUUUUAGUCUUCAAUUUUACAAUUGUGGAGCUAUGCAGAUCAACUCUUUUACAUAUUCAGACUGGGCUUGUGAUCGGGAUGAUAGAAAAUCAGUAGUUGGUUUUGCUGUUUAUCUAGGUGCCAAUCUGGUUUCAUGGUCAUCCACGAAACAAUUAGUUGUCUCAAGGUCCAGUACAAAAGCUGAGUACAGAGCUUUGGCUCAUGCUGCAUCAGAGGUCAUUUGGAUAUAGUUUUUACUUGUUGAGCUAAGAAUUCAGCUAAGUACUACACCAAUUAUGUGGUGUGAUAACCAGGGAGCAAUUGCCUUAGCUUAUAAUUCAGUUUAUCAUGCUAAAACAAAGCAUGUUGAGCUGGACAUUCAUUUCAUCAAAGAUAGAGUGGGAUCAAAAGAAAUAGUUAUUUGUUUUGUGCAUAGUGAAGAUCAAACAACAGAUGUCUUAACUAAGGCUCUUACUUUCACUUAGUUCCAUUACUUGCGCAGUAAAUAAAAUGUUUAUCCCAGAAACGCCAGUUCCAGAGGGGAUAUAAGUAAAGAUGAUAAUUUGUGAAGAAUAAAAGAAGGGAGUAAUGUGAAAAGCAGAAACUCCAGCUUAAGAGAGGAUGUUAGUGAAACUGAUCCCUUGGAGUCCUGGAGACAAAACCUUGUGGUCUUAACAUGGGAAAGCUAGAAGACGAAAUCUUAUUGGUUUCCAAAUAGUUCGUCGAGGUUCAAUAGCAAUGAGAAGUGGUAUAAGGAAUAAUGCUUAUGGAAAUAUCACUUUGUUUACAGGAGUGGAAGAAGGUAAUGUCGACAUUGAAGCUUGCUUUUUGCCGGAGACACAACAGGGUAUAGGACAUGAGACAUAGUUCAUGCCAUCUACGUGUUAACGUCUUUGGUGAUCCUAAAAUAUUACUUUCUAAUCAUUCAUUUACACGUUAUCACGUGUAAAUGAAUGGUAUCAUAAUUAGUUAAAAGCACACAAAUGAUAAAAAGUGAAUUCAUUACUAUAACUAUGCUUUAUUUAGGCACCUCAUGCAAUAAAUUAUUUCAUCUCAAAACUCAAUUUAAUAAUUAAUCCCAUGAACAUCCAUUCGUUAGAGCAUGACAACAAAAUUUAUGUAUGGCAUAUGUGGCAGAGCAUAAUAGUUGUAGAGAAAUGGAAAUUGAAAGGAAGGAGUUGGUAGCUUAUAACUGUGAUUCAAGUUUUUGCUUUAGAAUCUUUCAAAAAAAAAAAAGUUUUUGCUUUAGAAAUUUUUUGACUCGACCUAGUAAACUGGUCAAUACCUCACGUGCUCAUUAAACUAUCAAAUUUGGGGCCCAAUUUGAUGGGCCUAGUUGGUUGCAGUGUUGGGUCUGGUUAGUCUCAACAAAUACUGGUCGUAGCCUCGUAGGCAGUUCGCAUUAGAGAUUUAUAAUGAUUGUAAUGUGUGAAUGAGUAAUAGAAAGCUCUAUUUAUUGGCACAAGGAGUAACCUUUGUGCGGUUGUGCAGAUAAAAAGAGAAAACAUGUAGUGGGUUAUAUGAAAUUAAAAGUAAUAUGUUGUUAUAAACACAAUUAGAAAACUCCUGAUUUAAGCCAUAAAAGCCUUCAACUCAACACUAAAGUAUUCAGGGAACUACACUUAUGGUUUGAAUAGAAAUGCACAACCAUGGUUCUAAUACCAAUGGCUAAAAUAAUUUUAAGCUUUACGGCAAUGAAUCCAUUCAACAUAUUUCAUAAGGGAGAAAAACUGCAUUUUAUCUUGGUUGGCCAUGAAAAAGACUUGCUGGUCAGCUUGUUUCUUGCCCGUUAAUUCAACCUUUUGUUCUUGACUUCAAUCUCAACAGCAAAAUCAAGCUCCUCAUUCACUGCACACACACACAAUUAGGAGAAAGGAGAAAAAGAAAGACAGUGUAUAAUGGAACUGCAUUUUAAAGAAAUGUGUAGAAAACAAUCAAAACCUCUACAGAAUUCUUAGUAUUUUUGUCAACACAAUACUUCUUCUUUUAAAGACAUUUAUGCCAUAGUACAAAACCUUAGCCUACAAGAUUUGUACACACAAAAUGAAAAAAGAGCCAAGUAAUUCAUGAAUAAAAAACAUAGAGCAAAGAAGGGAUAAGUAACAUAAACACGCACACGAAAUUGGCACAGAUGAACAAAGAACGAGUUGCAAGCUCUUUAUUACCGAAAGAAACGAGCCCCAUAUCAUAUGAUCUCCCUACAAGCUUUACAAUGAGCUAUCAUAUGCUUUCUAACUCUCAAAGAUUAACAAGUUACAGGCCUUAGAAACUGCCCUCGUAAAUUCAUUUUACAGCUAAAUUUUCUUGCUAUUCAUGUGAUGAGCAUAUACUAUAUACAUAUUUUACCCUUAAUUAUAUAAUUGCUAAUUAUUUUUAUUUGAUAUUUUUAAUUAAUUAAUUAUUUUGUUGAAUAAAAAAUUACGUGGAGAUUAUGAAUAAAAAAAAGGGCAUAAAGGAGCUCAAUUUCGGAAGCAUUAAUUAAUUGAUUUUCGGAGCAAUUAGGCAUAUUUGCAUGUGAAGUCAAGCCAAGGAAACCAAAUUCAACAAAUUAAUUCAUCCAUGCACAUGAAGACAAAGAAGAUUAUGGCCAUCACGUGAGAAGCAAUCACCAUUAUUGUUAGCAUGUGCAUGGCAUUAAAAAAAGGGAUUCUAAUGCAAUUCUAAGUGGUGAACACGUGUGAGAGCAAAACAAAUUAAAAGGCCAAGCCUUUCGGCUUUAGAGUUGGAAUGGUUGGUGGCUCAUUUUGGAGAUUAUAAAAAGAAAUAUGAACUUUGGCUUUUAAGAGGCCAACCGCAAGAAGAGAAAAAAGAGUGCAACGUUAGGCAUUCGGCAGAGGAGAAAAUAGCGGCAGAAGCUCUUUAAUUCUUUUAUGGUUGGUUUUAUUUUAUUUGUUGCUCGCAAUUCAAGUAUGUCUAGCUAAUUUUAUUUUACUGAGGUUAAAGAUGAAACCUUAUUCAAUGAAAUAAUUAUCUUUUUAUUUAAUGAAUUCCCUACAUGCGUGUUUUAAUGUUUAUGUUUUUUUAUUUUACAUGAUUAGUUGGAUGUUAUUAAAUCUUUUCAUCAAUUCUGUCAAGCAUUAUUGAUUGUUAGGAUUAAUAUUCAAUUAAAUUUAUGCUUUGGUCUAUAAAGUUUUUAUAUUAUUAUCUUUGAUUCUAUAUCUUUCAUUAAAUUGUUUACAUAGAGUGCUUAGGAAAAUUUUGACCCUUUGUUAUUCAAUAUGUUUACAUAAGAUGCUUAGAUAUCAUACUAUUAAGCAGAAAAGAACCUACAUUAGAUUUAAUUACUUGGGCUUAAUUGUUAUAUUCAUAAGAUGACAUAGAUUGAUUUCGAGUUGUCACUCUAAAAUUGGGGAUUAAUUAACAAUUAGAUAAUUAUUAAUUGAAUAGUGGUGGAUUCUGAAACCUUGAUAAUUUUUGUCUUAUUAAAUUCUCUUUUAUUUUAAUUGUCUUAGUUUAAUUAGUUUAAUUUAUGUUAAAACUUAAUUUGCUCAACUAUUUUAGAAUUAAUAUUAAUUUUAGAUUUAAAUUAGACUUUUCAAUUUAUAACAAUCCCUGUAGGUUUGACCUUAUUACCACUAUUCUAUUUUUAAAUUCGUGUGCUUGCAAGUAUAUUAAAAUUUUUCACAAUAAGUUUUUGGCGUCGUUACCGGGGAUUGUGCCAGAAAGUCAGUUUAAUCUAGAUUGAUUUGUUUUUUCCACUAGUUAUAAUUUAAGUUGUCUUUUAUUUUUAUUUUAUUUUUUUAAUAGAAAACACAAAAAAAUAUUUAUUUGUCUUUAAAUUUAUUGUUUGGUUGUUUGAUUUGUUUUAUUUUAAAUUCCGUUUAUUUUUAUUAUUGUUGCUUUAUUUUCCUUUCUUUGUCUAGUUAGUUUAUGAGUGUUUGGGAACGCGAUUCAACAAAUCGUUUGGUAAGAAAAGAGUCUAAAAUUGAUAGUAGUCGAGUUAGUUCUUCAAAAGUGAUGAAUGACCCAAAUAGAAUAUUGUCAGUACUUCCACCAGUGCAAGCAGAGAAAAUCCUUAGAGAAUGUUUUUCACCACUUGCAGCCAACCAACCAUCUUGUAUUGUGUUGCCACAGACUACAGCAACACACUUUAAACUCAAGCCCUCUGUCAUUUAGCUUUUACCAUCUUUCCAUGGGUUAGAGAGAGAGGACCCAUAUUUGCACAUUAAGUACUUUUUUGACAUGUGCUCUACAUUCUAUUUUCAAAAUUUUAAUGAUCAGUCAAUUAGGUUUCGUAUGUUCCCUUUCUCAUUAAAAGACAAAGCGGAAGCUUGGUUGAAUUCACUUCCUGCUGGGUCUAUUACUACAUGGGAUGAAUUAAGUAAUAAGUUCUUUACCAAGUUUUUCCCUAUGUCUAAAACAAAUGUCAUUAGGAGAGAGAUAAAUGAUUUUUGUCAAAGAGAGGGUGAACAAUUUUAUGAGUGUUGCGAAAGAUUCAAUGAUUUACUCCUCAAGUGUCCCCACCAUGGUUUUGAGAAAUUGAGACUUAUACAGUGCUUUUAUAAUGGUUUAACUAUGUCAAAUCAUCACAUGAUAGAGUCUGUGAAUGGUGGGAGAUUUUUUAAUUUACAUAAGGGGCUGCUUGAGAUUUCUUUAUUUUACUUUUUGAGAAUUCUCAACAAUGAGAUUUUUCAAAUCAAAGAAAAAAAUGAUCUCAAGUUUCUAGGAAAGUCUAUAUGAAGUUAAUGAUGAUUUUGAUGUUAAGGUCAUUCUAGCUACACUUUCUAAGAAAAGUAGAUACCUUAACUCUGAACCAAUCAAUGAAUCAUCACCCUAGUGUACCUAAUGAGGUUUGUACUCUUUGUUCUAACUUGUCUCAUACAGCACAUAAUUGUCCAUCAUUGCCAGCCUAUCAAGAGGCUUAUUCUGAGCAAGUACACGCCUUACAAUCAUAUGAAAAAAACCUUCAAUAGUCCAUAUUCAUCCACAUAUAUUCUUAAUUGGAGGAACCACCCUAAUUUUUCUUGGAAACAAAGUCAGCCUUUAUCAAACUAAGGAGGACAACAAUUCAACGUACCCAAUCAACAAUUUGUCCUUACUAACCAAGUAUAUCCUCCUGCCCAACAGCCUGUGUCUCAAUUUGUUACACCUUAGCAAAGAAAACCUUCUUCAGAUGAUACACUUCAAAGUUUCAUUCAGUCAACCCAACAAGCUUUUCAGUCAAACACUCAAGCUAUUCUAAAGCUUGAACAUCAAUUGGGUCAAUUAGCAACUGCUAUGGCUGAGAGAAAAAAAUGAAAAUUCCCAAGUCAACCAGUUCUUAAUCCUAAAUGAGUGCAUAAAGUUGGAUCAACUUCAAGCCAUCAGUAUAAAGAAGCAAAAUCUAUUAUGACCUUGAGAAAAUGAAAAAUAUUUGACAAUAAGGUGGAGGUUCGAACAAGAAAGACAUCUGAACCUACUUCUGCAUAUCCAGUUCCAUCACAAGACUCAUCACUAAAUGAUCCAGAAGAAAGUAAUCCACCAGCUUACAUUCCUAAGGCUUAUUUUCCUUAAAGGUUAACAAAGGUAAAGAAAGAGACUUCAACAUGUGAGAUUAUAGAAAUCUUCAGGCAUGUAAGUAUAAUCAUCCCUUUACUCGAUGGUAUUAAGCAAGUUCCUCAUAUGCCAAGUUUUUGAAGGAUUUAUGAACUAAAAAAAGAAAUUUGCAUGUCACCAAAAAUGCAUUUUUAACUGAACAAACUAGCAAUUUACUUCAAUAUAAAAUGCCACCAAAAUUUAAGGAUCCAGGUUCCCCUACUAUCUCAUGUGUUAUAGGGAACCAAUUGUUUGAUAAAGCAUUAUUGGAUUUGGAUGCAAGUGUUAAUCUCUUGCCUUACUUUGUUUACAUGCAGCUUGGAUUACAUAAAUUAAAGUCAACUUCCAUUAUUUUGCAACAUGCAGAUAGGUCAAUGAAAAUACCUCAUGGUAUUAUAGAGGAUGUGUUGAUACAGAUUGAUAAAUUUUAUUAUUUUGUUGACUUUAUUGUUAUUGAUACUCAGCAUGUACAAGAUCCUAAGAAACAUACCCCAGUUAUUUUAGGUCGUCCUUUCUUAGCUACAGUUGAUGCUCUUAUUAAUUGCAGGAAUGGAAACAUGCAAUUAUCUUUUGGUAACAUGACCAUGGAAUUAAAUAUUUUUAAUGUUCCUGAUAACUCUAUGAAAUGAGAGUUAUUACAUCAAUUCUAAACUUAAAUCAAGAUCACUUAGAGAACAAAUAAGGUGUUUUUAUUACAUUUUGGUUAUAUUUUGCAUAAACAUUCAUUUUAGUUAAGUUUUAAUAAGUUUUGUUUAAAUCAAAGUAAUUGGUGCUAAAAACAGUUGCAUAAUUGUAGGUUUUCAGAAAGUCUUAAUUCAUGAGAGGAUGGUGAGACAUUAGAUGAGCAAGGGGAGGAAAGAAGAUAGCCGCAAAAGAAGUAAAGCACAAUCGAGAAUAGUACAGUGUUGUAGCGGAUGUUAAAGCAACCAGUGGUAUAACAAUCUGGGAGCAAUGCUGGAGAAAAUUUAGGCACGGGUCAGCUGCAGAAUCGCGAUUUGCAUGUUUCCUAAUUUAACUCAUGCACGCUUAUGGACUUUUGUUUUACUCUAGUUUGCAGUAUAAAAGAUAGGCGUGCACCACAUAAAGAGGCGACAAGAGGAAUUAUCAUAAAAAAUCAUUAGAGAGAAAAAGAGAAGAAGAUCAGAAUUAAAGAGUGUUGUUUCGGCAACAUUGAGGAAUCUGGCAGAAUUAUUCGAAUUUGUCUUUCACUAUGGUCAACUGAUAUUUAUCUUCUUCUUUUGAUUGUUUUAAUGUAUCCCGUGAACAACAUAUUUAUGUUUGUUUUUCUUAUUCAGAAUAUGAACUAGAUUUGCUUGUAGUUGAGUGACAAACAAUCCAAUGGGUUCUUGACUGUUCUUAUGUGUUGUUAUGUCAUUGCUGUAGCAUUAUACUCUAGUAGUUAUUAUUAAUAUAACUGUUAUUUCGGUUGACCACCCAUUUAAUAGUUCCAGUUAAGAUAGAGCAGCAAAAAUGCAUGUCUUAGCGGACAUUAUUAGAGUAUUACUUGAUCUUAAGUUAAGUUUCCUAGAUUAAGUUAUCUUGAAUCCCAUAAGGGCAAUACUUGAAGUUAAGAUUUGUGACACACUAGACAUAGGUGCUCACCUUGUAGGGUGGAGAGAUAAAAAAAGAUCAUAAAGCCAUAUCAUGAGUAGAUUAGCAACUGGUCAUUGCUAGUGUAUUUAAGGGUAUGAGAGUUCCAAUAUGCAACAGCUGAGGAUGCAGAUUAAUUCCGCCCAGUACUGCAGCACUUGCUGUAACAAUUGGAGUCCACUUGAUGAAAAACAGUCAGCCCAUAAGGAGAGUUUGAUCAUUCAACUACCAUGUUCUUACUUGAAUCUUAGACACAUUUAGUUUAGUUUAUUUCAUUGUGGUUUUGUUUAUUUUAUUCUCUCACAAUCAUUAAUUACGAUAGAACACAUUUUACGUUUGUUAACUUCGGAUUUGAAUUAGUUUGCACUAUUGUGAUUGCUACAAUAUUUUUGGUAACAUCAAUCCCUGUGGAGACGAUCUUGAAUACUCAUCACUUUAUUACUUGUUGUGUACACUUGCACAUUGACAAUAAUAGCUUUUGAUUAUAAAAUCAACCAACAAGUUUUUGGCGCCGUUGCUGGGGGUUGAUUAUUUAUUUUUGAAGUGUUAAGUAAAUCUUGAUAGCACCAAAUUUGAUUUAAUUCAUUCUAUUUAUUGGCAGAUCAAUACUUGCAUGCGCAAAGACAGAUAUGUGAUGUUUCAGUUCGAUCCUGAGAUUGAAAUGACUGUUAGGAGAUUGCGAAGAGAACAAAGGAAGUCAAAAACUGUUUCAAGCAUGAAUAAUUUACAGGAUGAGGGAAAUUGAACCUUCACGGGCCCUUACAACCAGUUAACAUUCAAGAAGAGCAGAAUGAACAUGCUAACGAGAGACAACCAGGCAAUAACAAUAUUAUUUACAUGGCUAAUGACAGAGACAGAGCUAUUAGAGAUUAUGCUGUGUUAACUCCUCAAGUUGUACACCUUGGGAUAAUCAGACCUGAAGUAGAAGUUGUAAAUUUUGAGUUGAAGCCAGUGAUGUUUCAAAUGUUGCAAACAGUUGAUCAAUUAAAUAGAUUACCAAAUGAAGAUCCUCAUCUCCAUCUUAAGUUGUUCUUGGAAGUGAGUGAUGCUUUCAAGAUUGCUGGAGCAACACAAGACGCCUUAAAGCUGAGACUUUUUCCUUAUUUCUUAAGAGAUCGAGCAAGAGCAUGGUUAAAUUCGUUACCAUCUGAUUCCAUCACUACAUGGAAUGAGUUGGCUGAUAAAUUCCUAAUGAAAUAUUUUUCACUGACAAAAAAUGCAAAGUUGCGGAAUGAGAUAACUUCUUUUCAUCAACUUAAAGAUGAAAGUUUGUACGAGGCUUUGGAAAGAUUCAAAGAAUUGCUCAGAAGGUGUCCUCAUCAUGGCAUUCCUUGUUGCAUUGAAUUGGAAACUUUCUACAAUGGGUUGAAUCCAAGUACAAGGUUAAUGGUGGAUGCUUCAGCAAAUGGAGCCCUGUUAUCCAAAUCUUAUACUGAAGCUUAUGAAAUUCUGGAGAGAAUUGCCAAUAAUAAUUAUCAGUGGCCAUCAACCAGGCAACCAGCAGUAAGAGGAUCAGUAGGGGUACAUAACAUAGAUGCAAUUACAGCCUUAUCAGCACAAGUAACCUCAUUGACUAACAUGGUAAAGACCAUGACAUCUGCUCCAACAGUAGUGAAGCAAGUUGCGGAACUUUCUUGUGUAUACUGUGGUGAAGGACACGACUUUGAUAAUUGUCCUGGAAAUCCAGCAUCAGUAACUAUGUGGGUAAUUUCAAUCGACAGCCUCAGAACAACCGAUAUUCAAAUACUUACAACCCUGGAUGGAAACAACACCCAAAUUUCUCAUGGAGUAGUCAGAAUCGAAAUGCUCCAGCAGUAAAUGGACAAAAUAGGAACACUCAACCAUCUGGAUUUCAUCAGCAGAGUCAGGGGAAAAAACAUAGCAAUCAGGAUCCAAUCAUUUCACUGGAAGCAUUGAUUAAAGAGUACAUUACAAAGAAUGAAGCAAUUGUGCAGAGUCAAGCCGUAUCCUUGAGGAACCUGAAAAAUCAAAUGGGACAACUUGCCACAGCAAUGAGUAGCAGGACUCAAGGAAGUUUACCUAGCAACACAGAAGACCCUAGGAGAGAGGGUAAAGAACACUGCAAAGCAAUUAAUUUGAGAUCUGGAAAAAAUGUUGAUAUCCCAAUUGAUGUGAUUAACAAGGGUAAGGAAGUUAAUUCCUCACAAAAACCACCUCAAGAUGGAAGCAUGUUACAACAACCCAACCAUCAAAACACUAGUUACAUGGGCCAAGCUACAGCAACUGCAGAGGGAGUUCAAUCAGAACAUGUUGAAAAAGAAGUUGCAACACCAGUAGCCACGACCUACACCAAACCAAACAAACAGAGUUUGGUACCUCCUGAAGCUACCCAGCAGUUUAGACAUCCACCACAUUUCCCACAGAGAUUCCAGAAGCAAAAACAAGACAAGCAGUUCAGUAAAUUCCCGGAAGUGCUGAAACAAUUACACAUAAAUAUACCUUUUGUGGAAGCCUUGGAGCAAGUGCCAAAUUAUGUGAAAUUUCUAAAAGACAUCUUGGCACGAAAGAGAAUGCUGGGAGAGUUUGAAAUUAUUGCUUUAACACAGGAAAGCAGUCAUAUGCUCCAAAGUAAGAUUCUUACAAAAGUGAAAGAUCUAGGAAGUUUUACAAUAUCAUGCUCUAUAGGAACUAGGUAUACUGACAGAGCACUUUGUGCUUGGGAGCUAGUAUUAAUUUAAUGCCAUUAUCUGUAUUUAAGCAGCUGGGAGUAGGGGAAUACAGACCAACAACAGUCACUCUGCAAUUAGCUGACAGAUCUCAUGCAUACCCUGAAGCAAAAAUUAAGGAUGUACUGGUGAAGGUGGACAAAUUCAUCUUCCCAGUAGACUUCAUUGUACUAGACUUUGAAGCUGAUAAAGAGGUGCCCAUUAUACUUGGAAAACCUUUUCUAGCAAUUGGAAAGACUUUGAUAGAUGUGCAAAAAGGAGAGCUCACCAUGAGAGUAAAUGAUCAGCAAGUCACAUUUAAUGUACUAGAGGCUAUGAGAAGUCCUGAUGAAGUAGAAGAUUACAAUUUCCUAAGUGUUGUGGAUUUUGUUAUAGCAGACAGAAUGGACAAAUGCUGCAGUAAUGAAAUCAACAAAGUCACCACCUUUGAGAAUGUAGAAGAGGAAGAUGUUGUAGAAAAUCAGAUAGAUUGGAUAAAAGAAAAGAAAUUUGAUAGGCACAACAGGUUUAUUGAGCAUCUGAAUCUUUCAGACAGGAAAGUAAAAAUAACUUUACCAUCUAUUGAAUCACCUCCUAGUCUUGAAUUAAAAUUGUUAUCUUCACAUUUGAAGUAUGUUUAUCUUGGUCAAAACAACACACUCACUGUGAUCAUUUCUUCUACUUUGGAUGCAGGUCAAGAACAGAGUUUAGUAGAUUUGUUGGGAAAAUACAGAAGAGCAAUUGAAUGGACCAUGGCAGACAUCAAGAGGAUAAGCCCAUCAAUAUGCAUGCAUAAAAUCCUGUUAGAAGAUUGCUACAGCAAUUCGGUGGAGCAUCAGAGAAUGUUGAACCCUAUUAUGAAAGAAGUGGUGAAGAAGGAAAUCAUCAAAUGGUUGGAUGCUGGACUCAUAUACCCAAUAUCAGACAAUUCGUGGGCGAGCCCAGUUCAAUGUGUUCCAAAGAAGGGAGAGAUAACUGUGAUAGUUAAUGGGAUGGAUAACUGUGAUAGCUGAUGAGAGAGAUGAACUUAUUUCUACAAGAACAGUGACUAGAUGGAGAGUAUGUAUGGAUUACAGGAAGCUCAAUAAAGCCACAAAGAAAGACCACUUCUCACUCCCAUUCAUAGAUCAGAUGUUGGACAGACUUGUUAGAAAACAAUACUAUUGUUUCCUAGAUGGGUAUUCAGGCUACAACCAGAUUGCUAUAGCUCCAGAAGAUAAGGAAAAGACUACAUUUACUUGUCCUUAUGGAACAUUUGCCUUCAGAAGAAUGCUCUUUGGGUUGUGCAAUGCUCCAGCAACUUUUCAGAGAUGCAUGAUGUCUAUUUUUUCUGAUAUGGUAGAACAAACUUUAUAAGUUUUCAUAGAUGACUUUUCAGUUUUUGGAGAGACAUACAAUGAUUGUUUACACAACUUAGAAGAAGUUCUUAAAAGAUGUGAGAUGACUAACUUAGUACUUAAUUGGGAAAAAUGUUAUUUCAUGGUGCAAGAAGAAAUAAUGUUGGGUCAUAAGGUGUCCAAGAAAGCCAUUGAGGUAGACAAAGUCAAGAUAAAGGUAAUAAAUAAACUGCCACCCCCCACUCAAUAAAGGGUAUAAGGAGUUUUUUGGGCCAUGCUGGAUUUUACAGAAGAUUCAUUAAGGAUUUUUCCAAGGUAGCUAAACCAUUAUGCUCAUUGCUGGAACAUGACAAGCCCUUUCACUUUGACAAAGAUUGUCAUCAAGCAUUUGGAGAAUUAAAGAAAGCUCUUAUCACUACUCCAGUUGUUAUAUCUUUAGACUGGACGUUACCAUUUGAAUUGAUGUGUGAUGCUAGUGAUCAUUCUAUUAGAGCAGUAUUAGGACAAAAAAAGGAUAAGGUUUUUCACUCCAUAUACUAUGCAAGCAAAACUCUUACUCAAACUCAAAUCAAUUACACCACUACAGAGAAAGAGUUGCUAGUAGUAGUAUUUGUUUUUGACAAAUUCAGGGCCUACUUGGUGGGUACUAAAGUGAUUGUAUAUACAAACCAUGCAGCCAUCAAAUACUUAAUUUCAAAGAAUGAUGCCAAGCCAAGAAUAAUCAGAUGGAUCUUAUUGCUUCAAGAAUUUGAUCUGAAAAUUAAAGAUAGAAAAUGGACUGAGAAUCAAGUAGCAGACCACCUGUCACGGCUGGAAGCAAAUACAAGUACAUUGACAAGAAAUGACAUCACUGAAACUUUUCCUCAUGAACAGCUGUUGGUAGUACAACAAGCACAUAUGCUGCAGUUAGGAUCUCCAUAGUAUGCAGAUUUUGCUAACUACUUGGUAAGUGGAUUGCUACCACCUGAGCUGAAGUUCCAAGAGAAAAAGAAAUUUCUUUAUGAUGUAAGAAGUUAUCAGUGGGAUGACCCACAUUUAUAUAAGUUGUGCUCAGAUCAAGUAAUACGAAGAUGUGCUGCAGAAGGAAAGAUUCCCCACAUACUGGAGUCAUGCCAUGCUGCAGCAUAUGGAGGACAUUUUGGUGGUCACAGAACAGUUGCUAAAGUUCUGCAAUCAGGUUAUUACUAGCCUACCAUUUUUAAAGAUGUUUAUGAAUUUGUUAAAUGUUGUGACAGGUGUCAAAGGACAGGGAACAUAACUAGAAGACAUGAAAUGUCAUUGACCAACAUUCUAGAAGUGGAAGUUUUUUAUGUAUAGGGAAUAGAUUUCAUGAGACCUUUUCAACCAUCCUUUGGGAACUUGUAUAUCCUUGUUGCUGUGGAUUAUGUCUCCAACUGGGUAGAGGCUGCAGUAUUACCUACCAAUGAUGCUAAAGCAGUGGUGGUUUUUCUUCAGAAAAAUAUUUUUUCCAGGUUUAGCACUUCUAGAGCAAUUAUUAGUGAUGAGGGUACUCAUUUUUGCAACAAAGUCUUUGCUGCAGCUAUGGUAGAAUAUGGAGUCAGACACAAGGUAGUAACAACAUAUCACUCGUAGUUCAAUGGUUAGGCUGAAGUGUCCAACAGAGAAAUUAAAAAGAUCUUAGAAAAAGUGGUGAACCCAACAAGGAAUGAUUGGUCUUUGCAAUUACAUGACUCUCUAUGGACCUACAGAACAGCAACAAAACUCCACUUGGCAUGUCUCCUUACCGAAUUGUUUAUGGGAAGGCUUGUCAUUUGCCACUAGAGCUAGAGCAUAACGCACACUAGGCACUGAAGAAAUUAAAUUGGGACAUUCAUGCUGCAGCAGAGCAAAGAAAGCUUCAACUUUGUGAGCUUAAUGAAUUACGACUAUUUUCAUAUGAAAAUGCUAGAAUCUAUAAAGAAAGGACAAACCACUGGCACGACAAGCAUAUUCAACACAGACAGUUCAGCCCUGGUCAACUAGUGCUGCUCCACAAUACAAGACUAAGAUUAUUUUCAGGAAAGCUAAAAUCACGAUGGUUUGGAAUUUUUAGGCUGUUAAAAUGUUAUCCUCAUGGAGCUGUUGAUCUUUUAGAUGAAAAACAGGUCACAAAUUUAAAGUUAAUGGACACAGGGUUAAGCAUUACAUACACCCAGCAACAGAUUGUUCAAAGGAGGUUUUACUCCUUAAAGAACCCAGCUAUUGAGCAGUGAAAGAAGGUCAGGCUGAAGGACCUUAAAUCAAGCGCUCCAUGAGAGGCAACCCAUUGUGGAGAUAGCCACUUCAAACCAAGUUUGAUCAUCUUUGGUUUUGUUAAUGGUUCUCCCUCUCUUCCAUUUUAUUUAAUCUUGUUCUUUAAUUUAAGUUACUUAGUUUUAUCUUUUCACAUUAUUGCAUUUUUUUUAUGUUGCUAUCAUUUGAUCUCUUUAUUUUUAAUUAUAUUUUUAGAAUCGAUUUUAGUUUUUGUGGUAAGUAUGAGUGGCAUUAGAUUUUCAUUUUAACCAGUGGGGUUGUAUGGUGACAGAGUGCAGAGGCAAGCCACGUGUCAAAGAGCAUUGGAGGGACGUAUGUAACCGUUGCUAGAGCAAGCAAGUGUGUGCUGCAACACCCAAUAUUACCAUUACAGUAAAUUAAAAAUUAGAGCCUCUCACUUACCGUUGGAGAUAAAUCAUGACAGAUGGCAGCAUGGAUUUGGAUAGCAAUUGCGAAGAAAUCUCCUAAAUUAAUGCAUUAAUUUCGCUGGCCUAUGUUUUAGGGAUAUACAUAUUAAAUUCAAAAUAUUUUCUUCCCUUAUUUAUCUAUAGUUACCGGAUUUAUCUUCACUUAAAGUUCACUAUAAAAGGGAGUCACUGUGCGUAGUGAUCUACGGCACUAUUCCCCAUCUCCUUCGCAAAUACAACUUUCAUAAUUCUUAACCUCUUCUUCUCAUUUUACCAUCAGAUUGUUACUGCUAUAGCAAUGCCAAGGUAUAAGAAAAUAACCAGCCGCCUCAAAGAUCCUUCACACUUCCAGAGUUACCACGCCAAAGAAAAAUAUGAAGAAUUUAUAGAGCCGCGUAAGAUUCUAGAAGAAAAAAGGGUUUCAAUUUCCAGAGCGACUCAUCGGAAUUGUGCAAACAAUACACAAUGCUGCAGCAAAUGGUGGAUGGUUGGACUUUUGCAACCACCCUCGAAAUCCUGUGCUACCGGUAGUCAAGGAAUUUUACGCCAAUUUGGUAAGCCCUGAUCAGCACAACAUUUGGGUAAGAAACACACUUGUUCCAUUAGACUCCCGCGUUAUAAAUGCUUUUUAUAAUUUACUUGCUGAAAUUAAUUGUGAGUAUACCAAGUUGCUUGAUAAAUUGACCCCAAAGAAAUGGAACACCAUCUUCACAACUCUUACAAUUGAAGGGGCAUCAUGGGCUAACGAGGAAGGGUGUGUAGUUAAUAGGAUAGAUUUGAAACUUAUUGUUAAGGUGUGGGUGAAAUUUUUAAAAUCUAGGCUUAUGCCAACCACUCAUACUACUACGGUUUCACAAGAGAGGUUGGUCUUGUUAUAUGUCAUUGUUCGAGGGCUUCUCAUAGAUGUAGGUAGCAUCAUCGAAAAAGAAAUCAGGGACUAUGCAGUUAAGAAUCACAAAACUAAUGCUCUGCUAUUUCCUUCGCUCAUCACCAGCAUUUAUGUAGUAUCCGGUGUUCGUCUUGACGUGAGAAAUGACCAUAUCAAGAAUGAUGGUGCCUUUACGACACGUACCAUUGAGAGAGUUGCUGGUGAGAGUGCUGGAACAACAACUGAACCAACUACUGUAAUAGGAGCAAGACGAGUUAUUGGUUUAGAACAAACAAUUCAGGCGCUCAGCAAAGCUCAGCAGAGGGAAAAUGAUUGGUUUUGGAGCUAUCUACAGCACCUGAACAACCAACUACACUAAUUUGCUUUGUACAUGAAACGCACUCACCGGAACUUCCCUGAUUCAUUGCUCCAGCAAUACAAUUUUGACACCAACACCACAGGUGCUCCAGCAGCAGCCAGUGAAGAAGCCACUGCCACAGAUGAACCAGAAGAAGAAGCUGCAGUCGAACCACAAGCAGAGGUAGAAUCAGAAGAUGCUGAAACAUCUGAUCAACCUGAGGAAGAAGGUGACAAGUUUGCAACUGAUAGCUCACCCACAGAGGCAGAGGACAACUCUGAGAAAGAACGUGAGGAACUUUCCAUUCCAACUCAUUCCAAAACCAGGAAAAGACACAUCAUUCAAGAAGAGGAAGAGGAAAACCCUUAAAAGGAACCUUUCAUUCCAGUCCUUACGGGCAAGGGCAAGGGCAAGGGCAAGGUAAAAAUAGCAACACCUCCAGCCUCUGAAGAUGAAAUAGAGCAAAUCGAUGCAGAGCUGGCUGCUGCAGUAACCAGAGUUACGCCUACACCUGCAGAAGCCAAGCAGCUACUUGAUAUCAUUGCUGCCAUCACAGCUGAAGGUCAGGCAGCUGAUGCCUCAACUCCAAUUCCUCCACAGAUGACUCCUAGCCAACUUGUUCGUACCAGUCCACGAUAAUCCAGUAAAAGAAAAGGCAGUACGUUUAAAGGCACUGCUACAACAGCCUCGCCUCAACCAAAACGGACCAGGUCGGUGUCAACUACACAACCUACCCCAGCCGCAACUCCUCUCGCCAGCCCAGUGACGAAAAAGACAAAGACAUUGCCAGUCACUUCCCCACAAGUUUCACCAAAGGAUAAGCUGCGCAGUGCAUCCAAGAAACGCUAAUAUCAUCCCGUCAUUUGCAGCAGUCCCAACCACAUGGAAGUAUCCCUACCUUGCUAGUUAAUUUAUUGUUAAAAAAAAAACUUUUCUUUCAGUUUUAUUGUUAAAAAAAAACUUUUAUUUCAGUAUGUUUUUCAAAUUUUGUGGUAUUUUCUAAUGUCUUCCAUGUCCUUGUCCACUUGUGUGCCUUUGUUAUGUAUGCUUGUGAGGACAUAGCAACUCUCAAGUUGGGGGGGUUGUGUUUCCAAAUGUUUGUGUUUAUGUGUAUGCUUGUGUUGUGUGUUGUGUGAAGCUCUGUUAUCUAAUAUUUGUGUAUGGAUUUGAAAACCUAAUGAAGAUAUAUUGAGUGUUAUUCAAAAUUUAUGAGAAUGCCAAGUAGAGAUAGUUAUAGAUGGAGGUUGAAAUUAUGUCCUGACACUUAGACUUUGGUUGAAUUGUAUGAGAUUGCUAGAGCAAAGCCAAAAGAAUGGAAAAGAUCUUAAGUUUGGGGGGGAAAAUAAGUUGAUUGACUGUGAUAUCUAUGUAAUAAACUCUGUUUCAAUAGCUCAAGUUGCUGAAUAACCAGAUAUGAGUAUGUACCCCAUAUGUAGAAUUGUGUUCAAAGGUAGCAAGAGUUAUGAGCAAUGCUGUAGCAUUUUUAAAAAAAAAAUCCUAUGUCUAAGGCAUUGAGUAGUCAGGUCUGUUCAUGAGCCCCAUGUUCAGCCUUGAAUAAAAAAUAUCUCUAGAUAAGACUAUAUUACAGAUAUUGCUACAGCAACUCUGAUCUGUGCAUGGUUUGAGUAAUUGGGUGUCAUCAUUACAAUUGAUUGACAUUCACAUGAAAAAUAAAUGUUGCAAUGAGGAAGUUGAAUACUCUCCAGUUUCUCAAUCUUAAAAUCAUCACAGUUCGAGUAUGUGAAAUUUAUGCUGCCCCAUAUAUGAUGAAGUUUUAUCACUGCUGAAAUUCAUGCAGUCUCUUAGUGAUGUUAUAGCAUCUCUGGAAUACAAUCAAAGUAGCACACACACACACAAUGGACAGAAAGAAGCUUAAGCCUAGAACUGAUUUACUAUAGUCACGUUGCAUGAUUGGGAUUGUGAUCUGAAGGUGGAAGAAUCCUUGCAAAUUUGAUAAAAGAACUAAAGUUAUUUUGCAUGAUUGUUUGUGUGAAGUAUUAGUAUGUUGUCAUUACUUGAGGACAAGUAAUGGUUUAAGUUUGGGGGUGUGAUAACUCUAGGAAAUGAGAGUUAUUACAUCAAUUCUAGACUUAAAUCAAGAUUACUUAGAGAACAAAUAAGAUGUUUUUAUUACAUUUUGGUUAUAUUUUGCAUAAACAUUCAUUUUAGUUAAGUUUUAAUAAGUUUUGUUUGAAUCAAAAUAAUUGGUGCUAAAAACAUGUGCAUAAUUGUAGGUUUUUAGAAAGUCUUAAUUCAUGAGAGGAUGGUGAGACAGUGGAUGAGCAAGAGGAGGAAAGAAGAUAGCUGCAGAAGAAGUAAAGAACAAUCGGGAAUAGUGCAGUGUUGUAGCGGAUGUUAGAGCAACCAGUGCUAUAGCAAUCUGGGAGCAAUGCGGGAGAAAAUUUAGGCGCGGGUCAGCUGCAGAAUCGCGAUUUGCAUGUUUCCUAAUUUAACUCAUGCACGCCUAUGGACUUUUGUUUUACCCUAGUUUGCAGUAUAAAAGAGAGGCAUGCACCACAUAAAGAGGCGACAAGAGGAGUUAUCAUAAAAAAUCAUUAAAGAGAAAAAGAGAAGAAGAUCAUAAUUGAAGAGUGCUGUUUCGGCAACAUUGAGGAAUCUAGCAGAAUUAUUCGAAUUUGUCUUUCAUUGUGCUCAACUGAUAUUUAUCUUCUUCCUUUGAUUGUUUUAAUGUAUCCCGUGAACAACAUAUUUAUGUUUGUUUUUCUUAUUCAAAAUAUGAACUAGAUUUGCUUGUAGUUGAGUGACAAACAAUCCAAUGGGUUCUUGAUUGUUCUUAUGUGUUGUUAUGUCAUUGCUGUAGCAUUAUACUCUAGUAGUUAUUAUUAAUAUAACUGUUAUUUCGGUUGACCAUCCAUUUAAUAGUUCCAGUUAAGAUAGAGCAGCAAAAGGGCAUGUCUUAGCGGACAUUAUUAGAGUAUUACUUUAUCUUAAGUUAAGUUUCCUAGAUUAAGUUAUCUUGAAUCCCAUAAGGGCAAUACUUGAAGUUAAGAUUUGUGACACACUAGACAUAGGUGCUCACCUUGUAGAGUAGAGAGAUAAAAAGGGAUCAUAAAGCCAUAUCAUGAGUAGAUUAGCAACUGGCCAUUGCUAGUGUAUUUAAGGGUAUGAGAGUUCCAAUAUGCGAUAGCUGAGGAUGCAGAUUAAUUCCGCCCAGUGUUGCAGCACUUGCCGUGACAAUUGGAGUCCACUUGAUGAAACACAGUCAGCCCAUAAGGAGAGUUUGAUCAUUCAACUACCAUGUUCUCACUUGAAUCUUAGACACAUUUAGUUUAGUUUAUUUCAUCACGGUUUUGUUUAUUUUAUUCUCUCACAAUCAUUAAUUACGAUAGAACACAUUUUACGUUUGUUAACUUCGGAUUUGAAUUAGUUUGCACUAUUGUGAUUGCUACAACAUUUCUGGUAACAUCAAUCCCUGUGGAGACGAUCUUGAAUACUCAGCACUUUAUUACUUGUUGUGUACACUUGCACAUUAACACCAAUAGCAUUUGAUUAUAAAAUCAACCAACAGUUCCCAAGCAGGCACAAGACAAUAAUGAAGUCAUUGAAGUAGAUAUGAUAGAAGCAUCAAUUGAUUAUUCAUUUAUUUCUAACCACUAUGCUAAUUCAUUAACACCAUGCACAACUGACUCUAAUUUAUCUUUUGAUGGUGAGAGUGGUAUUAAAGAAGUUAAUGCUUUACUUGAUUCAACUCUUAUCACAGAUCUAAUUAAGAGGAAAGAAAAUAUUAAGCUUAUAACACCCCAAAAUUUUCCAAGAAUUUUAAAAGAAAUUUGAAAUGUAAUCUCUAAACAAUUAAAAUUUAUUAAUAAUCCCAAAUGAAAAUCAAUAAUGUCCAAAGUCGAAACAUAGUCUCUAAAACAAUAAAUAUAACAAUAACCCUCCAAUAUCAAAUUCAGCUCUAAAAUAAUAACCAAAAUAACAACAAUUUAUCCAUCACGAAAAUGCCCAAAGCUUUCGGCUAAUAAAUCAUUUUCUCUAAAACCAAAAAGGCCACAUCUUUAAAAUCACUUUGCAAAAAUAUUGGAGACGAGAGGUGAGGCGUCAACUCAAUAAGCAAACACAUGCAUAAGGUUACUAAUAACGAUAAAGUACAUAAUAAUUAUUAUUAAGUGCCAUGAAUUUGAAAUCAAUAAUCAUUUUAUAUUCUAAUACAUACGUACAGUAAAAUUUAAAAUCAAUUAUAUCAUAACAUAAUGACCAUUUUCAAUAAAUAAUCAUUUAUUAAUAAAAUCUUUCAUUUGUUCAAUUUUGCUCAUGCCUCAUAGUGUCACCUGUACUCCCGGUGACCCAACCGGUAGUUCAAUCAGGGUAUUUUACCCCGCAAUAAUUGUCAAUGGUGUGCACAAUACAAUUAACUGUUCAGUCAUAUCAGUAGCAGAUACUACAGACAAUGAGCAAAAACCUUAAAGUAAUUUUCAAUCUUUCAAUAUUAACGUUCAAUAAUUGAUCAACAAAAUCUCUUAUAAGACAUUUAAUUGGCAAAGCUUUACAAAUUAUUUUAAGGAAAACAAUUUAUGGAACAGAAGUAUUUUAAAGCCAUUAUUUUAAAAACAAUUUAAGAAAAAUAUUUUAAAUAAACUUUAAACCAAAAUGUAAAUCAUUAUUAUAAACUAUAACAACAAACAAUAAUUCAAAAAUAUAAAUAUGCCAAUCCUUGUGAACAACAUUAUUCUUUUCAUACAUAAAUUCGUACACACACACACAUAUAUAUAUAUAUAAUAUUUUGAUGAUAGGUUUUACAAAUCCAAUCCGAAGCUUUUUGUGAAAGCUUUGAUUGAGAAACAAUAAUUUGAGAAGAAGAGCUUUCACAAGAAAUGAUACCAGUACUUUAUUAGAGCCAUGGGGAGGAUAGUGUAAUAUAGGAUAUAAUUUCUAUCCUAUAUUAAAUGACCUUGGACAUUUGUUUAAACCAGUACUUCUAAGAUCGUGGAGUGUGUGUGUGUAUUCAAAAGAUUAAAUAUUUUAAAGACAAAAUAAUAAUCAAUAUUAAAUUGGUACGUGGCGUUGUUUUACCAGAUCAAUGCAGAACUUAAUCUGCCUUAGGGACCAGAUCUGACUUAGAACAGAUCAAUAUCCCGCAUGUUCAGGUUUCCAGUCGAUAUACCAAAAAUUUUAAAAAUUCUUUAUGCAAUUAACGCAAAGGCUCAUGGAUAAUACUAGAUCUGGAUCCCAGAAAUAGUAUUCUGAUUGAAUGGAGGGAGAAGAGAAAAUACGACUAAGGGAAGAGAUCAGGUCUCUGUGCCUUAGAAGAACGUAACAGUUUAAAUAUGCAUAAACUUAAAUUGCAAAAUUAAACAUACAUUUAAAGCUUGAAAUGAAUUAUAAAUUCUUUAAAGAAAUAUUAAAUACUUACAUGAUUUUCUUGAAUCCAAAAUAAGUUACAACUUUUUUAGAAAGGAAAAUUACAAGACAGGAAAUGUUUCCUCUAAGUCUUGAUCCAGAUUUCCCGAAGAGAGAGAGAGAGCUUUCAAAGCCUGCCUCGAUCUACUUUCUGUCCUUCUUUUAAGGGUGCAAGAAGGAAGGCUUUUUGCUGUAGCUUCACAUGCGUUGGAGGAUAAAGGAGUCAGCAAUAGUAAAAGCAGGAUGUGCUUUUGAAAUGUGGGAGCCAGCAUUAUUGAAGGCAUCUUUUGCUUUUGAAGACUUUAGGAAAGCUUCACGUGGAGAGAUGCUCUACGAGGCAAUAGUGUAUACCUUUUGAAAACAUGGCACAUGUGCGGCCACACUUGUGUCUCGAAAGACGUUUUCAAAAGAUAUUCUUACCAAAAUCUUUAUAGGAUGCUUUUGACUUCUUUCUGGACGCAGCAAUGAAGGCUUUAAAAGAUUGGAAAAAUACAAAAAGUACAAGCGAUAAUAAAAAUUACAGAAAUGGGAAAUAUAAGGGAUAAUUACAGAAAUAGAAUUACAGAGAAAAUACAGGAAUGGGAAAUUACCUUUUUUUUUUUUCAAUCAACAAGUUUUAAGUAUGCUUUAAUGGAGAAAGUAUUCCGAAGCAAUCAUCUUCAUUUUCAUCUCCAAGGGAGAUGAAAGGCUUAGCAUCAUCAGAAGAACUUGAACUAGCAAUGGAUGAUUCUGAUCUUGAUGCAAGGAGCUACUGCAUAACUUGAAAGUAUUCUUCCUCCGUUUUUGUACUGGCCAAAAGUGAUUGGGCCUUUGUCCUUUGAGCGAGGAAAGUGCUUUGGGCUUUAACAUCUUGAAUGCUCGGGGUGAGAAGGCCUUUUGAGGAAAGCCAAGCCUGGAUUGUGGCUUCCGAUAGUUUGGAUUGUUCAUCAAACUUAGACCACCAUUUUACUUUAAAGGUCCUUUGUAGAAUGAGUUGGGUAUCUUGAGUGUGGUAAAUGAAGUUCCACAUCCAGACCCAAGGAAGAAAGAAAUUUGUACAGAAACAGAGAAAAUGAGGAAAUCCCUUCUCUGACUCAGAAGGGACAUAAUGAGCUUUAAAAAGAUUUAAACAAUUUAUGGCAUUUGGGGUUAGAAUGUCUGGGCUUGGCCCAAAGUAGUUCCACCAUUAUUGGAACCAAUUUGGAAGGCUUUGUACGGUUAUUUUCGAGUUGAAGAAAAAUAACCAAGAAUAGGUCUUUUUGGGGUUUUGAAUGAAAAAUGUGUUAAACCAGGCCUAUUGGUAAUCCCAGUAAGAAAAUGAUAAACAGUGGUUUAGACGCAUUUGAAAAUUGGCGGGAAAGGUUUUGGGUUUGUGAAGUUGGUCACCCCACUGUUUUGGGCUCAAGACUUUUAAAAUGGUAGCUGUGGAAUGCUUUUAACAGACUCAGUGAACUCAAGAAUGCUUUGAUAGAAAGCCUGAGGUUUUGAUAAAUCCCAUAGUUUGAAAAACCAGCCUUUCGGGAAAAUCUUUGAAACUGCUUGAAACGGAUCAGAGUGAUAAAACCCAUCUUCCAUUGAUAAAAUAUUUUGAUGAUAGGUUUUACAAAUCCAAUCCGAAGCUUUUUGUGAAAGCUUUGAUUGAGAAACAAUAAUUUGAGAAGAAGAGCUUUCACAAGAAAUGACUUCUUUAGAAUAAGAAUGUUUUGAAAUUGCUUUAGAAAUAGUUUUUUCUUUCUCAGGAACUUGAGAAAGAGCUUUAUUUUGGGAAAUAUUUUGUAAAGCUAACAUAAGCUCAGGAGACUUUGUAAUGGAGUUCAUCCAUUAUUUUACCUGCUUAUCGGAGGCAAUGGCUUUAGACUGUGCUUCUUGUUCUUCGACCAUGUCAAUCCAAGAUUUAAUAGGCAUGGCAGAAGAAAGUAAUUUUUCUUUAGGAGGGGUUAUCUGAGUUUCUUUAGAGGUUGUUUGAGGUUCAUGGUCUUUAAGGAUACCCUUGCCCUUGUCUCUUCGUUUGGGCGGCAUUAUCUGUUUUGAAGAAAUUCCCUGGUUAGAAAAUCAGGGAUAGAAUUUGUAUCUCCUUUAAUGAAUUCAAUGUCAAAAUCAAAAACACUUAAAAUGGCUUGCCAUCGUGCAAAAAUCUGUUUUGAUGCAAUAUUUUGAACAUCAUUUUCUAAAACGUGUUUUGCAGCUUUGCAGUCAAUUCUAAGUAAGAAUUUUUUAUUUAACAAAUCACUUUGAAAUUUAGAAAUGCAUAAAACAAUAGAAAGAAUUUCCUUUUUAAUAGUAGAGUAGUUUCUUUGACAUUCAUUCCAAUGAGCAGAAACAUAUUGUACUAUUUGUUCUUUAUUAAUUUCUUUUUGCUUUAAUAUUCCUCCAUAUCCUAAAUCAGAUGCAUCAGUUUCAACAAUCUUAGGUAAUGUAGGAUUAGCAAGAAAUAAGCAUGGAAUAUCUUUAACAUAACUUUUUAUGAGCUUAACAACUUUAGUGUGUUCAUUAGUCCACGCAACAGGAUUUUUCUUUAAUCUAUCAUGCAAAGGUUUUGAAAUUCUAUUAAUAUUAGGACAAAAAUCAAGAACAUAAUUUAAACUUCCUAAAAAUCUUUGCAAUUGGGUUUUAUCAAGGAUUUUAUCAGGAAAUUUGUCAGCAAAAAUAAGAGAUCGCUCAAUAGGUGUAAUGGUUCCUUUGGAAAUGUAAUGACCAAUGAACCUUAUUCUUGUUUGAAACAAGGAAACUUUAGAACUAGAAAUGGCUAAACCAGUCUUUCUAGUGGCAAGGAAAAACGUCUUUAGAUGUUUGAAAUGUUGGUCGAUCGUUUGAGAAAAAACCAACACAUCAUCGACAUAAACAAUGCAAAAUUCAGACAAAGGAGUAUAAAUAUCAUUCAUAAUCUUUUGAAAUUUGGAAUGUGCAUUCUUUAAUCCAAAAGGCAUAACAGUCCAUUCAUACUGUCCAAAAGGAACAGUAAAUGCAGUUUUAUAACGGUCUUUUGGAUGGAUUUGAAUUUGCCAAAAUUCAGAUUUCAUAUCAAAUUUUGAAAAAAUGAAUGCAGCAUGUAGUUUCUGGAGCAAAUCCUUUUUAUUAGGUAUGGGAUACCUAAUCCAUUUUAAUGUUUUAUUAAGGGGUAAUUUAUGACUAGUCUGGGUGUCCCUCUUUCUAUCUCAGAAUUCUUAUUGACAUAGAAAGCAGCACAAGACCAAGGAGACCAAGACUUGACUAUGAGACAUUUAGAUUCUAAAUCUUUUAUCUCAUCUUUGCAAUGUUGCUCUAAUUCUAUGUUCAUUUGGAUUGGACGGGCUUUGGUAAGUAUUUACUUUUCAUCAAAAGAAUUUUCAUAAGGUAAAUCAACCAAAUGUUGUUUUAUGUUCCAAAAAGCAUAUGGUAGAUCAGCACAUAUUUCUUUUUCAAUGAGGUCUUUAAGAUCAGAGAUUUUUCUUUUUACAAAUUCAUUUUGUAAUUAGUUUUCGAUUCUUUGUAAACUCAAAUCCUUUUUUAAAUAAAUCAGAUCAUUUUGUUUUGUUUUGAGGAGUGUAUUGAUUUGGUUCUGGUAAACAGAACAAGCUUUAACAAUAUUCAAAUUUCUUGUUUUAGGUUUCUCAAUAAAAGGAAAAACAAGUCUUUUGGUCUUUACUUUAAAGCAUAUACUAUCAUAGUUGACAGUAUAAGGAGUAAUGAGAUUGAUAAAGAGGGUUCCUAAAAUGACAAUAUGGUGUAUGUCAUUUGUAAGAAUAAAAGAAGUCCUGAAUUCAAAACCAUUGUUAUGAAUAGAGGCGUCAACUUUAGAAUUGACAUUAAGUUUUGAAUUAUUAGCGGCAGAAAGUCUCUCAUUUUUUUUUUCAUGAAACCUUCUGGGGACAAUAUCUUCUUUAAUGCAAUUUAAAUCAGCACCAGUAUCAAAGAGGGCAAUGAUGUCAAUUUCAAAAUCUUUAGAAAAGAUCAAGGUGAUUUUGAUCAAAUAUUUUCUUGUGGUGAUUUGUUUUAAUACGAAAAGAAAAUCAUUGGGUAUAAAUUCAAUGUUUUCUAAACUUUGUUCUCCAUUAUCACCAUUAUCUUCUUAUUCUUUAUCAGAAUUAUCUUGUAAUUGUCUUUGUAAGAGGAGUUGGAUAGUAUCAGAAUCAUUUUUUUUUGUUUUUCUUUUAAGUCUUUUAUCUCGAGUUUGAUAUUUUUUAUUUCUUUCUGAAGAUCUCGGAUAUUAGGAGUCGUUUUUUUCUUUGUUUUCUUUUUAUCCAAAAUUUCAGUAAGAUCAUAUGUAUUCUUUUUAAUUAUUGGGGCUUUAGAAAUUUCUGUUUUAUUUCCUACUUCUAAGGUUUUUAGAAGUUUAUCAAGGUAUUCUCUUUGAAGAGUAGGGUCAGAAAUGUGUUUGACUAAUUCAAGAAAAGUUUCUUGAUCUUUAGUGAAUACAUUGAUUUUCUUUAGACGAUAUUCUAUGUCAGAAUCACUACUACUAGAUUCUGAAGUAUCAGAAUCCACCAACUCGUCAAUUUGUAGGGGUCAUUGUCUCCUGUCAUGGAAGACUCAGAGUCAGAAGACUCUACAAGUAAAGGGGCAACUUUAGAAAGUAUUUCUUCGUCAAGGCCAAGCUCAUGGAGCUUUUUGUUCAUCCUGCAAAAUUUUGCAGUAUGGCAUUUCUUUCCACAUUUGUAACAUGUGGCUUCUUUGUAGUUAAAAGGGGUUUUAUGUUUGGGUCUAAAAUUCUUCUUCUUAGAGAAGUUGGGCUUCUUAUAAGGCCUUGAAGGUUUCUUAUAAGAAAGUUCUCUAAAAUCUUGAAAGGGUUUUUUAUGGCUUUUUUAUUUGUAAUGUUUCUUAUAAGGUUUUGAAGAACAUUCACCAUUACAAUCUUUAGAGGUGGAAGUUUUAAAGGGAUUAUAAUUGAAUUGCUUACAUAAACUGUCUAAUUCUUGUUUAGAUUUUCUAAGCUCCCAUUUUAGACGUUUCUAAAGUUUCAAGUCUUGACAAAUCUUUAAACAUUCUUUAUUAACAAAACUAACUAAUUCACCGUAUGUGAGUUCGUUAUAAAGAAUACGGUUGUCAUUCAAGGCUUUAGUAGAGUUCCUAACUUUUUCUCCUAAGAGGGUUGGUAAACCUGCAAGGAAUUUUUAUUUCCAAGUGAUAUGGUUUGCAUCAUCUCUUAGGAAGAAUCUAGUAAAGAAAGUGGUUUUAUAGCUUUGGAAUUCACUAAGUUUCCUACAUCUCAGGUUGUGUAGUAACUCAGCAUUUUUGUCUCUAAGGUGUGAAGGAUCACUUAUGAAAUGAAGGGAUACAGUCAGAAUUAGGGUAGCAACAGCAUCCUGAAUAUGGUCAUUUAAUUCGUCACAGAUGGGGGCUCCAUUUUCAUCUGUUUGAAUUGAAUUUAGGAUAUCUGAUUGUUGUUGUUUAGUGAGAAGAUGAUCCCACCAACCUUUAAGUUGACCAGUAAAACCCGCAAUGAGAAUUUCUGCAAUAGCCUUGUCAGAAGUUCCCGACUGAGUUUUAUAUGCAUUAGCUGCCAUAGUCAUAUGUUGCAAUAAUCCUAGAAUGUUGUAUUCAGACAUACCAUCAAUGUUCCACUCAUAGACAGAGGAUGCAUUAAAGCGUGAUUGGUUUAAUGCACUAGGUCCGUUGUCUAUGGCUAAGUCAGGUGGAGAUUUGACAGUAGGUAGGGCUAAUUCCCAAUGAAUUUUGUUGGCUUUAGAAACAGGUUCUUCUUUAAAGGCUUCUAUAUCAGAAGAGGCUAUAGAUAUGUCGUCUUGUUCUAGUACACCAAUUUUACUAGAUUGGGCACUAUCAGGGGCUAUUUGGAUUUUACUAGACGAAGAAGAAGAAGCUUCUAUUUUAUUUAGUUAUUCUCUAAUAGCUUUAGCAAAAUCUGAUUUUGACUCUUGAACAAGCUUUUGACUAGUUUUCGAAACCUGAAAGGGUUUGAAAAUAGGCUCUUUAAGCUUUUUGUCAGAAUCCGAUUUUGAAGUAAUAGGAGAAACAGUUAUGGUAGACUUCUGGAAUUGGUUUUCUAUCCUAGUCAACUGUUUUCCUAAUGUGUUUAGGUUAGCAUUACAAAAAUUAUUCUGUUGAAUAAUGCUGCCUAAAUUUGUCUCUGAAUCAUUUGGUUUAUGGAUUUUGUAGGGUGAGGCUUUAAUCUCAACAGGAGGCACACCAUGUUCAAUGGUCAAACUCCUAAGAGGUGGAUGUUCAGAUUCUAUGGUUCUAUCAUUAUCAAUAAGAUUCCAUUCAGGAAUCUUUUUCCUAAUAAUAAUAGGAUUUGAUUCUUUAAAAGGAAAAUCAAUGUUAUUAUCAGAGGCAUACAUUUUAAACCAGCUAAAGAAUAAAAUAUGAACUUUAUGCAGAUUUAUAAAUUCAUAAUAAAUUUCUUGUAUUUGUUUUCUUUGGCUUAAGAAAUUUUUGAAGAACCAAAGUCUUUUUUCUUUAUUGCAAUCAGAAUAAAAGUCAUUAUGUAGAAGAGUUUUAUCUAAUUCAAAAUCUUUUUCAAGAACAUUUAUUACAUUUUCAGUGACAGCGGAAAAUGUAGGAGAGGUUGGAGGAGAAGGUUCCUUCUCUUCCUGUCUUUGUUCAUGUUGACUGCUAGUGUAGAUUGGGUGAGGAACACUAGUGGUAUAGUCAACAGAGUGGAUAGAGGAACUAGGUAUAUCCGAUGUGGAAAACCUAGGUUGGUUUCUUACUGGUUGGAAAGGGAGGUUUAUAACGGAAGGAAUUUUUGAAAAUCUUCUUUCUAAUGAAGGAAUAUUCGUACUUGAGUCUUUAUCAGAGAACCUAGAAGAUGUAGAUCUCCUAAAGGACAGUUUAACCUUCCCAUCUGAAUACUGAGUCAUAUUUUGCAACUCUGUAUUAGGCUCAAGUUGUUUUGGAAUCACUGGUGCAGUGGCUCCUUCAAGAAUCCAUUCGUCUGGAAGAUUGACAUCUUUCCAUUGGAUUGGUUUUGGAAUAACGGUGUUGGCUUUAGAUAUAUCAGUCUGUAAGAGAAGAGUCUCAUCUCUUUUUGACUGAAACUUAUGUUCCAUACUAAACGCAGAAAUCAUGGCUUUGUAUGAGAUUUUAAAAAUUAAGGCUACUGGGACUGAUCCCUCGAUCAUGUAAUAAUUAUGGGUCUUGAUUUGCAAGAUCAUGCUUUUCAUAAUGUUUUUGUCUUUUAGAGAAAUUGUUAUGUUCGGGUAACAGCUAAAUGAGAUGGGACCUUUGCAAAGACUUGAUUCUAUACUACUUAGCAAAGAAUCAUCAAAAGAGAUGAAUCUCCCAUCUCUUAAGACAGCAAGAAUAGAUGUAUUAAGACCUUCUUUUGUUAAGGGCUUUAUACCAACUUGUAUUAAGCCGAUGUGAACAUAAUUAAAAUUUUUAUCUUUUAAUUUCUUUAAGGAGUGUUCUGAAAAUAGGUGAAUAGUUUCAAAUGGCUUUGAAAGGUUAUGUCACGUUCUUCAGUUUUUAUGACAUAAUCAUUCUUUAGAAAAUCAAGCUUUUUUGUUUUGUAAAUCAUUUCUUUAGAAAUCUUUGGUAAUUCCCAAUUAUCAAUUGCUUUAUUAAAGUCUUCAAUUACAAAUUCUUCUGAAUUAACAACAUUCUUAGAAUCACUAGUUUUCCCGGAAGAAGAGCUAGAAAAGGAUGAUGCUCUACAGAGUAGAGAAUCCAUGGAUAAAACCUAUAUUCUAGUUUUAGUCCUGUAGGUAUGGCUACAAUCCAAGGCUAAGAAUUGGUUUUACUGCCCUUCAACCAAAUCGGGACUUACGACCAAAUGCUACCAAGGCACCCAGAGGUAAACACUCACCACACAAACAAUGUUCAAUAAGAACACAAGUCUUUAAACACAGAAAUUCUAUCCUAUAUUACACUAUCCUCCCCAUGGCUCUGAUACCAGUACUUCAAAGGAAGAAAGAAAUUUAUGGGGUUUGUAAGGGGUUUGUAAUUUAUGACUAGUCUGGGUGUCCCUCUUUCUAUCUCAGAAUUCUUAUUGACAUAGAAAGCAGCAUAAGACCAAGGAGACUUAGACUUGACUAUGAGACCUUUAGAUUCUAAAUCUUUUAUCUCAUCUUUGCAAUGUUGCUCUAAUUCCAUGUUCAUUUGGAUUGGACGGGCUUUGGUAAGUAUUUGCUUUUCAUAAAAAGAAUUUUCAUAAGGCAAAUCAACUAAAUGUUGUUUUCUGUUCCAAAAAGCAGAUGGUAUAUCCGCACAUAUUUCUUUUUCAAUGAGGUCUUUAAGAUCAGAGAUUUUUCUUUUUACAAAUUCAUUUUGUAAUUGGUUUUCGAUUUUUUGUAAACUCAAAUCAUUUUUUAAACAAAUCAGAUCAUUUUGUUUUGUUUUGAGGAGUGUAUUGAUUUGGUUCUGGUAAACAGAACAAGCUUUAACAAUAUUCAAAUUUCUUGUUUUAGGUUUCUCAAUAAAAGGAAAAACAAGUCUUUUGGUCUUUGCUUUAAAGGAUAUACUAUCAUAGUUGACAGUAUAAGGAGUAAUGAGAUUGAUAAAGGGGUAUAUAUAUAUAUAUAUAUAUAUAUAUAUAUAUAUCCGAAGCAACCAAUAAAAACCCUCAAUACACAAGCUCACUCUUGGCUUAUAAUUUUGAAGAUGAGAUUUUUAUCAAUAUCAUAUUCAAGUAUGACCUUCAUAAGAUAUGCAACAUCCCCUUCAUAAACCAUUAACUCUAACCUAAACAAAUCAAUUCCCCAAACUACCCUCGACCAUCUUAUAGGAGCUGAUUUCUAACCAGCUAUAACUAUUGUCGGAAAAUCACAAUUAUUAAAAGUUACCGUAAACAUGUUGGCAUUCAAUAUAAAUGUUAACAAAAUUAAUUAGAGUUCAUAAACAUUUCCGAAAAACUAAUUUUCCACAAAAACAUUAAAACUGUCUAGUGACAAAAUAAACAAAGGACUAUUGGUUUAAAAAUUCAUAAUUUUAGUGAUAUGUGUUCAAAAAUAGUGAUUCAAGUUUUGAUCAUCAGAGGAGACAAUAUAGAGCUAAUGAAAAAGUAAUUAAAAUUAGCUUCAAUAUCACCAGCUUGAAAUUCUGGAAAGCCGCUUCCAAGAUUGCGGCAACCCAGCUCUAUGAUUUUUAAUGAUUUUCAUAUAAAUCCAAAACUUACGAUAUUAAAUACAAAAAAAAAAAAUAGACGUGGAUAUAUAGUAAUAAAAUUUUCUAGAAAUUUUCGGAAGUCAUUUGGAUUACAAAAUAAAUUAUAGAAUUGAGGAUUGCUGUCGAAAAUUGAAAUUUUUCGGUACUAGUAUUCCAAAUUUGAAAAAUCAAAACAAUUAAUAUGCAAUGAAUUUUUGGACAAUAAAUAUAUGGAUACAAAAAUAAAGAUGUCUAGUUUAAUAGGAUAUGAAGUUUUAUGCAUGAGAUUUAACGACAACAUCAACUAUAUAACAUUGAAUCUGCACUGUUUACAGUUUUCAGGAUAAUGUAAACAAAACCAUUCAAAUAAUGACAUAGAAUCACACAUACAAUAGAAAUUCAAAAGAUUAUAAAUACUUACCUCUCUAAGAAGAAUUUCACUCCAGACUACACCUUUGAGACUUAAAGCUUUUGUUCAAACACUUCUUGAAAAUUGUUUUAAUGCAAAUGAGAUACAACAUCAAGACACACACGCAAGCCACACACAAAGAAAAUAAAAAUACAAUCAAACUCAAUCAUUUAGCAUAAUUACUCUAGCCCAGUGUCUCCACUUUCCAAACAUUAAUCAUUCAACAUAAUCAUUACUCCACUCCACCAAUUUCUCCACUUACCAAACAUUAAUCAUUCAAUUUAAUUACUAACAUAAAAUAAUGUAUUCUAUUUAAAAAAAAUAAAAAUCCAAAAGACACUUUAAUCAUUCACUUGUAUAUAAUAAGUAUAAAAUACUACAUUAUGAAAUACAUACAUGAAAGAAAUAGAAGAAAUUUUAGGGUUUACAAAGCCACAUCCUCCUGAAGAGAAAAUUAAACCAUUCAAGUUGGAGCCACUUCCUAAAGAAUCACAUUCUGACAUGAAAAAGGUGGUAAGAUCUAAAGUGCUUAAAUUGUUAGAUUUUUAUAUUACUUCAGAUAACUCUUAGGUAAGCUUGAAACAGAAGAGAUCAAAGCAGUGUGAUAUUGAGGAGUUUCAUUACCAUCAUCCUUUUAUAGAUAAAAAGCUCCAGUGCUUAGUCAAUUAUGUUUUCUGGUAUUUUCUGUAUAAUUGCUUUGAUUUUCACCAAAUUCUUAUUGAUUCUAGUUGAUUUGUUAUUUACAUUAAUUAUUUAGUUUAGUACGAUUUUAUUUAUUUUAUUUUUUUAUUAUUUAUAUUUAUUCGAACGUUUUUUUUUUUAGUUGUCAUUUUCUUUUAAGCUUCCCCAACCCAUUCAGGUGUGUUCUCUCCAACUUUUUCUUUUAUUAUUUAUGUUUUUAUUUUAUUUUUUCAUCUUUUUGCAUACAUAUCUUUUAUUUAUGAAACAUUGAGGACAAUGUUCCGAAUAAGUUUGGGGAUGGGAAUGGUGUGUGCUUUGUUUGUUAUUUAAAAAAAUCAAAAAAAAAAUCAAAUUUUUUUUUUUUUUUUGUGAAAAGUCAAUGAUAAGAACUUGAUUGACAAGGAAUAUGGUUCUUAGAAAGGGUUGAAUAUUGUCUUAGUUUAUACUUGGUUCUUGUGUUAAUUGCUAUUGAUUGAGAUUCUUUAAACAGCAUGAGUACUAAUAUCAAUUCUUUCAUAAUUUUGACUUGAAAUCUGAGAUUGACGCAGCCUGAAUUGAGAAUUUUAGAUAGAGUAAAUGAUUGUUUUCUUGAUUCUUAUCUCCACAAUACAAAAUAGUAUACACAGGCACCAAAUUCAAAAAUAAUUAUCUAUAACCCUUAAGAGUGAAACUAUCUUUAAGUAAUUUGGGCUUACAUACCACCAGUAUAUAGAGGAUAAUCUACCGUAAGAAGAAGGCUACCUUAAGGGGUAGAGUGAACGUUUCUGACUUUGGUUUAAAAAAACAAAAGAGAAAAAAAUCAAGUCCAUGUGCUAAAAAAAAACAAAAUAAAAUGCGUAUAAAAGCCUAUAAAAAAAGAAAAAAAUUGGAGAUCAAGAUGAUAAGAUUAGUUUGACCUACUUUUUUCUGUAUUAGAGGCGAAGGCUAUUGAUAUUGAAGAUUUUGGGAAUUGAUUUGAUUGAAUUGAUUUCACACACACACACACACACUACAAGAAUCGAAAGAGAACUGUUGAAUUAAAGUUAGAAAUUUGCCAAUAUUUGAAAAUUUCUUUGAGCUAUAUAACUUAUGCAACCAUUAAGGCUAUUUUUAUGUUUUAUUUAAAGUUAUUUUAUUUUAUGUUUUUUUAUUUUAAAUGAUGCUUGUGGAUCGUUGGUAUGAAUUCAAAUGCUAUUAGUGUCAAUGUGCAAGUGUACACAACAAGUAAUAAAGUGAUGAGUAUUCAAAAUCGUCUCCACAGGGAUUGAUGUUAUCAGACUUACUACAGUAAUUUUAACAGUGCAGAUUUUGUUCUAAAUUAAAAUAAAACAAUUAAUGAAACUAAUAUACUAAUUAAAAUAAAAACGCAAUAAAUAAAAUGCAACAAAGUAAAUUAUCAGUCAAACUCAAGGAUAAAACCAAUGGGAAUAUAGAGUGGUUGAGUGAAUAAACUCUCCUAAUGGCCUUGAGUAUUUUCUACUGGUUGGCUCGGUUACUGCAGUAUCUGCUACAGCACUGGGCAGAAUCCUUAUGCAUCUUCAGCCGUCCCAUGUUGGAUAUCUUAUAUCUAUAUGCAACCUAACGGUGAUCAAUUGUUAUGCAAACAUAAGAUAUAGCAUUACACGCUUAGGUUCUAUUUACCCUACAAGGUGAAUUCAUAUGUCUAAUUCAUCACUAAUCUUAAAUCAAGUAUGGCCCUUUUGGGACUCAAGUAAAACUCAAUCCAGAAAACCCAAUUUAAGAUCAAGUAUUGUUUUGAUAUGUUCCACUAAGAUAGACUCUUUUGUGGCUCUUCCUUAGCUAGUAUCAUUAAAUGGGUGAUCAGUUGAAAUAAUGAAUAAAAAUAAAUUCUAUCAAAACAAAAUGCUACAGCAAAUAUGCAGCAACACAUAUUUUCAGUCAAUAAACCAUCAAGAUUGUUUAUCACUCAACUACAAAUAAAUUUAGUUCAUAAUUUGUAAAAGAAAAAUAAAGAGCAAAGUUUCAGCCAUAAAACACAUCCCCGUGAAUAAAUAGAAAACAAUAGAAGAAUAAGAAUGGCUGAGCUCCCAAUUGAUCUCUAUAAUUUCUCCUCUUGUGGAGCCCUUAAUCUCUCUCUUGAAUCUUGUUUUUCUUUUGUUUCUUUGUAGUUUUUCUCCUUGGGUUACGGCCCUCUUUAUUCCUUAUGAUGUGUGCUUCUUUUAUAGCUGAAAAUUAGAGUAAACGGAAGCCUAGGGCGCGCAUAAGUCAGAUUAGGAAACUGCAGAUCGCAAUUCUGCAAGUAUUCCGUGUGAAAUUUUCUCUAUCGUUGUUCCAAGAUUGCUACAGCAACGGCUACAAAAAAUGCAUUGUUCUAGAUUUGUUUCAAUUCUUUUGUAGUUAAGUUCUUUUCCAUCUUUUGCAAGCUUAUUACAUCAGCAUUCCUUCCUUGAAAUUUGGACUUCCGAACACCUACAUUUAUGCAUAUGAUUUAGCACACAAAUUAUUCUAAAUCAAACACAAUUUAUUACGAAUAAACUAAGAUGAAUGUUUAUGUAAAAUAUAAUAAAAAUGCAAUGAAAACACAUUAUUUACUCUCUAAGUAUUAUUGAUUUAAGUCUAAAAGUGUUAUGAUAACUCUUAUUUUAUAGAGUUAUCACACCCCCAAACUUAAACCAUUACUUGUCCUUAAGUAAUGACAACAACACUUCACAAUCAUGCAACAAUUAACUUAGCUCUAAUGUCAAAAUUGCAAGGAUUCGUCAACCCUCAGAUCACACUCUUAAUCACGCAAAAUAACCAUAGCAGUUCAAUUCUAGACUUAGGCUUCAUUCUGUCCAAAAUGUAUGUGUGCCACUUUGAUCAAAUUCCAGAGGUGCUACAACACUACAGAGACAUUGCAUAUAAUUUAGAGGUAGAACACAGAUGUAUUCACAUAUGGGGAAGCGGAAUUCACAAAUAAACUCAAAUUGUGCUACAACAAACACAAUUAUUUUUUUGGGAGCAAUUAGACAUAUUUGCAUGUGAAGUCAAGCCAAGGAAACUGAAUUCAACAGAUUAAUUCAUCCAUGCACAUGAAGACAAAGAAGAUUACGACCAUCACGUGAGAAGCAAUCACCAUUAUUGUUAGCAUGUGCAUGGCAUUAAAAAAGGAAUCCUACUGCAAUUCUAAGUGGUGAGCACGUGUGAGAGCAAAACAAAUUAAAAGGCCAAGCCUUUUGGCUUUAGAAUUGGAAUGGUCGGUGGCCCAUUUUGGAGAUUAUAAAAAGAAAGGUGAACUUUGGCUUUUAAUAGGGCAGCUGUGAAAGGAGAAAAAAGAGAGAAAUGUUACGCAUUCGGCAGAGAAGAAAAUAGUGGCGGCAGCUCUUUAAUUUUUCCAUGACUGGUUUUAUUUUAUUUGUUGCUCCCAAUUCAAGUAUGUCUAUCUAAUUUUCUUUUACUAAGGUUAAGGAUAAAACCCUAUCCAAUGAAAUAAUUAUAUUUUUAUUUAAUUAAUACCCUACAUGCGUGUUUUAUUGUUUAUGGUUCUUGUUUCAUAUGAUUAGUUAAAUGUUAUUAAAUCUUUUCAUCAAUUCUAUCAAGCAUUAUUGAUUGUUAGGAUUAAUAUUCGAUUAAUUUAUGUUUUGGUGUAUAAAGUUUUUAUAUGAUUAUCUUUAAUUUUAUAUCUUUCAUUAAAUUAUUUACACAGAGUGCUUAGGAAAAUUUUGACUCUUUGUUAUUCAAUAUGUUUACAUGAGAUGUUUAGAUAUCAUACUAUUAAGCAGAAAAAGAACAGACAUUAGAUUUAAUUACUUGGGUUUAAUUGUUAUAUCCAUGAGAUGACAUAGAUUGAUUUCGAGUUGUCACUUUAAAAUUAGGGAUUAAUUAACAAUUUGAUAAUUAUUAGUUGAAUAGUGGUGGAUUCUGAAACCUUAGUAAUUUUUGUCUUAUUGAAUUCUCCUUUAUUUUAAUUGUUUUCUUAGUUUAAUUAGUUUAAUUUAUCUUAAAACUCAAUUUGCUCAACUAGGUUAGAAUUAAUAUUAAUUUUAUAUUUAAAUUAGACAUUUCAAUUUAUAACAAUUCAUGUGGGUUCGAUCUCGUUACUACUGUUUUAUUUUUAGAUUUGUGUGCUUAUGAGUAUAUUAAAAUUUUUCAUAGCAUCAUGCAAGCAAACUUUUCACUUGCAUAUCAAAUUGCGAUGGUGGUGAGGAAAAUUUUUUUUUUUUACAUUUUAAGGAUAAUUUUAAAAAUAAAAUGAUUAAUUGAAUAACGGAAACUAAUGAGAUAAAUUGAAAGAUCAAAUAUCAUUUCAACAAAGGUAUUAUUAUUAUUGUCAUCAUUAUUUAUUUUUUAAAUCCAUACGGAGCUACAGCUCGAUGCACUGGUUCAAAUGUGCUCUACUUUAUUAUAUUCUUAGAACUUGAGUUAAACUUGAAAUUGUCACUCUCUUAGUAAAAUUUAAGAGAGUGGGUUCGAAUCUCAAGGAAUUCUAUAUUUCAUAUUUGUCACGAGUAAUAAAAAAAAAUCUCGAAAUUAUAAAUGGAGAAUAUGAGAAAUUUGAAAUUAGCUGCAAAAUGAUGUCAUCCAUCUAGGGAUGGCAAAACCCCGGGCUGGGUCCGGAUAUUGCAAUGACCGGACCCUGCCCGAAUGCAACCGGUCUGGGUUCAGGUCCGGGUUUUAAUCCAGGUACUUAAAUUUUAUAUUUUUUAAUAUCAUAUGUGUAUAUAUUUUAUAUUUUUUGGUAAUUUUAUAAGUUUUAAAUUUAUUUCAAUAAAAUUUGACAUGAAAAUAUAAAUUUUAAGUGUUUAAAAUUUUAUAUAUGUAUAAUAAAUGAGUCAAAUAAAUAUAAAUAUUUAAAAUAAUAAAUAUUUUAUAAUUUUUUUAAAAAAAUUUAGAUUCCAAAUUUAUCAAGUGAUGCCCAAAAUCAACCCGACUUCAUAUCCAAACUAAAAAAUACCCAACCUACAAUACUUAAAUACGAUCUAAGUCUGAACCAAACGGAUAUUUUUACCACCUCUACAUCCAUCCAAGAUAAGACGGUGAUCAUUAAGAUAACGAAUAGGUUCCUUUCAAGAUUACAGCUGGACAUGGGCUGAGAGAAAAUUUUUUUUUUUUUUUCUCUUUUUGAGCUUUGGAGAAUAACAGGAGGUGAUAAUUAAUUAAACAAACAAACACCACUCGACAAAAUUAUAAACGACAAGAAGAAUUAUUUCAUUCAAGUUUAUGUGGUGACGAUUCAAGAUAACAUCGGGGCACGAGGGGGACGGUCAACAGACAAAUUACCAUCACAAUAAACGUGUCAAAUAAAUGCAGGUGCGCCCCGAAGAGAGGAAGAAACUCCAAAUUAUUGGAUAAUCAUAGCAAAAUGGUAUUGCUUGCCUAGAUCAGAAGUAAUCUUGUAUCAUUUUUUAGCUUCCCCAAAUUCUGUUUCUGUACACUGUAAGUAUUUUUCAUCCUCAUUUUCUUGUUUCCACUUUCCAUUAUGCGUUAUAUCACCAUUUAUUUUCAUCUCGACAUUUGGUUUCAAUCAGAUCACCGGAGGAAAUAAAGAUGGGAAGAACACAGAUCAUCUCAAAGAGCACCGUCUGUGCAGCAAUUCACAAGGAACCAAACCUUAGAAUUUGAUACCAUUCAGAAAGGACUUCUCUUCCGCAAACCUCCAAAUGAUAACACCGAUACCAGCAGCGUAAACUUGAUCCACCACCUCAAGACCUCCCUUGCACGAACGCUAGACUACUUUCCCGCACUUGCCAGUCGCCUAGCCACCAUUGAGCAUCAUGAUGACAGCAACACAAUUUCUGUUUACAUAAAUUGCAACAAUGCCGGCGCAGAGUUUGUGCACGCCACGGCCGAUGGAGUCUCUGUU
This 93591-nucleotide long non-coding RNA is filed under the name Citrus maxima (pomelo). RNAcentral's name for it is "long non-coding RNA (CMAX_LNC002722)". Lineage: Eukaryota; Viridiplantae; Streptophyta; Magnoliopsida; Sapindales; Rutaceae. The record is from RNAcentral.